Molecule: long non-coding RNA, 91163 nt
Filed under: Vitis vinifera (wine grape)
Lineage: Eukaryota; Viridiplantae; Streptophyta; Magnoliopsida; Vitales; Vitaceae
Description: long non-coding RNA (VVIN_LNC001392)
Source: RNAcentral
GGUGACCAGGGUUGUGACCAUAAUGUGGUGGCUUCUCUCCCUUAGGUGGUUUGCCAACUGGGGUUGGUGGCUUGUGUUCUGGGAGUGGCUUCUCCCCCUUGGGAGGUUUUUCCAAUGGGGUUGGUUUGUGUUCAGGAGGUGGCUUCUCCACUGGAGGCUUGUGUUCAGGAGGUGGCUUCUCCACCGGAGGCUUGUGUUCAGGAGGUGGCUUCUCCACCGGAGGCUUAUGCUCUGGUGGUGGCUUCUCCACCGGAGGCUUAUGCUCUGGUGGUGGCUUCUCGAAUGGGGGAUGCUUAGGGUAAUCAGCAAGUGAGGGGGCGGUGAGAACCACCAGGCCAAGCAAGACCACUAGCAAGUAUGUAGGAGACAUCUUUGGGUUUAGACUCAGAUGGUGCAAAACUAGGAGAAUUGUCUUUUAUAGCGGAUCGCACCCAAUAAUGAAAUGACACGUGUCUUUAUGACCCAUGUGUAAUGGGGUCGAUUUGGGUCCUACAGUGUUGAAAACUUCGACAUCCACUUUUGGCCUUUUGCUUUCUCUACAGCCGCCUUGCUUUUUCCCUCUUUCCUUUUGUUUUCCUCCUGCCCCAUUCUAUCAACUAAACACAAUUAUGUAGUUGUUUAAUUCUUAAAUGAGAUAUUAUCCGUCAAUCGUAUCAUAUUUUAUCAACAGAGAACGGAGUGCAAUGUGGCAAUCCAAAGAAAGAAGAUCCAUAAUGCAGCUGUAAUUUUAUCGUUUACUUUUAUCUCUUGGACCACUGCAUUUUUGUUAAGAGGUGCAAUAAUACACGUCUUUAUCUGCCAUUCAAUGUUUACAGUAAAGAGAGGGCACAAAACUCUUCACUGCUCUGCAUGUGUCCCAAAAAUGCAAUUGGACAAAUUAUGAUUUGCAUGCUAAAAAGAGGCAAAUGAGGUUAAUUCGCACCAUAAUUAUUUUGUUUUCUGGACCCCGGGGCCCUUUGGUUGGUUUGGGGGUCAGAAAAUGAACAUCAUAGGGGGUUUUUCCCUUAUGUGCAUUUGUAUCUGAUGGCUUUAACUCGCCUUGUUACUACAAAGAAAUUGUCACAUAUAGGAACUUAUUCCAGGCUGAGUAUCUCCGCAUAGACCCUAUAAAAGAAGACAAGUCAUAAUGAACAUCUAACCUUUGUUCAAUUUGAUUCAAUGCCCCAUUGUGUCCACCUCACAAAUCUGAAUUAUUAUAUCCAUUGAAUACAUAAAUUAAUGAAGAAAAUAUGAAACCCAAGAUACAUCUCUGCACAACCUCAACCCUGGUUGCUAUGUUUCCCUUCUAUUCACAUGAGGAUAUUGAUUACGGAAUAGGGAAACCUAGCAAGGGUUUACUCGGCUCUGGUUUGAUGCUAAUUGCCAAACUUGCAACAAGCCCUGAGUUUGAAGCUCACAGAAGAUGUUAUACAGGCAGGGAAAAACCUUCAGAGUUCGCUGCCAAAGAUAAUUAUUAAGGAGAUAUCACCAAGAGAAUUCCAAGGAGUCUGAAUCAAAGACAAAUUGGUCGUUCGUGGAGGUUCUUACUUUCUUUUGGGUAUAACUCACUGAGGGCACUGUCUUUUUUAUUUUCAUUUCACAUUUAGAGUUCUGUUCUGGAAACAUAUAAAAGGAGCAUCAGUUUGUUCUUGGGUAACCCAUAGUCGUGAGUGGGUCCAUUUGCAUGCUACUUAGUUGAAAAGUUGGACCAUUUGCUCCGACGCCUACCUCCUGGAUUCCAUGCUCGGAUAAAACAAGAAUAAAAAAAUAUUUAUAAUUUACAAAUGGGGGAAAGAAAAAAAUGUCAACAACAAACUAGGAAAAAAGAGUAGUAAAAUUCAUGUCACAUGCUAGUGAGAGAAGGGGUUGUUACACUCACUCGAAGUUCUUUUCAAAAUAUCGCAUGGUAUUUUAUUUUAUGUGUGAGCGCAGUUGUGAAUGGAACGUGCAAAAGUCCAAAUUGGUGACCUUUAAUAAAUAUUUAAAACAAAAAACGAAAAAAAGGAGGGAAAAGGGAUCAGAAAAGAUAAAACAAUGUGUACAAAAGCUCAAUUAGUUUGCAAAUUACUGUUUGGAUUUUGAUAGUAUUUUAUUUGAUGUAAAAGAGAAUUUAAGAUAUUUCCGAAACAAAAGCAUUAGUUUGCUCCAUGUCAAUUUCGGCAUUUCUCAUAUGUUUCACACAUACACAGAAGAGCAUCGUUUUUUAAAGCAUGCAUUUAUGUUGGAUUAAUUUGGAUUUUGUGGGAACUGGGGCAAGGAUCACAUGGAAGAGAGGUUGACUUUUUUCAGUACUUCAAUGGUUGAGACAGGUGAAGGCCUGAUUGAUACUGAAGCCUGAAAUUGCGACUCCGUCAUUUGUCAAAACAUAUGACAGCUUCCAUGCUCUCGUUUGGUUGCAUUGUUCUGUGGUCAUGCAUACAUGCCACUUAGUGAUCAGUCUGUAACUGUCAAUCAUUGGGCUUUGACUGAACAACAUCAGCCAUGUAUAAAUACUUGCAAAUCAAACGGUCUUCUUCCUCCCAUAAGGAAUUUCGGUUUAAUUAUGAAGCAUGCAUUUGGCUGACCAUCAUAAACCACUUCUUUAAAUUGAUGAAUGAUAGUUUUUCAUUCAUUCUUUCAUUCGUUCAUAUACAGAGUAUAUAUAGAGGGUAAUCAUCAUUCUAAGAAUGGGAAAGAAUGAUACAAGGAAAUAAUGAUAUAAAGAAAUAACAACUAAUAUUCUAAUAUCUCAACUUUCCUAAUAUCUAAACAUUCCUAAUAUCUCAACACUAAAUGAUAUAAAGAAAGAAUGAUAUAAGGAAAGCAUUCCUAAUAUCUCAACACUCCUCCUCAAGUUGGUGCAUAGAUGUCAAACAUGUCCAACUUGUCUAAAAAUUUUGAGAACAGUUGACUUGAGACAUCUUUGGUGAGGAUAUCGGUCAAUUGAUCUUCUGAUCGAAUCUUAGGCAAUUCCACAAUCUUAUCAUCCAACUUUUCCUUAAUGAAAAAUCUAUCCAUCUCGACAUGCUUUGUACGAUCAUGUUGUACUAGAUUAUGAGCAAUGUCACAUGCUGCUUUAUUGUCACAAAACAAUCGGAUUGGUUGCCUAGAUAGGUAACCUAAAUCCUAUAAGAGGAGUCUUAGCCAUAAUGCCUCACAAAGUCCUAAAGUCAUACCUCUAAAUUCCGCUUCUGCACUUGAACGAGCGACGACAUUUUGCUUCUUACUUUUCCAUGUCACAAGAUUACCACCUACAAAGGUAAAGUAACCAGAUGUAGAUCGCCUAUCAUCCACUGCACCGACCCAAACAGCAUUAUACUUCUAUACUCUGAUGAUCAACAUUUUUAGCGAACAAAAUUCCCUUCCUAGGAGCAUUCUUCAAAUACCUCAAAAUACGCAUGACUACAUUCAUAUGUUGCUCUCCAGGAUUAUGCAUGUAUUGACUCACUACACUCAAUGUAUAAGCAAGAUCUAGUCUUGUAUGAGCUAAGUACAUUAAUCUCCCCACAAGUCUCUGGUAUCUUCCCUUAUCGAUUGAUACUUGAUUAGGCUCAACACACAAUUUCAGACCUUCUUCUAUUGGUGUAUUAAUAGGUUGACAUCCCGACAUUCCAGUUUCCUGUAGAAGAUCUAAGGCAUACUUUCUUUGAGACAGAAAAAUUCCUUCACUUGAUCGAGAAACUUCAAUCCCAAGAAAGUAUUUCAGACGACCAAGAUCUUUCAUUUCAAAUUCUCUAGAUAGAUACUUUUGCAAAGCUUUUCUUUCUUCAGGAUCAUUUCCUGUAACUACAUGUCAUCCACAUAUAUCAUAAGUGUCGUAAUCUUACCAUGUUGCUUUUUCAAGAACAAAGUGUGAUUUGAAUUACUUUGAUGAUAGCCAAAAGCUCUCAUUGAUUUUGUGAACCUUCCAAACCAUGCUCUCGGGGAUUGCUUCAACCCAUACAAUGACUUCUUCAAUUCGCACACCUUCUGACAUUGCUUUUCUGACACCAUGCAUCCUGGUGGAAGAUCCAUAUAUACUUCUUCAGAUAAAUCGCCAUGCAGAAAGACAUUUUUUACAUCGAACUAUUGUAAUGGCCAAUCUAGGUUUGCAGCUAAAGACAAUAAUACUCGAACUGUGUUGAUCUUAGCUACAGGUGCAAAUGUCUCUGUGUAGUCAAUUCCAUAAGUUUGAAUGUACCCACUAGUCUUGCUUUAAAUCGUUCAAUACUACCAUCUGCCUUGUACUUCACAGUAUAGAUCCAACGACACCCAACUAGCUUCUUUCCUGGUGGACAUUCUACGAGUUCCCAUGUUUCAUUUUUCUGCAAUGAUUUCAUCUCUUCAUUCAUGGUUGCUUUCCACUUUGGAUCAGCUAAAGCUUCCUGCACACUAUUAGGAAUAGCUACAGUAGAUAAUUGAUUUACAAAUGACUUAUUUGAUUCAGACAAACCAUGGUGUGGACCCGCAUUUUUCACGUGCGCCUCUACUCGAUCGGCGAGACUCGCUUUCUAUUUGUGAAAAAUUAAUUUUAGAAAAGUUGGAGUCGCCACCUAUUUUAUUUUUAUUUUGAAGGGAAAAUAAAACAAGAAAGAAAAACCCUAAAAAGUGACUCCAUAGUUUUGGAAAAAGCAUGUCUUUGGGAAACCUGAGUCUAGGUCCGGGGAUCAUGUUACUUAUUGGGAAGGUACCUCUAGGAGGUAGCACCCCUCUAAGCCUUAUGAAGGUCUCUACUAACUAAAUUAAGGGAAGUGUGGCAAUAAAUCGAUUGAUCAUAGAUACCUAAGUAGACUAGGUGAUUUUAAAGUGUGGCAUGUCAAACACAAUCAAAUUGCAAUAAAGGAGAGUUAGGGCGCGUACCUGAACCGCUUCUCAAGCGCUAUCAUAAAACAUCAAUGGUUAAUUUAAAUAAUAUAUCAUCCAGCAUGUAUUUUAUUAGAAAUAAUCAAACAAUGAAACAUGUAUAUCAGAACACUCAAGCAUUAUUAGACAUAAGCAUUAUUUCACUAUUCACAGAAUUCAGAAAGUAGGUGAUAGAGGACAUACCUGGAUAGCAUAGAUAAUUUGUAAUGUGCUUCCUCAAGUUGUAAGGGGUUAGAUAACAAAUAAUAAAAUAUAGAAAUCCUAGCAUGCUCGUUAUCUAAUUAGCAUAGCAAAAGUGAUCACAGUAUACAGAAUCAUCAAUUAUCACAUACAUCUUGUAUAUAAUUCCUAAAAAAAAUAGAUAGACAUGAUUUCAACAAGUGUCAAAUGUGGCAACAAAAAUAAAUUUUGAAAAGAUUUUCUUAUGUAGGGGUUUCACCAAUUCCCCAAAUUAAUAUACACGAAUUUAGCUUAGAAUUAUCCCAUUUAUUUGGGACUACAAGCUUUGAUUCGUGUUUUUGUUCAAAACCAAAAAUUUUUGUUGAAAAUCAAGAAGGAUGCGAACCGAACAAGAUAUGGUUGCAUAUUAUUUUUAAAUAAAUAAAUAAAUAAAUAAAGGAGAUUUUGAUCCUGAGGACUUUAAUGAGUUUUUUUUUUUAAAAUAGAUUUUUAAAAUGAUUUUUUUGAGAAAAGUAUUUUAUUUUAAAAUAAAAGGGAUUAAUUUGGGAAAAAAAUAAAAUAUAAGAAAUAAAAUACCAAACAAAACAAAAAUGAAACCUCAAAGUAAAAUUUUUUUAGUAAUUAACAAAAAUGAUAAUGGUGAUGGUAGAGGGCAAUCUUCAUGAUUUUCCAAUGGCCUCAGAAAGAAAAUCAAAUUAAAUGAAGGAUCACUAACAGGCAAGACAUUCUAAAUUAGACAAACUAACAAAGUAUCAAUUCAUGAACUAACCGCUAGGAUUUUGAAAGCAUAUAAGCUAAGAUAAGGGUGAUCAGGAACUAAUAUUAAUGAUUUUGAAAUAAAAACUAAAAAAAAGGAUCAAUUCGGGUAAGGAACUAAAAUUAUAAAAGUACCUAAACUAAUUAUGACGAGUUUGACUAAAUUAAACUAAAAACAUGAACUUUCAAACAUAGAAUUAAUUUUACUAAUGAACCAAAGCAAACUAAAAAUAUGUACUUUCAAGCAUAGAAUUAAUUUUAUUGAUGAACUAAACUAUAACAAAUAUCUAAACUAAAUAUAAUGAAUCAAAUUAAAUUAAAGCAACUUAAAAACGCAAACUUUCAAACAUAGAAUCAAUUUUAUCAAUGAAUUAAAACUAUAAAUGUAUUUGAACUAAAUAGAUGAAUCAAACUAAAUCAGAGCAAAAUUAAAAAAAAAAAAGAACUUUCUAACAUGAAAUCAAUUUUAUCAACAAAUAAAUGAAUGAAUAACAAGUAAUUAAAAGAAUAGCUACUACAUGAAUAACUGAAUGAAUAAAAUUCAAAUGUUUUCAAUCUGAAGCAAUCAAUCAAAAUUAAAUAGGGAUCAAAUCAAAAUAAUCGAAAUCGGAAAAACAAUAUGCAAUCUUUCUAAAGGUUUAACCAGACAAUUGAAUUAAAAUUAUGAAUAGAAUAAAUUAAUAAACCAAAUCGAAACCUAAAUUGUACCUAAAAAGAUUAAUUAAUUAAACUAAGAAAUCAAAAUCAAUAACAAAACUAAACUAAGGAGUAAAUUAAGACAAGACUAAUUAAAUUAAACUCACAAACACGUUUUAACUAUCAUAUGGAUUAAAACAAAAUUAGCAUGGACUUAUGAAUUACGAACAAAAAUAAUCAAAACUAUUUUAAAAAACUCACCUCUAUUAUAAGAAAAAAUCUGCCUUUGAUGCGUUGAGGUGGCUCCCCUCUCUGUGUGGAUCUCUCUGCUCCCCAGAAAAAAAAUGUCUCUUCCUCCGUUCUCUUUUGUUUCAGCAAAAUAAUAUAUCCCCUGCUGUGGAUCUCUCUACUCCCAGAAAAUAAUAUAUUCUCUCCGUGUCCUAAAGUGGACCUAGGGUGCCUAAGUGGACCUAGGGUGCCUAAAUGGGCCUAGGGUGCCUAAAUGGGCCAAGUGUAUCUAAAUAGGCUUAGGGUGCCUAAGUGGGCCUAAGUCUAAGUGAGCCUAAGUCUAAAUCAAGACUACCAAGGAUCAUAAUAAGGGGUUAGGCAAUCCCUUAACCAAAGUCUCCAAGGUGGCUAAAAAAAAGUAAGUAGUAUGAGUAGCUAUGGGUCACCAAGGAACUACUGUGGAGCAUUGAAAACGAAUUUAAAGACAUGUGCCAAAGGGACAAAAUUGAGGGUCUACAGAUGGUUAGACACAUAGUUGCUCAUGGGAUAUUUGACUUUGGUAAACAAUUCAGAUUCAUAUGUGGGUUUAGGAAUACCUUUAUUAUGACGGUGUGGUAAUCGUUUCAUGAAUGGAUCAGGUUGCAAAUUAAGAACACCCUCAGCAAACAACGAUUGGUUUGGUAUUUCAGUGAAGACAUCUUCGAACCCAAAUUGUUGACCACUCAUAUCCAACUCACCCGCUUCCUGGUUCACUAGUUCAGAUUGUCCAAAUUCAUCAUUCUCAUAGAUAUGAUAAUCAUAAUCGAGAGUCUGAAUUUCCUUAUGGUACUCCCCCUGAAGUUCAGACUUAGAUGAAAAAUACAUCGAAUAUUCAUGAAACAGCNNNNNNNNNNNNNNNNNNNNNNNNNNNNNNNNNNNNNNNNNNNNNNNNNNNNNNNNNNNNNNNNNNNNNNNNNNNNNNNNNNNNNNNNNNNNNNNNNNNNNNNNNNNNNNNNNNNNNNNNNNNNNNNNNNNNNNNNNNNNNNNNNNNNNNNNNNNNNNNNNNNNNNNNNNNNNNNNNNNNNNNNNNNNNNNNNNNNNNNNNNNNNNNNNNNNNNNNNNNNNNNNNNNNNNNNNNNNNNNNNNNNNNNNNNNNNNNNNNNNNNNNNNNNNNNNNNNNNNNNNNNNNNNNNNNNNNNNNNNNNNNNNNNNNNNNNNNNNNNNNNNNNNNNNNNNNNNNNNNNNNNNNNNNNNNNNNNNNNNNNNNNNNNNNNNNNNNNNNNNNNNNNNNNNNNNNNNNNNNNNNNNNNNNNNNNNNNNNNNNNNNNNNNNNNNNNNNNNNNNNNNNNNNNNNNNNNNNNNNNNNNNNNNNNNNNNNNNNNNNNNNNNNNNNNNNNNNNNNNNNNNNNNNNNNNNNNNNNNNNNNNNNNNNNNNNNNNNNNNNNNNNNNNNNNNNNNNNNNNNNNNNNNNNNNNNNNNNNNNNNNNNNNNNNNNNNNNNNNNNNNNNNNNNNNNNNNNNNNNNNNNNNNNNNNNNNNNNNNNNNNNNNNNNNNNNNNNNNNNNNNNNNNNNNNNNNNNNNNNNNNNNNNNNNNNNNNNNNNNNNNNNNNNNNNNNNNNNNNNNNNNNNNNNNNNNNNNNNNNNNNNNNNNNNNNNNNNNNNNNNNNNNNNNNNNNNNNNNNNNNNNNNNNNNNNNNNNNNNNNNNNNNNNNNNNNNNNNNNNNNNNNNNNNNNNNNNNNNNNNNNNNNNNNNNNNNNNNNNNNNNNNNNNNNNNNNNNNNNNNNNNNNNNNNNNNNNNNNNNNNNNNNNNNNNNNNNNNNNNNNNNNNNNNNNNNNNNNNNNNNNNNNNNNNNNNNNNNNNNNNNNNNNNNNNNNNNNNNNNNNNNNNNNNNNNNNNNNNNNNNNNNNNNNNNNNNNNNNNNNNNNNNNNNNNNNNNNNNNNNNNNNNNNNNNNNNNNNNNNNNNNNNNNNNNNNNNNNNNNNNNNNNNNNNNNNNNNNNNNNNNNNNNNNNNNNNNNNNNNNNNNNNNNNNNNNNNNNNNNNNNNNNNNNNNNNNNNNNNNNNNNNNNNNNNNNNNNNNNNNNNNNNNNNNNNNNNNNNNNNNNNNNNNNNNNNNNNNNNNNNNNNNNNNNNNNNNNNNNNNNNNNNNNNNNNNNNNNNNNNNNNNNNNNNNNNNNNNNNNNNNNNNNNNNNNNNNNNNNNNNNNNNNNNNNNNNNNNNNNNNNNNNNNNNNNNNNNNNNNNNNNNNNNNNNNNNNNNNNNNNNNNNNNNNNNNNNNNNNNNNNNNNNNNNNNNNNNNNNNNNNNNNNNNNNNNNNNNNNNNNNNNNNNNNNNNNNNNNNNNNNNNNNNNNNNNNNNNNNNNNNNNNNNNNNNNNNNNNNNNNNNNNNNNNNNNNNNNNNNNNNNNNNNNNNNNNNNNNAACCAAAGGAAGCAUGUUCCAGACGUCGAUGCCACAACCAAAUUUCAGACUUUUUCUUCUCCUCCUUAGAUCCAUCUGCCAUCAAGGCUUGUUGCAACUUAUUUGAAUCCUUUGAUUGCAAGUCCAAGUAUAGAGUUUCCCCCGCUUAAUACGACAACCAAUCGUCUGUCUUGUUUGAAUGUCCUUAAUCACACAAAAUUCAGGCCAAAAAAUGACAAUACAAGAUAAGGCUGCAGUGAUUUGAGAAACUAACAAAAGAUUGUAAUCUAAAGAUGGAACAACUAAAACAGAAUCCAAAUUCAAAGUAUCAGUAAGAGUUAAGGAUCCUUCCCCAAUGACUGGGGUUGUGUUACCAUUGGCUGUGGAAACAAUUUUUUGUGAGGAAGGUCUAAGGGGUGAAACCUGUCUAGAAUCAAAAGUCAUAUGAUCUGUAGCACCAGAAUCAAUUAUCCAUGCACUAUUAAUAACAGGUGUAAAAGUAUUUAAAAACUUACCACAAUGAUCUGUAGCGGCUACUAAUGCAGAGACUUUCUCAACAACAUUAGUCUUUGUUUUUAUUUCGGUAACAGUUGCAAUCAAGGUUUUCUUGGAAUUCUUCUUCCGUUGAUCACGAUUAUUAUCAUUAAUAACAAAGUGUUGAUAGCCUAAACAUGAUCUAAAGGUCCAUGGUGCAAACCCUCGGUUCCUCAUUGUUUUCCUGGUCAUACCAAGAGUUGUUGCUUUGAAAUUGUGGGAUAUCCAGACUGGUGGGAUCAGUUUUAUUGCAGUGAGUGCAUUUGAAUGUUGACUUAUCAAUAUUAGGGCUUGUCUUCGGAUGGUUGAUUGCUGUUGGACUACCAUAGCGACAAAAUAUCCAGGAUUUCAAUUCCAGGGCUCUGAUACCAUCUUCAAAUUGAUGAAUGAUAGUUUUUCAUUCAUUCUUUCAUGUACAGAGUAUAUAUAGAGGGUAAUCACCAUUCUAAGAAUGGGAAAGAAUGAUACGAGGAAAUAAUGAUAUAAGGAAAUAAUAACUAAUAUCCUAAUAUCUCAACUUUCCUAAUAUCUCAAUAUUCCUAAUAUCUCAACUUUCCUAAUAUCUAAACAUUCAUAAUAUCUCAACACUAAAUGAUACAAGGAAAGAAUGAUAUAAGGAAAACAUUCCUAAUAUCUCAACACCACUUCAUGAUAUAUAUAGUUUCUUACCCUUAAUCAAUGGUUUCUAAGUGAAUUUAUAUAGAAAGAAAUCCAAACUGUAGACAGCAGUAUUGGUAACACUCAAUAUUCUGUAUAUAAUAGAAUAAAUAGCGUCACAGUGAUCGUCGCCUACAAGCAAGGUACAAAUACCACAAAGAGUGACCCACAUAGACAUUCCCCAACAAGAUGUAGUAGUGACUGACACAUAGCCACAAUUAACACGUAGAAAAGGAUAAGACCGGUGCACAGUAGCUCUUAUUUUACAUACUACUUAUGCCAACCAAAGUCACUCAGUUGGGAUGGGAGGGAGAUGGAGGUUUGUGCGGUGGCUUGUGGGGCGGAGUUGAUGGCUUCUUUCCAGGAGCUUCUGGCUUUUUCAUCGGAGCUGAAGGAGGCUCAAUCUUAUGAGGCGGCUUGUACGAGUCUUCUUUGCUCUCGAAAGGAGGGUGGCCAGGGUUGUGACCAUAAUGUGGUGGUUUCUCUCCCUUGGGAGGUUUACCAAUUGGGGUUGGUGGCUUGUGUUCUGGGAGUGGUUUCUCUCCCUUGGGAGGUUUAGUGGGUGACUUGUGUUCUGGAGGUGGCUUCUCCACCGAAGGCUUGUGCUCCGGUGGUGGCUUUUUGGUUGGAGGGGGCUUGGGGUAAUCAGCAAGAGAUGGGGUGGUGAGAACCACCAGUCCAAGGAACAACACUAGCAAGUAUGUGGGAGACAUUUUUGAGUUUGGGCUGAUCAGAUGAUGCAAAACUAAAGCAUUACGUGACCUUUUAUAGCAAGUAGCUCCCAAUACCUACUUGACACGUGUUACUGUGACCCAUAAAUAUUAUGGGGUCUAUUUGUGCCCUACCGGGUUGAAAACUUGGACAAUUGGGCAAGGACCCGCCUGACUAUGGAGGACUACUGAGGUGUGAUCACAGCUUUAGGAUUUUUCUUCCUCUGCAGCCGUCUUGCCGUUGGCAUGAUUUUCUUAAUCUCAAAUAAAGGCAUAGUUAUAGAGUUGUUUAAUCUCUAAAUGGGAUUUUAUAUAUCUUCAGAUAGCCAUUAAUACAUUUGAUGAAGAAAGAAAGACAAGUGCAUACAACAUGUAUACGACUAGCUUUCAUGGAGUUCAUUUAUGAUCAGUUUUCCUGUACAUGUAAACCAAGAUCAUAUAUGUUUUUGUUCCACAACAAUUUUGGAAUCUUGUUUAUCCGUUUUUAUCAUUAUAAUGUCACAUAGGCUGCCAACUUGGGCGCUAAAUUAAAGAUCCAGUUGGGCAAGUUCGUUUCAGAAUUUCAAUGGUGGAUUCAGGAAUUGUUUUAUAAGAUAUGCAAAAUAGUAGAGGGAUGAAUAGUGUUUCAUUAAGAAAAGAGCCCUGUAAAAAUAUUGUUUAAAGGUGCCAUAGAAACUAUAAUCAAUAAAUAACUUUUUUUCCCCAUGGGUGGUGUUUCUUGUGGGGAUCAGUGACUGGUUUGAGUCAACGCCGUGUCUCUUUAGUCCAGAAAUCAACUAUUUUAUGCAUUGAAUACAUCAACAAAGAAAAUAUGAAAGCCAAAUGACACCUCCCCCGCAAAAACUAAACCCUGGUUGCUAACUUUCUAUGUUUCAGUUCCAUUCACACAAGAAUAUUAGUUCAAGUUUGAGAAAAAUGGCGACUUACCUAGUGAUAACUCGGUCUUGGUUUGCGAUUUGACUUUAACGUCAUGGGUUGAAGCCUCCUACAAUCAUCGUGUAUGCUAGUUCAAAGCUCGUGGAAGAAGUUAUACAGGGAGGGAGAAACCUCCACAGCAAGCUCCAAAAGAGAAUUAUCACAUUGAAAGCUCCAGUUGAACACUGGGUGAAAGCCAUAACAAGAUUGGUUUUCUAUCGCUCUUUUAAGUAAUGGAAGAUUAUUAUCUCUGCUUGUCACUACAACCGUGCAUGCUGCUAGAUCUUUCUAGACACUUCAAACAGUGAAACCAAGUAUGAUUCUUUUUCUCUUGAGUGGGUCCACUUGCAUGCCAAUGAACGAGUUGAAAAGUUGGACAAUUGGCCACAGCGCGCACUUACCUUCUGGAACCGAAGGUCAGUGAAGUGGGGUUCCUUUUGGCCCCUUGUGUUUCUGUUCCAACCUACUCCAGGAACCGAAGUUCAGUGAAGUGGGGCUACUUUUGGCCUCUUGUGUUUCUGUUCCAACCAAACAAAAAUGGGAGGGAAAAAUAGCAUUAUGCUUGUGCUAAAGAUCAACGCAUGAUAGCUGAAUAAGGGAGAAAAAGGCAUUGCUAUCUCAAUUUCAUAAACUUGAUAAGUAGUGACAUUAAUAGUCUUCCUCAUAGAUGGAUACAUGGUUUUAUUUUAUUUAUUUAUUUUUAUUUUUUUGUUUUAUGUCAAUGCUAAUGAAUGAAGUGCAUUAGCUUGUUUUGUGACUAGAACUACAAAUGUCCAAAUUGGAGCUUCUCCAAUAUAUUUCUCAGUGAGUUAUUGAUUAGAACUCUUGGAUUGAGUUCCAAGAUUUGAAUCAGACCCCUCUAGCAGCUUCAGGGGUACGUAGCAACCUAUAGCAUAUUAAUGAAGACUUAGGAUUUAGACUUAGGAAUACAAAUUAAUAUGUACCUCAUGCUCUGACUAGCUUCCCUGCGUAUGCACAAAAUGGAGAUGACUCCCAAAAAAAUAGCAGAAUCGCCUUAGUAUGUUUUUGUGGUUAAGAUGAUUCUCCACUUUAUAUAUCCACAUUGGUUCAUUAUGCAAAUUAAUCAACUAAGCUAUUUUUAUUUUUUCUUAAAUGUGAAAUAGGAGCUCCAAAUUAACCUAACCAUUGGCCUGAUUGAAUUGAUUUCACUUGCAUAAUGUUAUAGUAGAAGUCCGUAAUUUGAAUUUUAUUUUUGCAAAAGGUAACGUAAAUGAAGCAUUGUAAUUAAAUUUAUUUGUAAUUACAAACUAAUUUUAUUUUAUUAAGAAUUAAUUUAAUUACUCAUUUAAAAUAAAAAUCAGUUAUACUUUUACCAAGAUGAUAAUAUUCAUAUUUUUCUAGUUAACAUAUAUAAAAUAGUACACUUUUUCAUAUAAAAAAAUAAUUUAUGAUUUAUUAUAAUGUUACUAUUCACAUUUUACUAAAUUGAUGGUACAUGAUAGUGAGAGAAGGGGGUGUCACACUCAGCUAAAGUUCUUUUCAAAAUAUUGCAUGGUGUUUAAUUUUAUGUGUCGGCGCGCGUGUGAAUGGAACCUGCAAAAGUCCAAAUUGGCGUUUCUCCAUUUUCCACAUAGGAUGGUGACGUUAAUAGACAAAGAUACAAUAUCUGUAGACAUUGCUUAAAAAUCGAUGUGAAGUAUUAGAAAUUACAGGGCACUGUACUGGGGGAGCGGCUGCCCCGCCAAAGGAGGAAGAAUGUAGCAAUUUCUUCUGUUAGCCAGGCCUUAGGAUUUAUGCAUGGGAUGCCUAAUAACAAACAGAGAAAAUAUACUUUUGGGGAAGGUAUCCAACAACAGACACCAUCAUUCAGAUGGUGGGAAGGUAUCCAACAGAUGCCAUCAUUCAGAUGGUAACAUAUAUAUACAUUUAUUAGUGAGUUUUUUUAAUACCUAUAAAAAAAAAUAUACACUUUGAUAUUGUGGCUGAAUCCAUUACAUACUCAACUAACCUUGCUCAUUAGGGAUUUGACUUAACAAGGGCAACGUUGCAGUACAAGCUCAAAACUUUAUGCAGGUGACAUUACAUUUGGUAAAGAAGAGGAAAAUAACGAAAGCCAUCCAUAAAAGCAAAAUUCCACAUGGGAUGAAAUUCACAAGCUUCAUUUACGAUAGAGUCGCAUCCAGGCAAUUAAUUCCACAUUAGACCGCCUGUUGACAUGUGUACCAAUCUUUUUUCAAAAAAUAUUUAUAAAUAAUUGAUACUCACAAAAAUAAUUUAAUAUUUAUAAAGGAUAAAAAAAUAUUUUCAAAUCUAUAACAAUUUAUAAAAUAUUAAUAAAAAAUUAUCUCUUAAACUUAGUAUAGUUUUAUCAGAUUAAACUUUUAUUUUGAACAAAUAAUUUUAAUCUAAGUUUUAAAUUCUAAAAUUAUUUCCUUAAAAUAAAAUUUUAAAAUUCAACACUUCAAUUGAAAUUGUCUUUUUAAAAAAUAUCUUCUUAUUUUAAUCCUUAUAAACUAUAGUUGAUUGAAAAUACUAUUGAAGUUCUCUCUUAAAAAAAAGUCUUAUUUUAAUCUUCAUAAAUUGCCCUUGAUUUGAAAAUAAAUUUUCAGUUAUCAUAUUUUAAAUAAUAUCUAUAUUUAAAAUACUCUAUUUAAAAAAAAAUGAACUAAUUUUAAUUAUAUUAUAUUUUAUUUUUUUAUAUAUUUUUAAUGAUAAACCAAACAUAGAAAAUCAUUUUUCUAAAUAUUUUAAAAUUUCUAAGCAACCAAACAUAAUCUUCAAAAUAAAAGGAAAAUAAGGAGGGACAUUUGAGAAAUGGCGAUUAAAAAAAAGUGUACAAAAGCUCAAUUAAUUUUCUUCUAGUCUUUUAUAUAAAAAAGUAAAGGAAUUGAAAAGUAUUGAUAUGUAAAUUAAUAUUUGGAUUUUAAUAGUAUUUUAUUUGUCUUUCUCUAUCUCAUGUAAAAGAGAAUUUAAGAUAUUUCCUAAAGCAAAGCAUUAGUUAUCUGCAAUCAGUGGUGAUCAUGCCCCAUGUCAAUUUCGGACCCAUAUCUUAAAACUGUAUAAUUUGCAUUCAAACAUUACUGAUUUCUCAGAUGUUUCAUACUCCACAGAAGAGCAUUGUUUGUGAAAGCAUGCAUUUAUGUUGGAUUUUGGAUGAUGUGGGAACUGGGGCAAGGAUCAUAUGGAAGAGUGGUCGAUUUUGUUCUGUACUUUAACAUUUGAAAUAGGAGAAGCUCGGGCAUUUGUGGGGCUUAAUUGAUUUUGAAGCCUGAAAUUGCGUUUCUGUCAUUUUGUAAAAAAUAUGGCAGAUUCCAUGCUCUCAUAUGUUUGGUCUGUGGCCAUGUAUAGAUGCCCCUUAGUGACCAGUUUGUAACUGUCAAUCAUAGUGUUUUGACUCUGGCUCAACAACAUCAGCCAUUGACGGAUUUUCAUACUUGCAAAUCAAAUAGUCUUCUUCCUCCCUUAGGAAUUUCGGUUUAAAUGUUAUUAAGCAUACAUUUGGCUGACAAUUAUUAACCACUUCAUGAUAUGGUUUCUUACCCUUAAUCAAUGGUUUCUAAGUGAAUAUAUGCAGAAGGAAAUCUGAACUGUAGACAGCAGUAUUGAUAACUCUCAAUAUUCUUUAUAUAAGAGAAUAAACAACGUCAUAGUGAUCGUCGCCUACAAGAAAGGUACAUUUCCCAACAAGAUGUAGUUGUGACUGGUACAUGGACGCAAUUAACUCGUACAAAAGAAUAAGACCAGUGCACGGCAGCUCUUAUUUUACAUGCUAAUUAUGCUAACCAAAGUCACUCAGUUGGGAUGGGAGGGAGAUGGAGGUUUGUGCGGUGGCUUGUGGGGCGGAGUUGGUGGCUUCUUUUCAGGAGCUUGUGGCUUUUUCGGAGCUGAAGGAGGCUCAAUCUUAUGAGGCGGCUUGUACGAGUCUUCUUUACUCUCGACAGGAGGGUGGCCAGGGUUGUGACCAUAAUGUGGUGGCUUCUCUCCCUUAGGUGGCUUGCCAACUGGGGUUGGUGGCUUGUGUUCAGGAAGUGGUUUCUCUCCCUUGGGAGGUUUACCAAUUGGGGUUGGUGGCUUGUGUUCUGGGAGUGGUUUCUCUCCCUUGGGAGGUUUAGUGGGUGACUUGUGUUCUGGAGGUGGCUUCUCCACCGGAGGCUUGUGCUCCGGUGGUGGCUUCUCCACCGGAGGCUUGUGCUCCGGUGGUGGCUUCUUGAUUGGAGGGGGCUUGGGGUAAUCAGCAAGAGAUGGGAUGGUGAGAACCACCACUCCAAGGAACAACACUAGCAAGUAUGUGGGAGACAUUUCUGAGUUUGAGCUGAUCAGAUGAUGCAAAACUAGAAGAAUUACGGGACCUUUUAUAGCAAGUAUCUCCCAAUACCCACAUGACACGUGUUACUAUGACCAUAAAUAUUAUAGGGUCCAUUUGUGCCCUACCGGGUUGAAAACUUGGACGCUUGGCCGAGGACACACCUGACUAUGGAGGACUAUUGACGUGUGAUCACAGCUUUUGGAUUUUUCUUCCUGUGCAGCUGUCUAGCGGUUGGCAUUAUUUUCUUAAUCUUAAAUAAAGGCAUAGUUAUAGAGUUGUUUAAUCUCUAAAUGGGAUUUUAUAUAUCUUCAGAUAGCCAUUAAUAUAUUUGAUGAAGAAAGACAAGUGCAUACAACAUGUAUACGGCUUGCUUCAAUCGAGUACAUUUAUGAUCAGUUUUCCUGUGCAAGUAAACCAGUUUUUUGUUCCACAACUAUUUUGGAAUCUUGUUUAUCAGUUUCUAUCAUUAUAAUGUCACAUAGGCUGCAAACUUGGGCACCCAAAGAUCUAGGUGGGCAAAUUUGUUUCAGACUUUCAAUGGUGGAUUCAGUAAUUGUUAAAAGGUGUUUCUUCAUUAAGGAAAGAGUCCGGUAAAAAUAUUGUUAAAAGGUGUCAUAGAAACUAUAAUAAAUAAAUAACUUCUUUUCCCCAUGGGUGGUGUUUCUUCUGGGGAUCAGUGACUGGUUAGGGUCACCCAAAAUGAGUCCAGAUUAAAAUUGGUUCGAGUCAAAGCAGUCUCUUUUGUCCAGAAAUCAACUAUUUUGCGCAUUGAAUGAAUCGAUAAAGAAAAAAUGAAAGCCAAAUCACACCUCCCCUGCAAAACCUAAACCCCGGUUGCUAACUUUCUAUGUUUCAGUCCUAUUCAUAUAGGAAUAUUGGUUCAAGUUUGAGAAAAAUGGCAACUUACCUAGGGUUUACUUGGUUUUGGUUUGCGACUAUUUACGCAACCAACCAUGAGUUUGACUUUAACGUCAUGGGUUGAAGCCUCCUACAAUCAUGUAUGAUAGUUCAAAGCUCGUGGAAGAAAUUAUACAGGAAGGAAGAAACCUCCAAAGCUAGCUCCAAAAGAGAAUUAUCACAUCGAUAGCUCCAGAGAUUCCCAAGGGAACUGAAUCAAAGACAAGUUCCUCACUUUUUCUUCUUUUGAGGCCAAAUAUGAACCAAGGAUCACACGACCUCAUUCAACUUCAUAAGUUUGAUUUCAUGCAGUUGAACACUGGGUGAAGGCCAUGACAAGAAUUGAUUAAAAAAUUCUACCACUCUUUUAAGUAAUGGAAGAUUAUUAUCUCUGAUUGGCACCACAACAGCACAUGCUGCUAGAUCUUUCUAGACACUCCAUGCAAUGAAAGCACAAUGGAUCUUGUAAUGAUAGAAACUAAGCCAUGCUACAGUACUAGAUGAGGGGGUAAAACUAGUAGACAUCUUUCUAGACACUCCAUGCAAUGAAAGCACAAUGGAUCUUGUAAUGAUAGAAACUAAGCCAUGCUACAGUACUAGAUGAGGUGGUAAAACUAGUAGACAUGGCUGGCAGUUGAUUACUACUCAAAAAGUACUCUUUUAUAGCUUGAAACUAACUGUUUUAAACACUUUUGAGUAGUAGUUAAUACCUUUUAACUUAAUUGGCACAUUAAGGAACCUAGCAAGGGUUACUAAUCAACAUUUGGCAAGUUUUGAUGUUUUUGGUAGCUAUUUGAUCAUUGAAACAAGCCAAGAAUGAGGGGGAAUUUUGUGAAGUCCAUGGCAAUGCAAGUUAAAGCUCAAAUACAUGAAGAAUCCAAGCUUUGGAGCACUUCAUAGCCCUUUGCCAAGCCAAUCAAAGAUGCAAGGAAGAAAACCAAAGGAAGAAAUCCAACAAUCAGCAUUUUGGCAUGGCUAUGUGAAAUUUCGCACACCAUGCGAAACCACAAGAGGCAGCCAAAGAAUUUCGCAUGGUAUGCGAAAUCUUCUUGUGCACUGACUCUGUUAGAUUUUUAUCUUCAGAUAUUUUGUGUAAUUUCCUAGUUUCUCCUUGUAACCAACUUAGAUAUUUUCUUUUAUAUCUUUUUUUAUAUUUUUUAGGUAACAUCAUAUAUAAGAGGAGAGACAUAAGGAGGAUAUGGAUGUUUUUCAUAGAACACUUGUAAAUUUUUGGUAGUAAGAAAUAUACAAAGCUUUUUGCUCUGCCUUACCUUCUCAAGGGAUGAGUGGCUAGGUUUUCUUGGAGUGAGGGAAGCUAGGUGAAGGACCUGAAUGCAAAGGUGGGAGUUUUCCUUACUUUAAAUGAAAGUAGUUGUUAAACAUUAAUGGUUUUUAUUUUAAGGUUUAGCUUUAAAUCCCUGAAAAACACCUUGAAUGGCCAAUACUUGGUAAGCUUUUUAGAUUCUAUGGAUGCUUAUUGCUAGAUCCAUGGAUGUCUAUUAGUUAUCAUUUACGAGCCAUUGGAAGGUGAUUCAAGGUGAGGGUCUUUAGUGUUUGAAGCCAUUAAUGGGAAGCAAUUACCAUUUUUUCAUGAAUCCUUUGGAUCAAAUCUUAAUUGCUAAAUAUAAAACCGGUUUCGAGAGAUAACCACCAUCCUUUAUGUUAUUAUCCCCAACGCGAGGAGAAGAUCCGAAAUCUUCCUUUUUAUCUAAGGAACCCGAUCCUAGUGACCUAAAGCUCCAAGAUACCUUUUCUUUGUAGUUAACUUCAUUUAUUGUUUUUGCUUAACUUAAAAUCAAUCUUUGCAACCACAAUUCCAUUUUCUUUAAAAGCUAAUUUUUAUAAGGAAAAACACCAUUUUAUUUCCUUCACUAAGUCAACUGUACGAUGAAAACCCAUCCCUGUGGACGAUCCUAGAGCCACUAUACUAUGUUAGCUAUGCUACCCUAGUGUGAGGUGAUUUAGGUUUUAUAAAUUUUUUUGAUAACACCCAUCUGAGCCAGAAUCAAAUGGCACGACUGAACCAGGGACGAAUCAAAUGACGCCGCUACCAAGGAUGGUGCCAAAGUACAUUGACAUGACUUUUGGUGAACACUUGUGAUCUUCACCACAAGUUUGGUGAUUUUUCUUUUACUAAUUUUUUUUAUUUUAGCUUAUCUUUUAUUUAGUUUUUAGUUAACCUUAAAUUUUUCCUAGAAUUGUAUUUCUUUUGUUUUCUUUGUUUUUGUUUCAGUGAUCUUUAGUUGUGCAUGCCCUAUUGGAUAAGAGAUAUUGAGGGAAUACUUGUGAAGAUUGAAACUCCUCGAGAAACUGAGUUAGAAGUGUGCUUGAACAUCAUGGAUGUUCCACCUGAAGACCAGAAUAGCCAACAUGGUUAAGAGGAUAAUUUCAACACAUACCGAUCCAUGAGGAACCGCAUACAUCCACCUUGUAUGAGUGCACCGUCAGGCAUAAUGCCUCCCACUGAGCAGCUAGUAAUCUGACCUCACAUUGUGCCACUCCUACCUACUUUCCAUGGGAUGGAGAGUGAGAAUCCCUACUCGCAUAUUAAGGAAUUCGAGGAGGUUUGUAAUACAUUCCAAGAAGGAGGAGCUUCAAUUGACUUGAUGAGGCUCAAGCUAUUUCCUUUCACUUUGAAGGAUAAGGCCAAGAUUUGGCUUAAUUCUUUAAGGCCAAGAAGUAUCCAAACUUGGAUUGAUUUGUAAGCCGAGUUUCUUAAGAAGUUCUUCCCUACCCAUAGGACCAAUGGUUUGAAAAGGCAAAAUUUGAACUUCUCAGUUAAAGAGAAUGAGAAAUUCUAUGAGUGUUGGGAGAGCUACAUGGAAGCUAUUAACGUUUGUCCUCACCAUGGCUUUGACACAUGGCUCUUAGUGAGCUAUUUUUACAAUGGUAUGUCUUCUUCAAUGAAGCAACUCCUAGAAACUAUGUGUGGAGGAGACUUCAUGAGUAAGAAUCCGGAGGAAGCCAUGGACUUUUUGAGUUAUGUGGCUGAAGUUUCAAGAGGAUGGGAUGAACCAAAUGCUAGAGAGGUGGGAAGAAUGAAGUCUCAACCUAAUGCUAAGGGUGAGAUGUAUGUUUUGAAUGAAGACAUUGACAUGAAAGCAAAGGUUGCAGCUAUGGCAAGGAGAUUGGAAGAGCUAGAAAUGAAGAACAUACAAAAAGUGCAAGCCAUUUCUGAGACAUCAAUGAAAGCUAUGCCUUGUUCCAUUUGUCAAUCUUAUAAGCACCUAGUGGAGGAGUGUCCUACAAUUCCAGCAGUGAGAGAGAUGUUUGGUGAUCAAGCAAAUGUUAUUGAUCAAUUCAAGCCUAAUAACAAUGCUUCAUAUGGCAACACCUACAAUUCAAAUUGGAGGAACCAUUCAAAUUUCUCUUGGAAACGAAAGCCACCUCAAUACACACAACCUACUCAAGCACCUUAGCAAUCCUCGAAUCUUGAACAAGCUAUUGUGAACCUUAGCAAGGUUGUGGGAGACUUUGUGGGAGAUCAGAAGUCCAUCAAUGCUCAACUGAAUCGGAGAAUUGACAGUGUGGAGAGUACAUUGAACAAAAGGAUGGAUGAGAUGUAAAAUGAUCUGUCUCAAAAGAUAGACAAUGUCCAAUACGUAAUCUCAAGGCUUACCAACCUCAACACAGUGUAAGAGAAAGGAAAGUUUCCUUCUCAACCUCAUCAAAAUCCUAAGGGUAUCCAUGAAGUAGAGGCUCAAGAGGGAGAAUCUUCAAAGGUGAGGGAAGUCAAAGUAGUUAUCACCUUGAAGAGUGGUAAAGAGGUUGAUCAACCCACAUCCAAGCCAAAGCAUAAUGAAGAGAGUGUAGCAGAAAAAGAAAAGAGAGGAAAAUAAAGGAAUUAGAAUAGAGAAAAAUACAAAGAAAGAUGACCAUGAGUCUAGUGUGGAUGAAGAGCCCGAGAGGAUGGUGAUCAAGGAAGAUAUGAUGAAGAAACACAUGCCUCCACCUUUCCCCUAAGCUUUGCAUGACAAAAAAAGAACCAAUAAUACAUCAGAAAAUUUUGAAGUAUUGAGGCAAGUGAAGGUCAAUAUCCCUUUGCUAGACAUGAUCAAACAAGUGUCGACAUAUGAAAAAUUCUUGAAGGACUUGUGCACUGUAAAGAGAGGGUUGAAUGUGAACAAGAAAGCUUUAUUGACCGAGCAAGUGAGUUCCAUCAUACAGUGCAAGUCCUAGUGAAGUACAAAGAUCCGGGUUGCCGUACCAUCUCAGUGAGUAUUGGAAGGACUUGUGUGGAGAAAGCUUUGUUGGACUUGGGAGCAAGUGUGAAUUUGCUAUCCUACUCUGUCUAUAAGCAGUUGGGAUUUGGAGAGUUGAAGCCAAUAUCCAUCACUCUAUCUCUAGCGGAUAGAUCAAUGAAGAUUCCAAGAGGGAUGAUCGAAGAUGUCCUGGUUCAAGUUAACAAAUUCUACUAUCCAGUAGAUUUUGUUGUUCUUGAUAUGGAUCCGGUUGUCAAAUGAACUAAUUAUGUUCCUAUCAUACUUGGAAGACCCUUCCUAGCUACAUCAAAUGCAAUCAUCAAUUGUAGGAAUGGAGUCAUGCAACUCACAUUUGUCAACAUGACAUUAGAGCUCAACAUCUUCCAUUUGUACAAGAAGCAUAUCCAUCAGGAGGAAAAAGAAGGUCUAGAGGAAGUGUGAAUGAUUGACACUUUAGUGGAAGAGCAUUGUGAUCGAGAAUGCAAAAAGAUUUAGUUGAGAAUUUUGGGGAUCUUGAUGAAAGGUUACUUGAACCCUCAGAUUUGCUUGCUACCCUACUCCAUUGGAAGAGAAGAGAAGAAAUUCUACCCUUAUUCAAUGAGGAGGAGACGCAAAGAGCUGCAAAGGAGAAACCCCCAAAACUUAUUCUUAAGCCACUACCCACAGAGUUGAAGUAUGUAUACUUGGAAGAAGACAAGAAGUGCCCUAUUGUUAUAUCUUCAACUCUUACCAUUCAUCAGGAGGAUUGUCUACUUGAAGUCCUUAGAAGAUGUAAGAAGACAAUAAGGUGGCUAAUUUCUUAUUUGAAAGGGAUCAGCCCUUUAGUCUGCACCCAUCAUAUUUACAUGGAGGAUGAAGCUAAGCUAAUUCAUCAACCUCAGAGAAGGUUGAACCCUCACAUGCAAGAGGUGGUUCGAGCUGAAGUUCUGAAGCUACUUCAGACCAGUAUUAUUUACCCCAUAUCAAAUAGCCCAUGGGUGAGUCCUACUCAAGUUGCGCCAAAGAAGUCUGGGAUCAUGGUGGUGCAAAAUGAUAAGGGAGAAGAUGUCUCUACACGCCUCACUACAGGUUGGAGGGUGUGUAUCAAUUACAGGAGGUUGAAUGCAGUGAUAAGAAAGGACCAUUUCUCAUUGCCCUUUAUUGAUCAGGUGCUUGAGAGGGUCUCUGGGCUUUUUUUUUUAUUGUUUCUUGGAUGGCUACUCCGGGUACUUUCAGAUAGAAAUUGAUGUUGAAAACCAAGAUAAGACCAUUUUCACAUGCCCAUUUGGAACCUAUGCAUAAAGGAGAAUGCCUUUCGGCUUAUGCAAUGCACCCGCAACUUUCCAAAGAUGCAUGUUAAGCAUUUUCAGUGAUAUGGUGGAGCGUAUUAUGGAAGUCUUUAUGGAUGAUAUCACCAUUUAUGGAAGUGCAUUUGAUGAAUGCUUGGUCAACUUAGAAGCUGUUCUGAACCGAUACAUUGAGAAAGACUUAGUGCUUAACUGGGAGAAGUGCCAUUUCAUGGUACACCAAGGGAUUGUCCUUGGGCACAUUAUCUCCAAGCAAGGCAUUGAAGUUGACAAAGCAAAGGUUGAACUCAUUGUUAAGUUGCCAUCCUCAACAAAUGUCAAAGGAGUAAGGCAAUUCUUUGGCCAUGUCGGGUUCUAUAGGAGGUUUAUCAAGGAUUUCUCUAAGCUUGCAAGGCCUCUUUGUGAAAUAUUGGUGAAUGAUGUUAAAUUCAUAUGGGAUGAUGGAUUUGAAAGGAGUUUUGAAGAAUUGAAGCUAUUUUUGACAACCGUACCAAUAGUGAGGGCUCCCAACUGGCAACUGCCCUUUGAAGUAAUGUGUGAUGUCAAUGAUUUUGCUAUAGGAUUUUUUCUUGGGCAAAGAGAAAAUGGAAAACCUUAUGUGAUCUACUAUGCGAGGAAGGCAUUGAAUGAGGCACAAAGAAACUACACAACCACCGAGAAAGAAUUGUUAGCUGUAGUUUUUGCCUUGGAUAAGUUUCGCGCUUACUUGGUGGGGUCCUUCAUCAUGGUUUUUACUGAUCACUUUGCUUUGAAGUAUCUGUUGACUAAGCAAGAUGCUAAAGCAAGGCUGAUUAGAUGGAUUCUCUUACUUCAAGAGUUCAAUCUCCAUAUCAAAGAUAAGAAAGGAGUGGAGAAUGUGGUAGCAGACCACAUUUCAAGGCUAGCUAUCGCACAUAAUUCCCAUGCUUUGCCCAUUAAUGACGAUUUUCUAGAGGGGUCUCUCAUGUUGGUGGAAGUUGUCCCUUGGUACGCUCACAUUGCUAACUACCUGGUCACGGGAAAAGUUCCAAGUGAGUGGAAAGCACAAGAUAAGAAGCACUUCUUUGCAAAAAUUCAUGCCUACUAUUGGGAAGAGCCAUUUCUAUUCAAGUAUUGUAUGGAUCAGAUAAUAAGGAAGUGCGUUCCUGAAGAAGAGCAACAGGGGAUCCUUAGUCAUUACCAUGAAAAUGCAUGUGGAGGCCACUUUGCUUAUCAAAAGACAGCCAUGAGGGUGUUGCAAUCGGGUUUCUGUUGGCCAUCACUUUUCAAAGAUGCCCACACCAUGUGCAAGAGUUGUGAUCGAUGCCAGAGGCUUGGGAAGUUGACACGCAGGAACAUGAUGCCUUUGAACCCCACUUUAAUAGUUGAUAUUUUUUAUGUUUGGGGCACUAACUUCAUGGGACCUUUCCCUAUGUCUUUUGGCUACUCUUACAUCUUGGUAGGAGUAGAUUAUGUUUCUAAGUGGGUUGAGGCAGUCCCAUGCAAACACAAUGACCAUAGAGUGGUUCUCAAGUUUCUUAAAGAGAAUAUCUUCUCAAGAUUUGGGGUGCCCAAAGCCAUAAUUAGUGAUGGGGGUACUCAUUUUUGCAACAAGCCUUUUGAAACUCUCCUAGCCAAGUAUGGGGUGAAGCAUAAGGUAGCUACACCUUACCACCCUCAAACUCAUGGACAAGUUGAGUUAGCAAACAGGGAGAUUAAAAACAUAUUGAUGAAGGUGGUGAACACAAACAGAAAAGAUUGGUCAGUCAAGCUUCUUAAUUCACUAUGGGCAUAUAGAACAACUUACAAGACCAUUCUCGGGAUGUCUCCUUAUCGCCUAGUUUAUGGCAAAGCAUGCCAUCUCCCUGUGGAAUUGGAAUACAAAGCUUGGUGGGCAAUCAAGAAGCUCAACAUGGAUUUGAGCAGAGCUGGGUUGAAGAGGUUCUUAGACCUUAAUGAGAUGGAGAAAUUGAGAAAUGAUGCCUACAUCAAUUCAAAAAUUGCAAAAGAAAAAUUGAAGAGGUGGCAUGAUCAGUUGAUUUCCCGCAAGGAUUUUCAAAAUGGACAAAGAGUCUUACUUUAUGACUCUAAACUCCACAUCUUUCCGGGCAAGCUGAAAUCAAGGUGGAUAGGUCAUUUUACCAUUCACCAAGUGCAUUCAAAUGGAGUAGUGGAACUACUCAACUCCAACAAUAUCGAGAACUUCAAAGUGAAUGGCCACCGUCUCAAGCCCUUUGUGGAGUCUUUUUCUCACAACAAGGAGAAAUUCAUCCUCCUUGAUCCACAUCAAGCUUAACAAGACCAAUUUUCUUGAUGGACUUAGUCUUUCUAAAGACUAUCGAGUCCAUAACUUUUUGUUUUAUUUUUUAUUUGAGAUUUUUUCGGUAUUGUUACUUGUUUUGUUUUUUAUUUUUCGUUUUAAUUUUAUUUGGUUUGAUUUAACUUAGGUUUUUGAUGAUCAAUUACAGGGGGGAUUUCAAAUAGAGGAAAAACCAAGAUAAUUCGCACACCCUACGAAAAUUUCGCAAGGCAUGCGAAAUUUAUGGCUUAUUUUGCAUGGGGUGAAAAUUUUCGUACAUCUUACGAACCAAUUUCGAACACUUUGCGAAAAUAAACCAACCCUGCGAAAUCAUUUCGAUUACUCUACGAAAUUUUCGUAGAGCAUGCGAAAAAUUUAGCACACCAAACACCAUUUCGCAUACUAUGCAAAAACCUAAGGGGUCUGCGAAACCAUUUCGCACCUCCAAAUCCAUUUCGCACAUUGUGCGAAAACCAAGAGGCGCUGUGCGAAAAUGAAAAGUCGCCCUGUCAUCCCUUUUUAAACCCCUCGAGCCCUAAAAUCUCCAUUUCGCAAGCACCCCUGUCCUUGCGAAUCCCUCAUUUUCCUCUACUACCUUGCAACCUCGUCCCUUUCCAUUUGAUAUUGUGCCCCGCGCACAUCUCAUUUCAGAGACUCGCACUCCGCGCCCCCUCAAAGCAUGGACUCGAGACCCACCUUCCAUUUCCGACGUGGCACGGACCCAAGGAGCCCUUUCUGCCCCUUCACUAAGACACACACCAAGGCAGAAAGCCUCCUUUGCUCAAGUGCCUAGUGAUUCUCCAUCUUAGGCCUCAGAGGCCUCGGAGGCCCCGUGGAUUCCACCUUCCGAGGGUAGAGCAGCCAUUGGUCCUUCCUCUUCUACUCCUUAGCGUAGAUACGAGACGAGGAGACCACCUACUACACAAGGGGCGACUACUUCGAGCCUUGAGAAUUCAGUACGAUGCCUUCCUGCCAAGAGGGUCAAGACUUCAGGUCCAAGUGAGUCAUCCAGAGCUUCAUAGCCUAAGCCUCCUGUAGAUUCCAAGGUUCCUACUGACAUAUCACCGGAGUCUAUUAUCAGAAGCCCGAUGCUCAUAGCACCGCCCAUUGAGGGCAACUCAGAUUAUAGAGCGAGAUCUUUCCACUUGGAGCUAUAUUUUGAUCAGGAGGCCAUACGACAGCAGCCUGAGCUCCGAGACUCUUAUGGCUUACUGCAGAGGUACCAUCUUGAGGAACUUAUGACUCCUCGUGAGUUUUUUUAUCCCAGAGUAGCACUAAACUUUUACCAGUCCAUGACUACUCGUGGCGUCCCGAGUCCUACCACGAUUCACUUCACCAUUGAUAGACGUCAUGGUAUCCUCAAGGCCAGACAUAUUACAGAGGCUCUACAAAUUCCUUUCGAGCUAGAGGAUCCAUCUGUUUUUCGCUAAUGGUCCCCAGUAUCUCAGAGGGACAUGGUCCGUAUUUUAUCUAGGGGAACAUCUACAGAUUCGAUCUUUCUACGGAAGGAGCUUCGACCUGGGAUGCUCCUCUUAGAUGUGGUGCUAUGCUCCAACCUCUUUCCCUUACAACAUUCGGUACAUAGGUGAUGAGCUAUUUUGGACGCUUUAUUCCGUAUAUCAGAGGGCUUCUACUUUGGCCCGCACCACUUGAUCAUGGUCUCCCUCAUCCACUUUGAGGAGAAGGUUCAUAGGAAGAAGCUUCAGAGGGUGGACACCAUUCCAUUACUAUUCCUGAGGUUACUUUGCCAGGUCUUGGAGUACAUGGGCUUUCCUACUGAGCCUCGGCUCGAGCUUUGCCGCCUUUGUCGAGAGUGAUCCACUCUCGACAAAUGGAAUUAGUUGGCGGGCUAUUCUGCACCUCCAGGAGCCCCUCCCAUGGUAGCACCUCCAAUGUCCCCACAGGCAAAGUAGGGCGAGCUCCCGGCAAAGACUGUACCACCAAUGCCCACACUUGAGGCUAUUUCUGCUGCUCUGCCUAUGACUCCUACUGUUCCACCAGUUGGUCCUUUUACAUCCGAGCCUUCCAUCACCAUCUCGGCUUCGGAGUUUCGCGCCCUUGUGCAUACCUUUCAGACACUCACCACCACACAUACUCCUCUCUUCUAGCAAAUGGUUGAGAUGUGUGCCCAUCAGGACCGGAAGACUACUAUACUCUGCCAAAUUCAGCAGCACCUAAGACUUUUGCCUCAACCUCAACCUAACCAUCCCAUAUCAUCAGAGCCUCUAGCUCCAACUGAGGAUACUAUUCCACCUGAGAACACUACCACAGUAGAGGUCCGGUUUCCACCACCUUAAGAGGCCACCACAGCUACAUCAGAGGAUGUGUCAUCUCCACUUGAGGCUCCCACUACUUGAUCAUAGGACAUAUCUUUAUCUUAUUGUAUUUACAUAUUAUAUUACUAGAGAUUUGUCCUUGUUUUGAUACUUUAUAUUCUGGGAUUGGAUGUAUUGCCUGAUGAUAUCUCAAUUGUACUUUCUCAUAUUAAUAUAUAGACAUCAAUUUUUUUUAGUAUACUUAGCAUUUUUCUAUUUCCUCUACUCAUUACUCUUUUGUUUUUUUUUACUCAUGUGGUUUCUCUUAUACAACUCAGACUCCAUUUCACUCAGGAGGUACCACUUCCUCCCUUUAUUUUCAAUUGCUCUUGAAAUAUUGAGUGCAAUGUUGAUCUUGGUUGGGGGGAGAGUUGAGGAAGGAAGUUUUGUUAAUAAUGCUAGGUUAAUUUGUUAAUUUAGUUACUUUCUGCUUAAUUUUAAAAGUUUUCACUCUACUUUCCAUGGUUAUUAAGGAAAAAUUCUCAAAAUGAAAUGGGAGAAAUCGAAUUCUUGCAUUUUUACUUGAAUCUUAGAAUUUGUAUCAUGCUUAUUAAAGUUGAUGAAUUAUUGAAACUCCUAUUGAAUUCAACCUUAUUUUUUCCACUUUAAUCUUACCACACACGGUGCACAUUAGGUUCCAGUUAUAAGAUAAAAAACUAUCUCACCCCCUAAACUUAGAAAAAUUUACACUUGGUACCUUUGACAUCGUUUUAAUAGUGUUGGGACACCUUAUAAAAGGCCAAUGAGCCUUUAAAAAAAAAAAAAAAAAAAAAAAGAGAAAGAACAAAGUAUUGCACUUGCCUUGAAACCUGAGCAAGAUCCGAGGGGUAUACAGUGAAAGUCUUUAAAACCUGGUGCCCUAAGCCUUGAUUGGUUGGGAGUCACCGACCUCAAUGCUCGUUAUAAGGGUGAAUAGGUGGAGUUUAACAUAUUGUAGGUGCUUGGGUAUUGAAUUUCAAUCUCAAAAGUCCGGGAAAAAAUCUAAGGAGUUAGUGGUCAAAAGAUCCUUAAAGCUUGAUGCCCUAAACCUUGAUUGGUUGAGAGUCAUUGAUGGAUCCCCGCUACAUGGACAUUUUAGAAAACAAUACCUUUAGCAUUGCACGCCUACAAUGAAAAAAAAAUGUGAAAUAAAAGAGGUGCGUUCUUAGCCUAUUGGAGGUUGGUCAGUUUGCUAAAGUUUGAGAAAUCUAGGUUGGGGGGAGAGAAUAGUCCGACAUACUAUAAUAAAAAACUAAUAACCUUAACACUUAGAUUUUUGUGGAAGAGUAAGGAUUGGACCUUUAGGGGUGGAAAUUCUUUUGAUGCUUAAAUUUGCAUAAUGCCUACUCUUUAUAAAUUAUGAUUAGGCAAGAGAUUUGAUGACUCUUGUUCAAAGUUGGGUUUUUCCUCUUUGAUGUUCCAUGAGAGAGUAUAAUCCUCAUCAUGCCACUUGAAAUCUUUUUGGAGUGAUUAACAUGAUUUUGUAAAUUAUUUUACUGUCUAUUUUUCUUUAUCUCUCUUUUAUUGCUAAUGGACUAGCAAUAUGUCAGUUGGGGGGAGUGAUUACUACUCAAAAAGUACUCUUUUAUAGCUUGAAACUAACUGUUUUAAACACUUUUGAGUAGGUGUUAAUACAUUUUAACUCAAUUGGCACAUUAAGGAACCUAACAAGGGUUACUAAUAAGUUUUUGGCAAGUUUUGGUGUUUUUGGUAGCUAUUUGAUCAUUGAAACAAGCCAAGAAUGAGGGAGAAUUUUGUGAAGUCCAUAGCAAUGCAAGUUAAAGCUCAAAUACAUGAAGAAUCCAAGCUUUGAAGCACUUCAUAGCCCUUUGCGAAGCCAAUCAGAGAUGCAAGGAAGAAAACCAGAGGAAAAAAUCCAACAACCAGCAUUUUCGCAUGGCUGUGCGAAAUUUUGCACACCAUGCGAAACCACAAGAAGUAGCCAAAGAAUUUUGCACACCAUGCGAAAUUUCGCAUGGUAUACGAAAUCUUCCUAUGCACCAACUCCGUUAUAUUUUUAUCUUCAGAUAUUUUGUGUAAUUUCCUAGUUUCUCCUUGUAACCAACCUAGAUAUUUUCUUUUAUAUCUUUUUUUUAUAUUUUUUAGGUAACAUCAUAUAUAGGGGGAGAGACAUAAGGAGGAUAUGGAUGUUUUUCAUAAAACACUUUUAAUUUUCUGGUAGUAAGAAAUAUACAAAGUUUUUUGCUCUGCCUUACCUUCUCAUUUUGUUUUCACCUAUCUUUCUAGCCAAACAACCUCUGAGAAUGAUUUCUCAGGGGAUGAGUAGUUAGGUUUUACGUUUCUUGGAGUGAGAGAAGCUAGGUGAAAGACCCAAAUGCUAAGGUGGGAGUUGUCCUUGCUUUAAAUGAAAGUAGUUGUUAAAUAUUAAUGGUUUUUAUUUUAAGGUUUAGCUUUAAAUCCCUUAAAAACACCUUGAAUGGCCAAUACUUGGUAAGCUUUUCGGAUUCUAUGGAUGCUUAUUGCUAGAUCCAUGGAUGUCAUUAGUUAUCAUUUAUGAGCCAUUGGAAGGUGGUUCAAGAUGAGAGUCUUUAGUGUUUGAAGCCAUUAAUGGGAAACAAUUACCAUUUUUUCAUGAAUCCUUUGGAUAAAAUCUUAAUUGCUAAAUAUAAAACUGGUUCGGGAGAUAACCAUCCUUUAUGUUAUUAUGCCCAAUGCAAGGAGAAGAUUUCGAAUCUUCUCAUUUGUCUAAGGAACCCGAUCCUAGUGACCUAAAGCUCCUAGAGACCUUUUCUUUGUAGUUAACUUCAUUUAUUGUUUUUGCUUAACUUAAAAUCAAUCUUUGCAACCACAAUUCCAUUUUCUUUAAAAGCUAAUUUUUAUAAGGAAAAGCACCAUUUUAUUUCCUUCACUAAGUCAACUGUAUGAUGAAAACCCAUCCCUGUGGACGAUCUUAGAGCCACUAUACUAUGUUAUCUAUGCUAUCCUAGUGUGAGGUGAUUUAGGUUUUAUAAAUUUUGUUGAUAACACCCGUCUGAGCCAGAAUCAAAUGGAACCACUGAACCAGGGACAAAUCAACAGCCUAUAUGGGAGGGACACAAGUUUAAUUGAUUUGCAUUUCAGCGUUAUAGAUAAGUAUGUUUUGGAAGAUUUGUUCUGGAAAUACUGCACCAAGUACGAUUCUUUUUCUCUUGAGUGAGUCCAUUUGCAUGCCAAUUAACGAGUUGAAAAGUAGGAGCACCUACCUCGUGCUCAUGGAACCGAAUGUCAGUGAAGUGGGGCUCCUUUUAGCCUCUUGUGUUUCUGUUCCAACCAAGGCGGCGUAGGGAAAAACAACAAUAUGUCUGUGCUAAAUAUCAACGCAUGAUAGAUGUUUUUUUUUUUUUUUUUGGUAUGUCAAGGCUAACGAAUGAAAUGCAUUAGCUUGUUUUGUGACUAUAACUGCAAAUGUCCAAAUUGGAGUAUCUCCAUUUCUCACUUCGGAUGGUUAACUUUAUAAACAAGAUAUAGGAAACAUGUGAACAUCUUGAGGAACAAUUCAAAUUAUUCAUUAGAAGUCCUGGGUUAAGUUCCAAGAUUUAAAUCAGACCCUUCUAGCAGCUUCAAGGGUACUUAGCAACCUAUAACAUAUUAAUGAAGAUUUAGGAUUUAGACUCCGGAAUACAAAUAAAUAUGUAUCUCAUGCUUUGACUAGCUUCCCUACAUAUGCAUAAAAUGGAGAUGACCCAAAAAAAAUAGCAGAAUCUAGCUUCCCUACAUAUGCACAAAAUGGAGAUGACCCAAAAAAUAGCAUAAUCGCCUUAGUUUCUGUGGUUAAGGUGAUUCUCCGCUUAAUAUCCACAUUGACUCAUUAUGCAAAAUCAACUGAGCUAAUUUUAUUUAUUUAUUUAAUGUCAAAUAGGAACUCCUAAUUAACUGAUUACUGUCGAAAAGUGCUAUUUUGUAGACCUAAUUAUAAGGGUUUUAAGCACCUUUGAGUAGUAAUCAUAUUCAUUUAACCUAAUUAAUUCAUUAAGCUCCUUAGUAAUUAGUUCUAACCAUUUUUAGUGGCAAGUUUACAUGUUUUUCAUCAGCUUAUGAACCAAUUCAAGCAUGCCAAUUGAUGGAGGAGCUACUUGGGCGAGUUAAGCAAGGAUUUUGGACGUUUACAGGCUUGAAUUUCAAGUGGAAACACGAGCACAAGCAAUGGGAACACCAUUUCGCAAGGGGAGGCAAUUCACCUUGCCAAAUGACCAAUUUCGCAAGGGGAUUUUCCUCAUGGUGCAAAAUUUGGUCAUUUCGCACCAUGAAGAAACCACCUUGCAAAAUUUCGCAAGGUGGAUUUAGGCACCUUGCGAAAUGCCAAAUUUCACAAGGUGGCUUUUCACCUUGCGAAAUUUGGACCUUUCAUCUUCCCCCCUUGCGAAAUGCCUUUGAAAUCCCCUGUUUUGAGACGCUGUUGAUGAUAUUCCACUGCCGGUUCUCCAAGAUAUUUUGCUUGACUUUUAGCUUUAUAAAUACCUAUUUUACCCUUGUAAUCAACCAAUGAAAAGGUUGCUUUUGUAAUAGCUCUUGUAAUUUAGCUUUUUAUUGUCUUUAAAUAGAGGUGAAGAGCCUCAGACACGAUCAUCUUGUAACCUGUAACUUUAUAAGUUAUAAGAGCACUUUUGUUCAUACGCUUCUUUUCUCUUUUCUUUCUCAUUUUCUUAGUAGCCAAACAUCCUUGGAGGAUGAAAUCCCCAAGGAUGAGAGGCUAAAACCUUUUAGUUUCUUGAAGUAAUGGAUGCCAUGUGAAGCUCCCGUGUCAGGAUGGAGAUUUCCAAGCCAUAAAUGUAAGUAGCUGAGCGUCAUAAAUGUUUUCAUUCAAAGUAAAGCUUUUAAUCCCUCUGACUUGCUUUGAAUGGCCAAUACUUGAUAACCUUUUGGUCUCAAUGGAUUCUUAUUGUUAGAUCCACUGACGUUCAUUAGUUAUCUCCUACGAGCCAUUGUAUUGCAAGUCGAGGAGAUGACCUAUACCAAUAAAAGAGCAUUUAUGAGGUUCAACUACCCUUUUUGUAAGUUUUCAAGGACUAAAACUCAGUUGUUAAACUCAUACCGGUUCGAGAAGUAAGCAUCACCUUAGUUGCUUCCCCAACUCGAGGUGAAAAGUCCCAAAAUCUCCAUUUUUACACAGUGAGUUAAGCAUGGCUAUCCAAAGCUUUAAGAAACUUCUUUUUCCAUCUUUUAACCUAUUUUCAUGUUAGUUUAGUUUACAACACCUUCAUCUUUUUAUGUUUUCAUCUUAACCUAAUUUUUAUUAAGAAAAGUUCACUCCAUCCUCCGAACUUCACCAGUUAAAGUAAAAACCCUUCCCAGUGUUCGAUCCUAGAGCCACUAUGCUAUAGUAGCUUUGCUACUUUAGUGUAAGGACCUUAGGUAUAAAUUUUGUUGAUACCCUUACAUGCCAAGCUACCAAGAGUCGGGUUAUCAUUAACCUAACCAUUGGCCUGUGUAAAUUGAUUUCACAUGCACAAUGUUGUAGUAGAAGUCCAUAUUUUGAAUUUUAUUUUUGUAAAGGUAAGGAAAAUGAAGCAUUGUGUAAUUAUAAAAAUAACUUCAUUGGAAUUCACAAGGUUCACCCAAAAUGGAGCUACAUCUGUAUUCUAUCCUACAGUAGACUAUAUAGAUUGUACAAUAGUAAAUUGCAAAUACAAUUAAUAAGUCUUGUGCUUCCUUACUAAUAAUCCUUUGACAUGAACAUUGCAGCACUAAGGUCCUCUUGGGAAGACACCUUGCACCCAUGAGAGCACUAAGAGGAAGCAAGGCAGAGUCAUGGGUGCAAUGUCAUGACUUGUUGUUGCACCAAGAGAGGCUUGGUGAUGCCAUGGUGUUGCAGUAGCAAGAAUGUUGCCUUGGCAGGGACACGAUCUAGGGAUAGAUGCCAAGAAAGGCUUAGCACUCACAUGAGUUGCACAAAGAUGAAUGUAAUAGAGCAUCAGAGAGACGUCUUGGCAAGUAAAUGAAUGGAUCCAAGAGACAACAACAUGAGGAGUUUCAAAUGGAUAAGGAAUGACUCAAAGACAUUUGAAAGCUACAAGUUGGAUUCUAAUUACGAUUGCAAUUUGAGUUUGAGUAGGAGUUUAGAUUUUGAUUGUAAUUGUAGUAUGAGUUGGACUAGGAUUGCUUAUCCUUAGUCAAUAUAGGAGCGGUUCGUGUCACCCUAUGAAAAGAGUUUGAGUAGGGACUAGGAUUGCUUACUCCUAGUCAAAUAUGGAGUAGGUGGUGCCACACCUAUAAAAAAAAGGGACAACAUGAGAGAGAGAGAGAGAGAGAAAGAGAGAGUGAAUUCACUAAAGAUAUUGUGGGAGUUUUGCUUUGUUACGUCUUGUAUUAUUACUUAGAAUAGGAAUAAAAUACAAGUUGGGGCUAGAGCCCCAUAAUUAAUCUCGUGUGCCUUUGUGGUUAUUCUUUAUUUGUCAUCUCGUGUGGAUUGGAUUAGGUUGACUUAGAGGGCUUCUAAGCACCACCUUUGUGGGUUAUUAUUUAUUUUCCAUCUCUUGUGGAUUAGAUUAGGUUGACUUAGAGGGCUUCUGAGCACCACCUUUGUGGGUUAUUAUUUAUUUUCCAUCUAUUGUGGAUUAGAUUAGGUUGACUUAGAGGGCUUUUAAGCACCACAUUUGUGGGUUAUUCUUUAUUUUCCAUAUCGUGUGGGUUGGAUUAGGUUGACAAGGAGAAAAAUUAUGUGGGAAAUUUGUGUUGGGACACUUACCAUAACCAAGUAAAAUCUACCAAGUCCUUUGUAAUAUCUUCAACAAAUAUUUUAGACUAGUUCUUUCAGUUAGUGUAAAGGAGGAAGAAGUGGUAUUGAUUCUAGAAAUAGGGUGUGUGUAUUUGAACUACAAUCCUUAUGAUCCUUAGGUCUCUAAACCUUCGUGAUGGGCUCCCUGACAUUUCAUAGGUUGUGCUACACAUGCGUUUGAAAUUUAGAGUGCGUUUGACAGUGAUUCCGGGAAGUGUUUUUGGCCUUUCUUACACUUGAAAAUUUUUAUUUUUCAAGUAUUAGAAAUGCUACAAACACUUUUGAAAAUUACUGUCAAACACACUCUUAGGAGCGCACAUAUAUAGUAGAAAACUAGAAAUUGUGGUUUUUUUAGGAUUUACUGUAAUGUCAUUAGGAGGGUAGUAAGUUGAAAUUGAGUAUGAACAAAUAUUUCUUUCUUUGGGAUGUUCUUCUAGUAGGUGCUGAUGAAACUGUUCUUUCUACUGCCAAUGUCACAUAUCAGCCAGAAAUUGAAAAUUUCAGUCAAGGUGUCCUCUGUUUUAGUGGUGAGGAAAGCUAGAAAUUUUAAGGUGAAGUUUUGUUAAAAACCUUAAGUAGCUGGGAUAUCAGGCCUGUUUUGCUUGAAAAAAAAAGUUGCAAGAUAACUCAUAUGCCAAACAGGUUCUGAUAUUGUGAAUCUAUCGGCAGACAUCAGUAAUCUCAUCUUCUGAGAUGGAUGUUGGGGGUGCAUGUGGUGGUGGAGGGGCAAGGUUUCAUUUGGUUUAUUUUGUUGAUGGAUAUUGUCUAGCCACCUGCGCCAAGUUUGAGGGGUGGUGGGUUGUGAUGACCCUACAAUUACUAUUAAUUUCUUCAUCUUUUACCGAUUAAAGUGUCCGAACAGUCGAAGUUACCCUUAUGCAUGUCAACUUGAUCACUUACCUCUUCAAUGGAGUUUAUGCUGGUUCAUUUAGGAACUGAUUUUUAUUGUUAUGUAUUAUAUGCUGAUGUUUAGGUCUCUCCAUCAUCACUAUAUACAAAAAUUCUAGGUUGAUACUAUAGGUUGAGAUUUAUUUUUUAAAUAAAAAAUAAUAAAAAUAAAAAUUAUGGUGAUGUUUAGUUGUUUUAUGGAAAAUUUUAACAAGUAAAAGUUAUUUUUGGGCAAGUUUUCAAACAAAAAGAAAAGUAAAAGUUGUUUUGACAAAAACAUAUAGAAAAAAAAAUCAUAGAAAAUAAAUAAUUUCCCCAUAUUCUAACUUUUUUGAAUUUUUCUCAAUGGGCAAAGGAAUAUCAAAUCAAGUUUGAGUAGGAUUUCUUAAUUUUUAAAAUAACUUACAAUUAAAAAAUUUUGGUGUUUUCAUUUUUGGACAAUUUUUUAUUAAGCAAAUGGACUCUGAGUCAUGCAAGAGAUAUGGUUCAUUAACCGGUCGAACAAUUUUUUUAAAUUAAUUUAAAAGUCAAAUACAUAAUCAAUUUCACAAAAUUUAUAAACAAAAAUAGGUUUAGAGAAGAUCUACACAUAAUUUUACUUUUCUAAUUUUAUUUUAUUUUAUUUUUUGUUGGAAAAUAGUCUUCAAAUCAUGUAAGAUUUAAUAGGUUAAAUUUGUUAACAAUAAAUUUUAAAUUAUAAAAUAUAAUCUGGAACUCAAAAAUCAAUUCAAGUAAUGCUAAAAAAAAAUCAAAUUUGGUAUAGAAUGACUUUGUAAAUUUUUUUACAAAACAAAUGAAUUUUAAAUCAAGUGAGAUUUAAUGCAUUAGAUUUUUAUCAAAUAUAGUAAUUUUAAAAAUAAAUUUGGAACUCAACAAUAGACACAAUAAAUACCAAAAAAUAAUGAACCAAAAUUGGUUUGGAAUAACUCCACAACCUUUUUUUUUUUUUUUUGGUGCACACGAAUUUUCUUACUAGGUAUAUUGCUUUCAAAUUGAGAAAGAUUUACCAUUUAGAUUUUUUUUUAAUGAGUUUAAUGGUAUUUUAAAAUAAUUCAAAAUUUAAAAAAUUGACUAAUUAAUAUUAUAAAUUGAUAAACCAAGACUAUUUCAAAAUGCAUUGGGGGCUAAGGGGGUUGAAAAUAGGGACAAUGGGAUGGGUUUGGGACAUGACACUCAUAUCUCAUUUCCAUUCCAAUUACACAGUUAUCUCCCAUCCUUAUCCCAAACUUGUGUUGGAGCAAGUUGAUUUGUUCCCAUCUUUGUUGACGAAAUGACUAAUAACCUCAUCCCCUCCUUAUCUUAGAUGUACAUUUUGUCAAAUUUGAUCAGGUAUGAUUGAUCCAAGCCCUAACCCUAAUUGGUAAUGAGUGAAUACUACACCUAAUUGCAUUCUUCUUUCAUUGCAAAAUAAUGAGAUUAUAAUAAUCUAGCAAAUAAGAAAAAAUAGUAUGGAAGUUCAAAUUAACACCAUAACUAUCAAUAAUUUUAAGCUUAUAGAUGACUUAAAUGAUUAAAAACUAAUGCAAAAUCCUAAAAAAAAUAAAAAUCAUAUAAAGAAUUCACAAGAGAACAGAAUGAACAAAAACCAAAUAUGAACAUGGGUCAACAUUAGUUAUGGAUUUGGAUUCCUUUCAAGGCCAAUCUUUGAACCAAGACUUCAUCAAAUCAACUACUUCAAAGGCUUUUGUGUUCUUCUUGGGUUGUGCUCUCAAACAAAGACUUCGAGGUGAUGUUCUAGAUGAUUGAAUUACACAUAUUUAGGGUGGAGAGAUUGGAGAAGCUUGAAGAUGCCAACGAUGGGUACAAUUGAGUGGUCAAUAAGAACAAUGUAGCCUAUGACUAGUUUGAUGUCAUGGUACAAGAGUUUUAGGCAUUGAGGUUAAAGCAAGAGCAACAUGGAAUUGAUUUCGGAGUCUUUCAGUUAGUGUAAAGGAGGAAGAAGUGGUGUUGAUUCUAGAAAUAGGGUUUUAAGUGGUGCGUGAUUACUACUCAAAAAGUGCUAUUUGAUAGCCUUUAAUUAAUCCUUUUUAACACUUUUGAGUAGUAGUUUAGGCCUUUUAACUCAAUUGGCAUGUUAAGGAUCCUUUAAAGCAAUUUUGAUCACUUUGUGCAAGUUUUGGUGUUUUUGUUAGUAUUUUGAUCACCAAAGCAAGUCAAGAAUGAGGAGAACUAUGAGGAAUCAUGGGCAAAGCUUAGAAUUCAAUUGCCAAGAGUGAAUCCGGAUUGCAAGGAGAAAAAGCAAAGAGAAUCUGUCAUGAAGCCUAUUCUUGAUGACAGUCGUAGCAGCCACUUUUGGAGCACUUUCUGAAGUCCAAAUGAUGCAAGCUAUAUACCAUUUCAAAGAUCAGGAAGUCAACAAUCCAAUGCUUCAAACGGUGCGCGAUUCGGAGUUGAAACGAAGAAGUUGCAGCCAUUACAAGCCAGUCACUCUAAAGUGUUGCGGAAUCAGCCUUUUGUUGCGAGAAUUUCGCAGCACUUUUGUACAGUAAGGUGUUUCUCCUUCUGACGAUGCACGAACCAUGCCGCGAGAGGGAAGCUAGGAACUUCAAGAUGGAAGCCAACUUUGCAGCCUGGUGAAGAUAGCUUGGUCUUGCGAAAUAAUUUCGCAGCCCUCUUGGGUGUCUGCGAAAUUUCGCAGGCACCACUUUUUUCCUGCGAAAUGGCUCCGGAAGCCUCCCGAAGCUUGCUACCGACAUUGGGAGAUAUUUUCCAUUAGAUUUUUGUUGUCUAAAUUCCAAAAUACUCCUUGUAAACCACCAAUUACAUGAUUCCUUAGUUUUUAAGUUAGUAAAAAGACCAAAUAUCUAUGUAAUAAUUAGUUUUAUAUUAGUUUGCUAUAAAUACCUCUCGGGAGCAUGUUCUCAGAGAGGAGUUCCUUCUGUAACCAUUUUGGUAAGCAAGUAAAGUCUUUUCUUUCUACUGCCUUACCUUCUCACUUUGUAUUUUCAUUUUAUUUCUAAGUUAUGAAUUCUCUGAGGAGCUUUCCCCAGAGAAUGAGUAACUAAACCUCCAAUUCCUUGGAGCUAAGGUUGCCGGGGAAGGUUCCAAGUGCAAGAAUGCAAAGCUCUGUGGUUUUAGCUAGUAAUGAAGAGGAAGUGAAAUCCUUUAGUGAUUUCAAUGUUUUUAGUUAACUUAAAACACCUUGGAGUCACCUGGGCCAACACUUGGUAAGGCAAGUGAUUUCCAACCGUGGAAAUGCACUAGUUUACCCCUUGCGAGCCUCUGGUAGGUGACUUCAAGGUAGGAUUUUCUGGAAUUACCAACACUUGGUAAGCUUUUGGACUCCUAGGAGACAUCCAUUAGUUAUCUCUUGCGAGUUUGUGAAGGGGAAUCCAAGGUUAAAGAUCACCUUGAAUGGUAAGUGCUCGUGAGAGGCAUGAACCAUUGCAAGUUGUAUCAGUGAGAGAAUUAAAGUGAAAUCUAAUUGAAGGAGUCUCUGUACAUCACCGGUUAGAGAAUUGACUAUAAGUUGAAUCUCUAAUGCGAGGAAAUGAACCAUCUGACCGGAGCUAUGUCUUUUGCAUGAGGAACCACCCCAGUGAACCUAAAUCUCCAAGGAAUGCUUUUCUUCCUAAAUUAUUCCAAACUUCUGUUAAGUUAGUUAGUUUAAGUCUAAACCUUUACCAAUCAAACUUUGUGUUUUAUUUCUUAAGCUAACCGUGAAAUGAAACAAAACCAAUUCACUUGGAAUUGGUAUCCUUGAUUGCUUGCAAAUCAUUCCCAGUGAACGAUCCUUAGAGCCACUAUACUAUAGUAGCUUUGUAUUUGCUACCCUAGUGUAUGGUGUUAUAGGUAUAAAUUUUGUUGAUCACUUCCUCAAUCAAGGAACACCAGCUGAACACAAAUCAGCUGAGACACCAAUUGGGCAUGAGUCAAAUGGCGCCGUUGCCGGGGAAUGAGUGUCAAGAUCAUUGUGAUACCAUUUUUGAGCACUUGUGAUUUUCAUCACAAGUUGGUAAAGUUUCUUUCACUUUACUAAUUUUCAUUCUCUCUUUGUUUAUUUACAAUCUAAGUUUAUCUUUUUAAAAUUUAGUCUAGUUUAAUUUUGCUAUUGUAGCCUUGUUUCUCUUGUUGUCCUCUGUUCUUGUUGUCCUCUGUUUUCAUUUUAGUUGCAGCUGAAUACUAGUUGUGUAUGCCAAAGUGGAUACGAGACAUUGGAGGUAGGCUUAUUAAGUGUGAUACACCUCAGAGAGGAGAAUUGGAAGUAAUCUUGAAUAUCAUGGAGGCUGCACCUGAAGAUCAGCAUAGUCACCAAGGUCGUCAAGACAAUCUCAAUGAAUUCAGAUCAAUGAGGGACCGUAUGCAUCCACCUCGUAUGAGUGCACCAUCAUGUAUAGUGCCCCCUACAGAGCAACUAGUGAUCAGACCAUAUCUUGUUCCACUUCUACCAACUUUCCAUGGGAUGGAAAGUGAGAAUCCGUAUGCACACAUCAAGGAAUUUGAAGAUGUUUGUAAUACAUUCCAAGAGGGAGGAGCUUCAAUUGAUUUGAUGAGGCUUAAGUUAUUUCCUUUUAAUUUAAAGGAUAAGGCCAAAAUUUGGCUUAAUUCUUUAAGGCCAAGGAGUAUCCGCUCUUGGACUGAUUUACAAGCUGAAUUCCUCAAGAAAUUUUUUCCUACUCAUAGAACAAAUGGCUUGAAAAGGCAAAUUUCAAACUUCUCAGCUAAAGAGAAUGAGAAAUUCUAUGAGUGUUGGGAAAGAUACAUGGAAGCUAUAAAUGCUUGUCCUCACCAUGGCUUUGAUACUUGGCUACUGGUGAGUUAUUUUUAUGAUGGUAUGUCCUCCUCAAUGAAGCAACUCCUCGAGAAAAUGUGUGGAGAAGAUUUCAUGAGCAAAAAUCCAGAGGAAGCUAUGGAUUUCUUGAGCUAUGUAGCUGAUGUUUCAAGGGGAUGGGAUGAACCAACUAAAGGAGAAGUGGGAAAGAUGAAGUCUCAGUUGAAUGCUUACAAUGCAAAGGCUGGGAUGUAUACUUUAAAAGAGGAUGAUGACAUGAAAGCAAAGUUGGCAGCUAUGACAAGAAGAUUGGAGGAGCUGGAGCUGAAAAGAAUGCAUGAAGUGCAAGCUGUUGCUGAAGCACCAGUGCAAGUGAAGUUGUGUCCCAAUUGUCAAUCGUUUGAACAUUUGGUAGAGGAAUGCCCUGCAAUUUCAGCUGAAAGGGAAAUGUAUAGAGAUCAAGCAAAUGUUGUUGGACAAUUCAGGCCCAAUAACAAUGCUCCUUAUGGAAAUACCUACAAUUCAAGUUGGAGGAAUCAUCCAAAUUUUUCAUGGAAGGCCAGAGCAACUCAAUACCAACAGCCGGAUCCACCAUCUCAACAAUCUUCAAGUAUUGAACAAAUAAUAGCUAAUCUCAGCAAGGUAGUGGGAGAUUUUGUGGGAAAGCAAGAAGCCACCAAUGCUCGAGUGGAUCAAAGAAUGGACAGAGUGGAUCAAAGAAUGGACAGAAUGGAGAGUAUGUUGAACAAAAGAAUGGAUGGAAUGCAAAAUGAUAUGAAUCAAAAAUUUGAUAACAUCCAAUAUUCAAUUUCAAGGCUUACAAAUUUGAAUACACUGCAAGAAAAGGGAAGAUUUCCUUCUCAACCUAACCAAAAUCCCAAAGGUGUCCAUGAAGUGGAAAGCCAUGAGGGAGAAUCAUCACAGGUGAAAGAUGUGAAAGCUUUGAUCACUCUAAGGAGUGGUAAGAAAAUUGAGCAGCCAACACCCAAGCCACAUGUUGAGAAAGAAGAAGAGAUGAAGAAAGGGAAGGAAAUGGAAGAUAAAGGCAGUGAGAUCAGUGAAGAAAAGAAGGACUCUGAUGCAACAAUGAAAGUAAUUCCAGAGAAGGAGCUUCUGAAGGAAGAAAUGCUGAAGAAAUCAACUUUUCCACCUUUUCCUCAAGCAUUACAGGGGAAAAAGGGGGUUAGAAAUGCAGCUGAAAUCCUAGAAGUAUUGAGGCAAGUGAAAGUUAAUAUUCCACUGCUGGAUAUGAUCAAACAAGUUCCAACGUAUGCAAAAUUCCUAAAGGACUUGUGUACUAUCAAAAGAGGGUUGACUGUAAACAAGAAAGCCUUCUUGACUGAGCAAGUAAGUGCAAUCUUACAGUGUAAGUCUCCUUUGAAGUACAAAGACCCUGGAAGUCCUACCAUUUCAGUCAUGAUUGGAGGAAAGGUAGUGGAGAAAGCCUUGCUAGACUUGGGAGCAAGUGUGAAUUUGCUUCCAUAUUCUGUCUACAAGCAACUGGGACUUGGAGAGUUGAAGCCAACAGCAAUCACUUUGUCUCUGGCAGAUAGAUCAGUGAAAAUUCCAAGAGGGGUAAUUGAGGAUGUAUUGGUUCAAGUAGAUAAUUUCUACUAUCCUGUAGAUUUUGUUGUUCUUGAUACAGAUCCUACUGUAAAGGAAGCUAAUUUAGUUCCUAUCAUCCUUGGAAGGCCAUUUCUUGCAACUUCAAAUGCAAUCAUCAACUGUAGAAAUGGGCUUAUGCAACUCACUUUUGGUAACAUGACACUGGAUCUAAAUAUUUUCUAUAUGUCUAAAAAGCAAAUCACUCCAGAAGAAGAAGAGGGUCCAGAAGAGCUAUGUAUUAUUGAUACUUUGGUGGAGGAGCACUGCAAUCAACAUAUGCAAGAUAAGUUGAAUGAAAGUUUUGUGGAUAUUGAGGAAGGUUUUUCUGAAUCUCCUAAUGGGCUUGCUACUCUACAAAGUUGGAGAAAGAUAGAAGGAAUUCUACCUUUGUUCAAUGAAGAAGAGGAGGCAGCUGUUGAAAAAGAAAUUCCAAAACUCAAUCUGAAGCCUUUACCUAUGGAGCUGAAAUAUACAUAUCUUGAAGAAAAUAAUCAAUGUCCUGUCGUAAUAUCUUCAUCUCAAACCAAGUCUCAAGUGAAGGAUGCAAGCUUCAAAUGGGAUCCGGGCAAACUGAAUCAGGAAGGGCAAAAAGUUUUGAUGUAUGACACAAGACUCCAUAUCUUUCCUGGGAAGCUCAAGUCAAGGUGGAUUGGUCCAUUUGUUAUUCACCGAGUAUAUUCCAAUGGAGUGGUGGACUUAUUGAAUUCCAAUGGCAAGGACAGCUUUAGAGUCAAUGGAUAUCGUCUUAAGCCGUUCAUGGAGUCAUUCAAAUCAGAAAAGGAGGCAAUCAACCUCCUUGAACCUCAAAAAGCCUAAGUGAAAUGGGUUUGCUGGACGUGGUUUUACCACAGUCCAAAAAUUUUUGUAAAUUUUGUAAAUUUUCAAGUUGUUUCCAUGCUUUUAAUCUUAGUUUUUGAUUUUAAAUCAUGUUUUUAGGUGUGUUUUAAUCGUUUUAUAUGAUCCCAGGCGGAAGAAAUUUCAAGGGGAUUGAAAAGAAAAAAAUCGGGUCGAAAUUGGAGCCGAAACAGAGCAAAAACAGGGGAAAAACAGAGCUCUGCGAAAUUUCGCAGGGUGAAGGAAACUUCUGCGAAAUUGGCAUUUUGCUGCCAAACCAUUCCGCAGCACUGUAGAAGCCUCUGCGAGUGUAUUUCGCAAUUGCGAAAGUGGAUUUGGCACACGAGUGCCACUUCGCAGCACAGUGACAUCAAUUUCGCAGCUGCGAAACUCACUGCGAAGUUGCUGCGAAAAUGGCAAGUUGCUGCGAAAUUGGCGUUUUGUUGCGAAACGUAAUCUGACCCCUGGGCUUCCGUUUUUCCUAUUUAUACCUGUCAAAAGUGCUGCGAAAAAGGUUUCAAAAAUUAGAGCACCAUUCUCGCAGCCCUUUCAUCUUCUUCGCCAAGCCACGCCGUCCGUUUCUCCGGUCGUCUUCUCCGUUUAGCAGCGCCGGCCAAAGAUCGAUAGCCCAAAAAUGGCACGAACGCGAGGGGCAAAGUCUUCAUCCCCUUCGAACCGCAAAAGGAGUCUGCGAAAGGAGCCAAGUUCAGGCUCUGUUCCAGAACCUGCUCCAAAGCCUUCGCCGUCGAGACCACAACCUUCUCCAGUGAAGCCGGCGCCACCAAAGCCGCCGGCAAGGCGAUAUUUAACCAGGUCAGGUGGUCAGCCAUUGAAGAAGAAAGCCAGAGUUGAGAGCUCUGAACCAAUCGAUUUGACUGAGCAAUCCCCUGAGAAAUCACCAAAUCCUUCACCGGUACAAAUUCCAGUGCCAUCACCGGUUCCCUCGCCAAUUCCCUCACCAGAAGCAACUCCAAUUCCAUCGCCGGUACCAUCUCCGGCACCCCAAGAAAAAGCUCAGGAGCCUCAAGCGCCAAUUCCAGAGCCCCAAAUUGCAGCUGAAGCACCUCUGGAAGAAGUGAUCCGAAGGCCAAUGCUGCCUCAGCCCCCAAUCGAAGGAAACCUGGAUUGCCGAACUCGGGCAUUCCAUUCUGAGCUUUGCUUCGAUUUAACAGCAUUCAGAGUGAGGCCAGAGCUUGCCCAAUCCUUCCAACUGCUGAGGAGAUAUCAUAUGGAGCAUCUGCUAGCUCCAAGGGAUUUUUUCUAUCCCCGGGUAGUCACGGAUUUCUACCAAACCAUGACAACCAAAGAAGUAAGAAAUCCAACUCUGAUUCAUUUCAUAAUUGAUGGAAGGCAUGGUAUUUUGGGAGCAAGACAUAUUGCUGAAGCCCUGCAAAUUCCUUUUGAGCCAACUCAAUUCGACAAUUUUAAAGCUUGGACAAAUCCUACUGAGUUAGAGAUGGUUAGCACACUAACCAGAGGAGCUGCAAAUCGAUCGCAUUUGUUGAGGGGGGAGCUACCUCCAGUUAUGUUUUUGAUUGAUGCCUUUUUGAGGCAUAAUAUCUAUCCCCUGCAGCAUUGGACCCAAAGAAGGGGAAUUCUCCUAGAAGCCUUGUACAAAAUGUCUGAAGGAUUCUUCUUUGGGCCUCAUCAUCUGAUCAUGGCAGCCCUUCUAUACUUUGAGGAGAAGGUUCACAAGAAGAAGCUUCAAAGAGCAGAUUGCAUUCCACUCCUCUUCCCAAGGCUGCUAUGCCAAGUUUUGGAGCAUCUCGGAUACCCCUCUGAGCCUCAGCAGGAAAGAAAGAGAAUAUGCCGUGAGCCUUUUACCCUUGAUAAAUGGAAUAAUAUGACGGCCUACAAAAUUGAUCAGCCUGGGCAGCCUCAGCCAGCAGCAAGGAGAGUCUCCCCAAGACAUAUACCUGAAGGUAUAACACUUGCUACUCCUGCCAUCCCUCGAGCUCCACCAGCUGCACCUGCUCCAUCACAGCCAUCCACAUCAGCUGAGCCGAGGAUGGCCAUCCCUAUAUCCGAAUAUCGAGAGCUGUGCCGUGCAUUGGAGACUCUUACAGCUUCUCAGAGCAAUCUUGCUCAGGAGUUGGCAGCCAUUAAAGCAUGCCAGGAGCAGAUGUUAGCCUCUCAGACUCAACAAGCUGCCAUCCUAAGGCAGCUUCAAGUCCAUUUCGAUCUGCCACAAGCUGUAGAGCCCUCUAUUCCUACUCCACCAGAGCCACACUCUCAGCCUUCAGAGUCUCAUCCUCCAGAACCCGAAGCACCAGCUGAUCCACCUACUGAGGAGGCAGAUCCUUCUGCCUAGCACCAUCACCCCCCUCAUCAGACAUUAUAUAUAUAUUUGCUGUUUAUGUUUUUAUGCAUGUUUGUUUUGUUUUAGUUGAAAAGAAAUCCCAGUAUUUUGGUACUAUAUAUGGGAUUCCUUGUGUUACUUGUCUUUAGUAUUGUAAUCACAUGAACUCAAAGUAAUACAAGUUGACUAUUUCUUGUUAAAAGUUAGCAUUAAAGUUUCCUUAUUUCCUUUUCUCACAUAUUCUAUUCUUUUUGAAACAUGUGGUUUUCCCCAAUCAAUAUUCGAAUUUGAUAUCAGCAUGGAGGUACCACUUCCUCCCUUUUAUUACAGUCACUCAAAUCACAUUGAGGACAAUGCUCAGUUCGGUUGGGGGGUAUGAGGAAGGAAGUAUUCUAAACCUUUUUGGUAUUGCAAUUAUAUUGGUUAAUUAGUUGUAGAUUUUACUUUUUACUAGUGUUACUCUAUUCUCCAUGAAUUUUGAGGAAAAAUUUUCAAAUUAAACCAAGAGAAAUUGAACUGUUGUUUUUCACUUGACUUAGAGUAUGGAUUAUGCUUACUAAAGUGGUUCAAUUGUUGAAACUUCUACUGAAAUUGAAUUGAGUUCUUCCACUUUAAGCUAUCCACACACUGUGCACAUUAGUUUCCGAUUAUAAGAUGAAAAGCUAUUUCCCUCUUGACUUAGUAUAUUUUUGGGACUUGGUAUAUUUGACCUCAUUUGAUAAAAAUUGAAACACCCUGCAAAAGGCCAAUGAGCCUUUGAAAUAAAGAAAGUUGUUUGCUUGCCUUGAAACCCGAGCAAGGUCUGAGGGGUAUAUGGUGAAAAUCUUUAAAGCCUGGUGCCCUAAGCCUUAAUUGGUUGGGAGUCACCGACCUCAAUGCUCGUUACAAGGGUGAAUAGGUAGAGUUAGCAUAUGGUAGAUGCUUGGGUAUUAGAAAUUCAUUCUUAAAAGUCCGGGGAAAAAUCCGAGGAGUUAGUGGUUGAAAGAUCCUUAAAACUUGGUGCCCUAAACCUUAAUUGGUUGGGAGUCAUCGAUGGACCCCCAUUACAUGGACAAGUCAGAAAGAGUACCCCAUAAAGCUACCUUAAAAAAAAAAAAAAAAAAAAAAAAAAAAAAAAAGAUGAAAGUGUGUUCUUUUCUUAUUGAUUUUGGUCAGUUUGCUAAAGUGUUGAAAAGAGAUAGGUUGGGGGGUGAGAUUAGUAGCAUAUUAUUCUCGGAACCUAAGGAACCAAUACACAUAGAUUUUUGUGGAAGAUUGAAGUUUAGUUCUUAGAAAAUGAAAUGAUUUUAAAACUUCAGUUUGCAUAAUGCACUCCCUUGAUUGACAGUGUUUAGCAUAGGUGUUAUGACUCUUGUUGAGAUUUGGGUUUGUAUUUCUUUAAUGAUUCAUGUGAGAAAUAGAUCAUCAUGCCACUUGAGAAUUAUUUUCCUUUUAGCAUGAUGUUGUAAAUUUUAGAUUAGUUUGCUAUUUAUUUUUUAUUUUCUCUCCUAUAUUGCUAAGGGACUAGCAAUAUGUCGGUUGGGGGGAGUGAUUACUACUCAAAAAGUGCUAUUUGAUAGCCUUUAAUUAAUCCUUUUUAACACUUUUGAGUAGUAGUUUAGGCCUUUUAACUCAAUUGGCAUGUUAAGGAUCCUUUAAAGCAAUUUUGAUCACUUUGUGCAAGUUUUGGUGUUUUUGUUAGUAUUUUGAUCACCAAAGCAAGUCAAGAAUGAGGAGAACUAUGAGGAAUCAUGGGCAAAGCUUAGAAUUCAAUUGCCAAGAGUGAAUCCGGAUUGCAAGGAGAAAAAGCAAAGAGAAUCUGUCAUGAAGCCUAUUCUUGAUGACAGUCGUAGCAGCCACUUUUGGAGCACUUUCUGAAGUCCAAAUGAUGCAAGCUAUAUACCAUUUCAAAGCUCAGGAAGUCAACAAUCCAAUGCUUCAAACGGUGCGCGAUUCGGAGUUGAAACGAAGAAGUUGCAGCCAUUACAAGCCAGUCACUCUAAAGUGUUGCGGAAUCAGCCUUUUGUUGCGAGAAUUUCGCAGCACUUUUGUACAGUAAGGUGUUUCUCCUUCUGACGAUGCACGAACCAUGCCGCGAGAGGGAAGCUAGGAACUUCAAGAUGGAAGCCAACUUUGCAGCCUGGUGAAGAUAGCUUGGUCUUGCGAAAUAAUUUCGCAGCCCUCUUGGGUGUCUGCGAAAUUUCGCAGGCACCACUUUUUUCCUGCGAAAUGGCUCCGGAAGCCUCCCGAAGCUUGCUACCGACAUUGGGAGAUAUUUUCCAUUAGAUUUUUGUUGUCUAAAUUCCAAAAUACUCCUUGUAAACCACCAAUUACAUGAUUCCUUAGUUUUUAAGUUAGUAAAAAGACCAAAUAUCUAUGUAAUAAUUAGUUUUAUAUUAGUUUGCUAUAAAUACCUCUCGGGAGCAUGUUCUCAGAGAGGAGUUCCUUCUGUAACCAUUUUGGUAAGCAAGUAAAGUCUUUUCUUUCUACUGCCUUACCUUCUCACUUUGUAUUUUCAUUUUAUUUCUAAGUUAUGAAUUCUCUGAGGAGCUUUCCCCAGAGAAUGAGUAACUAAACCUCCAAUUCCUUGGAGCUAAGGUUGCCGGGGAAGGUUCCAAGUGCAAGAAUGCAAAGCUCUGUGGUUUUAGCUAGUAAUGAAGAGGAAGUGAAAUCCUUUAGUGAUUUCAAUGUUUUUAGUUAACUUAAAACACCUUGGAGUCACCUGGGCCAACACUUGGUAAGGCAAGUGAUUUCCAACCGUGGAAAUGCACUAGUUUACCCCUUGCGAGCCUCUGGUAGGUGACUUCAAGGUAGGAUUUUCUGGAAUUACCAACACUUGGUAAGCUUUUGGACUCCUAGGAGACAUCCAUUAGUUAUCUCUUGCGAGUUUGUGAAGGGGAAUCCAAGGUUAAAGAUCACCUUGAAUGGUAAGUGCUCGUGAGAGGCAUGAACCAUUGCAAGUUGUAUCAGUGAGAGAAUUAAAGUGAAAUCUAAUUGAAGGAGUCUCUGUACAUCACCGGUUAGAGAAUUGACUAUAAGUUGAAUCUCUAAUGCGAGGAAAUGAACCAUCUGACCGGAGCUAUGUCUUUUGCAUGAGGAACCACCCCAGUGAACCUAAAUCUCCAAGGAAUGCUUUUCUUCCUAAAUUAUUCCAAACUUCUGUUAAGUUAGUUAGUUUAAGUCUAAACCUUUACCAAUCAAACUUUGUGUUUUAUUCCUUAAGCUAACCGUGAAAUGAAACAAAACCAAUUCACUUGGAAUUGGUAUCCUUGAUUGCUUGCAAAUCAUUCCCAGUGAACGAUCCUUAGAGCCACUAUACUAUAGUAGCUUUGUAUUUGCUACCCUAGUGUAUGGUGUUAUAGGUAUAAAUUUUGUUGAUCACUUCCUCAAUCAAGGAACACCAGCUGAACACAAAUCAGCUGAGACACCAAUUGGGCAUGAGUCAGUGCGUUAGAGGAUCAAGAAGAAGAAAAAGAAGGAACUGUUGGAAUUAGUAUGAGUGUGAAGAGAAAAGUAUAUAAAUAAGGGGAAGUAAAAGCAAAGUUCAAAAAGCUAUAUUUUUUUAUUGUUGGUGUAUGGUUGCAUGAUUAUCCCUAUAAAUAAUAGGAGUUUUUUGGUAUUCUACUAGUAGUUGAAGCAUAAUUUCAUAAAUUAAUAUUUAGAGCGGGGUGGGGUGAGUUGUGACAAAAUUCAUACCCGUCCCAAACCUUGGUUCAGAUUUUUAAAAUAUUCUCAAACUUAUCAUAUACCCAACUUUUAUAUUUCAUACUUGUCCUAAUAGAGGCACGUUAGGCCGGGUUACUUGAGUAACCUACAUAAUUGUCAUCCCUAGUUGAAAUACACUUUUUGGCAGUGGCCACCAACUGAGCUAGAAGCUUGAUUGAUUGACCUACAAGAUUAGUUCUCAUCAUUUUAAAAAAAGUUCUGGCUUUGGUUGUGAGUGCAAUUGAAUCUAAACUGGCAUUUGCUUAAUGCAUCUACUUCAAUCCUAAACUUCUUACUUCUUAAGCCUCAAUUGUUGUUAGGAUUUUGGAAAACCCAUUUCCUUAAAUUGUAAAUUUAAGAUAAAAUAAAAUAAAAGUGAGACAUUUCUUGAUUGAAUAUUGUUAAAGGUCCCUUGGCAUUAAGACUUGGUUGAAGCCUUGGAAGAUUAGUGGAACUCUCAACAUGUGUUUGAAUCUUGAGGAGAGUGGAUGUAAGCCAAAAUUUUGUCAAACCAUUAUACAAAUUGAGUUUGAAUCCUCAUUUCUUGAUUUCUUAUUUAUUUGCUUUUUCUUAUUAUUACUUGAAUUGUCAUUUGCAUUCAUUAAUGUUAAAAUUGGUUAUAAUUAACCAACACUAAUUCUCUUUCCCCUUCCCUUUCUUGGGUGUAAACCUAGGUUGGAUUAACUAGAUAAAUCUAUUAAGAUGGUAAAAGAAUAAUUAUUCUUAACAUACAUAAGAUCAUCUUCAAUCAAAUGACUCAUUGGCUAAUAUGUUGAAUUUGCUUAUUACUUGCAACUCAAAAUUGUGUUCUAGUUGUGUCAAGUCCCCAGUGUAUGGACAUUAAAUUUGUAGUACGUGAUGAGUAAUUAGAUGGUCCAACUCCAAGAAAGUGAUUGAAAAGUAGUUCAAGAAAGGUGCAAAAGGGAAUUGUUUUGGUAUUUUCGUUUUUAUUCUUGAAGGUGGCAGAGCUAAAAUUUGAGAAAUCAAGCAAAACAUACUGAAAUUACAUUGAAAGAAAGAAGAUGGGAGUUAAUGUCUUGCAGUACAUGAUAAGGACUUCAUGCAUGUAGUGUGACCCAUGUCUUGGACUGAUGCCAACUCACGGUUACACUUAUACCCUUGGUUCUCUCUUUACUACCUUGGCUAACCUAGAUCAGGCUAUGAGAUAGGCUCCUCACCACACCAUUACUUGCCCAUUAAUUAGAGACAUUUUCAAGCAAUGAGGUAACAUGGUGACACCAAGAGGGUCUAUUCCUCGCCCGGAACAAGUCUAGACUUGGUCUCAAAAAAAUGGAGAAAAAUGAGGUGUCGUUAUGUAGAAAUACAACAACCAUGCCUUCCUCAUUACUUAGAUUCAGAAUGUGAAGGUGAAAUUGAGAAACAGAAACUCUUGAAACCAAAAUGAAAAUUGAUACUUUUACGAAGAAUUACAACAACAUUAGAGGAAGACUACAUUCUUCCUCUUUAUUCCUACAUUUCUACACUACUUCUACUCCACUCCAUAUUUCUACAUACAUCUUUAAUCAGUCUUCCCUCCUUUAUAUAGAGCCAUCUUCACACAAAUUUCGCAAGGUAGAAAAGAGGAAUGAAACUUGGAGCAAGGUUCGACUACUGGUUGUAGCUUGUCAAGGCUGGAAGUGAACUUUUCUUGGCUUUCUGGGCAUGGGUAGUAACUUGUGGGUUCCUGUUUGGCAUAAAAAUGGCUAGAACAUGUGGCACUAUCUUGUUGGAUGAUGUGUCAAGCAUGUGGCAGCCAUCUAGUGGCGAUUAUGUCAAUUUUGGGAUGGAGAGUUGGCAUCCAAUUGCAAAGAAAUAUGACGUCUACCAACAUGCAAUGUAAACCUAUGUAGAUCAUAUGAAGAUAGAGAGGAAAAAUAUAGAAAUGGAUAUAUACCUAGAACUAGCUUUUUAUUAAAUGAAACGGAGAGACAACAAUGAAGGAAAAUAAAAUUUUUUGGCUUAUAUCAAAGAGUUCACAUUGUGUUACCCUAGGUUUUCUUAAAACUUACUUUUAUGAUAACAAAAAAGAAAAAACCAUUAUUGUUUAAUCCUUUGUUUUAAACGCAUGUAAGGUGUAAUUAAGUUAGUUCAAUGCAUUAAUUUAAGAAACUUGACCUAUCAAAAGUACAAAAUUAGAUGAAAUCCAUUUCAAUGGUUAAAAUGAUCAAAAUCAAACUUUUUCUAAGUAUUUUUUAAAAGCAUCAAUAGUGAAAGACAAUUUUAUAUUUAGUCGGAGUUUGGACAAAACUGAAAAACACACAAAAUCCAAGCGACCAUCUCUAGCUUGGAUGGUCGCUUGAUCCCACCUAGAGAUGUGCAUGAGUAAAAGGAUUUGAAAAUGGAAAUUGACUAUGUAGUCGAUCAAUUAACUUUGCAACAUCAUAUGCAAUCCUAAUUGCUAGUCAUCUAAUCAAUUAGGUAGUCAAUCAACAGGCCAAAAAUAUGUUUAUAAUGACUAUUUUGUACAAAAACCACCUGUAUAGUUAAAUAUAAUGCAUUUCAUUUAUAAAUCUUCUAAUUCUUGAAUAACGAUCCUAUCAUCCUUUGAAAGUUUUUAUUACACUUUUUUUACUUUUGUUCUAAAACUUACACAUCACCCUUAAUUGUACCAUGAGAACCUAGCUAUUUUUUAUUUUUUUUUUUGUAAUUCAUCAAAGUUAGCUUUUGUAUUCAUUGUUGUAUUAUUUUUAGUAUAACUUAGAAAGCUAGUGUUUUCAAGUGAGUAAAAUUAACUUGUAAAUAUUGUAAAGAUUCAUCGACAUGUAUCUUAAACUAAGUGUACAAGUUAAAACAUUUGCUAGUAGAUUUUCUCAAAAUUUAGAAUAGAGCUUGAGACUAUUGAAAUAGGUGGGGUUGCACCAAACCACAUCACAUCGUUGUUUGCACCUUUUUUCACUCUCUUUUACUUAGUUGCUCUAUAUUUGUUGUCUAGUAAUAUCCUAUAGGCUUGAUGGGUUAGGGAGCAUCCCUUUGUGAAAAAAUUUUAUUCAAUCCUUAGUUGUAUCACGCAUAUAUAAAAUGCCUCAUUGUUUUAAUGGUAUUCAGUCGUGGCAUCACAGAUAUGGGCAUCUAAAUUUUAAAAGUUUGAAACUUUUAUCUAAAGAAAAUAUGGUGCUUUGCCUUUUUGUAAAGCAUGUUGAUGAAAUCCAUGAGAAUUGUGUACUUGGGAAGCAACACCGAGAUGACUUUUUUUUUUUUUUUAUAAUAUUGUUUGUCCAAAUUCCCUACAAAUUAGGCCACCAGAUGUUCAUAAUUCUCCCUUCUUGAAUUUGAAAACUCGGACAAUUGGACAAUGCGACACCUAAGUCCGGUUUCUAAAUGCUAAAGUGAAAGGGUAGGUAUGGACCAUUGAAAUGUGAUCACAACUUUUCUCUGUAGCCAUGUUGUCUCUUUUUUCUUUUGCAUGAUUUUCUUACCUUAACAGAAUCAUAGACUUGUUUAGUCUCUAAAUGGGAUUAAUUUCAUCCAGCUUUAAGCUACUAUAUUAUAUCUAGGUGGAGGACUUUUAAGAGUGCAACCGACAUAGAGCACAUGGAAGUGGGUAUAUGGGACAUGAAAUUUCUUCUUAUAAAGAUUGCAUGAUUUUUAUAUUAGAGUUGUUGAGGCGCUAUGUAUUUAGCUUGUUUUGCAGUUAAAUUAAUUGGAUAAGUAGACAUUGGCGUUUCUAAAUCUACUGUGAAGUGCUUCAUGUACGUGUGAAGUAUUAGAAAUUUCUUUCUUGGCAACUUGUUUUUCUUUGCGGUCUACUGAUAGGUUUGACUAAAAUUAUAUUCCCUGUCAUGCUAAUUAAUUUUCACGUGCAUGCUCAAAAGAAAAGUAUGACCUUAGUGCACCAAAAUCACUUUGAUUAAUUUGUGAUAGGUUUUUGUGCAUCAUGACAUUAGCCUUAUUCAUUUAGAUAAUGUUUAGUUUUUAGAAAGUAUUAAGAAAAGGAAAAUAAAUAUUAAGAAAAAUAUUCUUAUAUUUGAUUGUAUUAUGAAAAAUAUCAUAAAAAAAUCAAAUAUAAUUUAAAUUAAUUAAUAAUUUAUACAUUUUCAAAUUAUUUAAUCUUUAUAUUGAAGAUAUAAUAUAAAUGAAAUGAGUUUUAAGUAUUAUAUAAAAGUGAUUUAUUGAUCUUACAUAUAUAUAUUUCUUUUUUUUUUCCUUCUAUUUUUUCUCUUUAUUUUAUUUUCCUUAUGUUUUCCUCAACAUUUUCCGGAACCAAACAUAGCCUUAGGAAAUCCACAAUUACCUUCAACUGAGUAGAUUCUGUUGUUUUAGCAAUGUUAGGCUGCUAACUUGUGUUGGUACGAACCUAUUAAGCCUAAAGAUGUAAUUAGUUAGGAUAUUCUUUUCCCUCUAGUCUUGUAGCUCCACGUGUACAGUUGGUUAGGACCUCAUUGUAUAUAAUGCUUGCCCUGUUAUUGUAGAAGACAACAAAGAUAAAUAAUAUUAACAUUUUUCCUCUCAUCUCUCUCUGUUUCCCUCUGUUUUCAUCUCCUCUCUCAUCUUGGUAUCAGAGCCUCCAUGGCUUCUUUCAAAGAAACCUCCGAAUCACCUUCUGCUAGCAUUGUUAAUGUGCAAAACCCAUUAUCUCAAUCAAACAACCUUCCUUCACCAGUAGCCACACCCUCUUUUUCUUUCUCGUCUAUGAAUCAACCUCUCACAGUGAAGCUGGAUAAUGGGAACUACCUCAUAUGGAAGAAUUAGCUUCUAAAUGUCAUCAUUGCUAACGGACUCGAUGAUUUCAUUGACGGAUCUCGACCCUGCCCUCCUCGAUUUCUCGAUCUGCAACAACAAACCCUCAAUCCAGAGUACUCAGCUUGGCAGAGAUACAAUCGACUUCUGAUGAGUUGGCUGUACGCAUCCUUGUCCAAAGAUAUAAUGGCUCAGAUUGUUGGGUAUUCAACAGCUAUGGAGAUUUGGAAUGCCCUUAAUCAGAUUUACUCUGCCUCUUCUAUGGCGCGGUUUACUGAGCUUCGCACCAAGCUUCAAACGCUCAAGAAAGAUGGACUCUCAGUUGGUGAAUAUAUUCAAAGGCUCAAAUCCAUUUGCAAUAGUCUUGCAGCAAUAGGAGAACCAGUUUCUGAGAAAGACCAUCUUAUCUAUUUGUUCAAUGGAUUAGAUUGUGAGUAUUAUUCUUUUGUUACCUCCAUUCAAAAUCGAUCUGACCAACCAACUAUUGACAAAAUCCAUAGCCUAUUGCUUAGCUAUGACUUCCGGCUUGAACAACAAAACUCUGUUUCUCUCCAUUCUGCCCAAGUCCAUAUGGCUCAUCUGAACAAGAAACCUUAUAAAUCAACUCCUCAACCUACAUUCAAUCAUAUUCACAUUCAACCUAGAUACUCUUCUCCACCUUUUAAGCCAACCACUAGUCAAUAUCAACCCAACAUUUUGGGCAAACCACAACCACAACCAUGACAGCCUCAACCUCAAUGGAAACCACAUUUUUCAAUCUAAAAUCAAAAGCCUCAGCGCCAAAUUUGUGGUAAAUUUGGACACACUGCUCUUAUUUGCUUCCAUCACACAAAUUUGAACUAUUCACCCCAACCUUCUCCUAAAUCUUUCAAUACUGUUCUCACCACAAAUUCCCAGCUCCCUAAUCCUCCAAAAUUUUCUUACCCUACAAUGGCUCAUCCUGCUGCUACGCAUAACACGGUUCCCGAUACAAAUUGGUACAUGGACUCAGGUGCUACACAUCACUUUACUCUGGACAUCAACGUGCUUGACACUGUGACACCAUUUAGUGGUUCAGAACAGGUGACAGUUGGGAAUGGUAAGCAACUCUGUAUCUCACAUCUUGGUACUGCAAAACUACCAUCUUCGUAUUCUCCUCCUGUUCUACAUCAGGUAUAUCACACUCCAAAAAUUUCAAAUAAUCUUAUUAGUGUUAAAAAAUUGUGUUCUGAUAAUAAAGUUUUUGUUGAAUUUUAUGCCACUCAUUUUCUUGUCAAGGAUCAGGUUUCGAAGAGAGUUCUCCUUUAGGGUCAACUUGAUAAUGGCUUAUACAAAGUUCAGUCGUCAUGCUCUCCUUCUGCUGUUUCCUUUCCUCCUCAAGUUUUCAUAGCCAACAUCAAGUAUCCAAAUCUGUGGCACAAGAGACUAGGCCACCCAGCUUUAUCUGUUGUUAAUCAAAUCUUGGAUUCUUGUAACAUUGCUCGAACACAGAAAAUUUGUUUUAAUUUUUUAAAUUCUUGUCAAUUAGCAAAGAGCCACAGGCUUCCUUUUUCUCUGUCUCCAUCCAUUGCAGAAAAACCUUUUGAGUUAAUUCAUACAGACCUAUGGGGUCUUUCGCUCGUUCGCUCUAUUUCUGGUGCUCUUUAUUUUUUACUUUUCAUUGAUGAUCAUACUCGUUUUACUUGGUUUUAUUUGCUCAAAACAAAAGAUGAAGCAUAUCCUACUUUUCUCAAGUUUCAAGCUCUCAUUGAAAAUCAAUUUAAUACCAAGAUUAAGGCUGUCCAAUCUGAUUGGGGAGGUGAGUUUCGAUCUCUCUCCAUACCGUUUUCAAAUAUGGGCAUUGUCUAUUGUUUAUCGUGUCCAUACACCUCACAACAGAAUGGGCGAGUUGAGCGAAAAAAUCGCCAUGCGAUUGUCCUUUCUUGCUUGCUCUAUGCCCUUAUCUUAUUGGCCUUAUGCCUUUCAAACUGCCACUUACCUUAUUAAUCGUCUCUCUACCCCUGUGCUGCAUCAUCAAUCCUCUUACUUCGCACUCUAUCACAAACUCCCAACUUAUACUCAUCUUAAGGUCUUUGGUUCCUCUUGUUUUCCGUAUUUGCACCCUUAUAAUACCCAUAAACUCCAAUACAGGUCACUAGAGUGUGCUUUUCUUGGUUACAGUUCACACCACAAAGGUUAUCUAUGUCUUGACAUUCAUUCUAGCAGGGUGUAUAUUUCUCGCCAUGUGAUUUUUAAUGAAGAUUCUUUUCCAUUCAAGAAUUUGAAAUCUUCUCUCUCUCAGUCUAUUUCUUCUUCCUCUUCUUUAUAAGUUCCUCUGUUCAUUCUCUUGCCUCCCCUUUCCCCAUCUCCUCUUAUUUCUUCAUCUAUACCUCAUUCUUUUCCCUCUUCUUCUUCUACCUCUAGUACUUGUUCCCCUCUCGUUGCUCCUACCUCUCUUCCUUCCUCUUCACACUCUGUGUCUCCAUCUAUUCCACCUCCUUCUCCACCUUCUCCGAGUGUGGACCUGCUUGCACCUUGUGUGAAUACAAAUUUACAUACUUCUUCUCGCACUCACAAUAUUCAUCCUAUGGUGACUAGAUCUAAGGUUUGUAUCUAUAAACCUAAGUUGUUGUUGAGUGUCUCCAUAGGUUCUCUCACUAAGCCUACUUCCUUUCUUCAAGCUAUUAAAGAUCCUUCAUGGAAGCAAUCCAUGGAAUUCGAGUUUGCUACCCUUCAACACAACAAGACCUGGCAUUUGGUUCCUUCACCUUCCUCAGGCGAAGUAAUCGGUUGUAAAUGGGUCUAUAAGCUAAAGCUUCAGCCUGAUGGCUAAAUUGAGAGAUACAGCCUGCUUAGUAGCUAAGGGUAUCAUCAAAUUGAAGUAUGGACUACUUCGAAACAUUCAGCCUGAUNNNNNNNNNNNNNNNNNNNNNNNNNNNNNNNNNNNNNNNNNNNNNNNNNNNNNNNNNNNNNNNNNNNNNNNNNNNNNNNNNNNNNNNNNNNNNNNNNNNNAGCUUCAGCCUGAUGGCUAAAUUGAGAGAUACAAGGCCUGCUUAGUAGCUAAGGGUUAUCAUCAAAUUGAAGGUAUUGACUACUUCGAAACAUUCAGCCUGAUUGUCAAGCUUUCUACUAUCUGUAUUGUGCUCAGUCUUACUUUUUCCCAGAAUUGGUGUAUUAGACAGCUGGAUGUUCAUAAUGCCUUCUUACAUGGUGACUUAGCUAAAGACGUUUUCAUGGAACAACUGCCUGGAUUUGUUGAUCCUCUCUAUCCUACUCAUGUCUGCAAGUUGGAUAAGUCUCUCUACUGUCUUAAAUAGUCACCUCGGGCUUGGUAUACUAAGCUGAGUACUUCUCGCUACACUUGGGAUUUGUUACUUCUAAGAAUGACUCUUCCUUAUUUAUUUGUCAUUCGUCUCAUGGGUUACUUCUUGUUCUUGUCUAUGUGGAUGAUAUAAUCGUCAUUGGGAGCCACUCUCCUCAGGUUACUCACCUUAUCCAACAGUUGCAUCAUUAGCUUUCUUUAAAGGAUCUUGGUCCUUUACAUUAUUUUCUGGGCUUGGAGGUUCAUCACACCCCUACUGGUAUUCACCUCAGCCAAGCAAAGUAUAUCACUGAUCUCCUUACCCGGGCGGCUAUGUUGGAUGCCAAGCCAUGUCCCACUCCUAUGUCCUCCAACACAUAUCUCUCUUUUCAUGAUGGAGUGGCUCUUGAAAAUGGUUCAGAUUAUCGAAGUUUUGUUGGUGCCCUUUAGUAUUGUACCAUGACACGCCCAGAUAUAGCUUUUGCAAUAAAUAAAGUGUGUCAAUUCAUGCACCAUCCCUCUAAUGUUCACUGGCAGGCUAUAAAACGUAUUCUCCGGUACUUAAAGGGCACAUCUCAUUUUGGUCUCUUCCUACAGCCUUCCUAUGACUUCAACAUCACUUGCUAUACAAAUGCCGACUGGGCUUCCUGUCCUGAUGACAAGUGUAGCACCAGUGGCUACUGCCUCUUUCUUGCCUCUAAUCUGGUUUCUUGGUCAUCUUCCAAACAAAAAGUGGUCUCCCGCUCCAGCGCCGAAUCAGAGUACCGAGGGGUAGCAAAUGGGGCUGCUGAAAUUGCUUGGACUGAAUCUCUUCUUUGUGAACUUUCCAUUACUCCCCCUCCCCUCAUUCUCUGUGACAAUAUCAGUGCCACGUACUUAGCUGCCAAUCCUAUUUUGCAUGCCCGCACCAAACAUGUGGAAAUCGACUAUCACUUUGUCACGGAACGUGUUCUUCAAUGCUCUCUUUUUGUCCAGUUUACACCUUCUGAUGAUCAACUUGCUGAUUGCAUGACCAAGCCUCUCUCCACCCAACGUUUCAUCACUCUACGCUCCAAGCUCACUGUUCUCACUAGACCAAUGAGCUUGAGGGGGGAUGUUAAGCCUAAAGAUGUAAUUAGUUAGGAUAUUCUUUUCCCUCUAGUCUUGUAGCUCCACGUGUACAGUUGGUUAGGACCUCAUUGUAUAUAAUGCCUGCCCUGUUAUUGUAGAAGACAACAGAGAUAAAUAAUAUUAACAUUUUUCCUCUCAUCUCUCUCUCUGUUUCCCUCUGUUUUCAUCUCCUCUCUCAUCUGAACCAAAUGAUCCAUGUUAACCUUGGCUUGGUUUGAUUUGGCUCUAUCUUAGAGAGCUCAAGGAUCACGUCAACUCUGGUUUCUACUAUUCAGGUCCAUUCCCAUAUGAACUGGUUCAAAUUUGAGAAAAUGGUAACAGACCUUUAGUGAUGUUGGUUUGGAGCCAGUUGCCAAACCCGCCCUGAGCUUUACCACUAAUGUCAAGGGAGAAAGCCAUUUGAACAAAAACAAUAGCUUCAAGGGACUGAAUCGUGGAUGAAAUCUGAUCCACAUUUCUUCUCAUUUUGGAAACAAAUGAGAACUUAACUAAGAAGAUUCUACGGCCUCAUAGUGCUUUUCCUGAUCUAAGGUUGGUUCGUUUCCCAAACUGUGAGAUGCACGUGCCAGACUUCAGAACUCUCACGCUCAGGAGUGUAUCCACGUGGUGGACAUAAGAUGGUGGCUUAAGAUCUGGUGUCGGUGGCUUUACUUUACUAGGAGAGUAGUGUGUCUUCAUCUCAUUCACUGCCGGAGGGUGGCGUAAGCAGUGACGCUAAGGUGGGGCACAGUCAAUAUCAUUUGCAUUUGACCAUUAUAGUUUUCUCCCGGCUUUAAAGUAACCUUAUCGUGAUAAAGGAUUACUAGCACUAGUUCAGAUGAUAGUCAUGUUAAAUUCGGACCAUGUUUGUGUCACAUUAUCAGCAACCAUGUGUUUAUGGUUCAUGCUUUCUGCAACUAAAAUUGAUAUAUAACCAGGUGAACUUCAAUCUAAAUUCUGAAAGUACUCAUGUGAUAGAUGGUGCCCGUCUGCAGAGUCCAUCAAUUGAAAAAUGGAGUGAGUGUAUCUAUAAGAGGGAAGGCUUGGAAAAUGUUCAGUUUUCUGGGAAUUCAACAAGGAUCUAAAAUAGAUUGUUUUCUUUGCUGAUUUCAAUGGUUGAAAUUUGAGAAGAUUGUGUCCACAUAACACAACUAUUACUGGUCCUUCUGUUGCAAUUUAUCCUCUAAAGCUCUAGCAUGUCUUCCAAUUCCCACUUCCCUGUUACUCCAGGAAAGCUAUUUCUGUCAUUGUGAAGAAGAAAAGAGAAUGUACAUAUCGAUGCUUUUAAGUGACUGGAGCAUUUAUAUCAGGUGGUCUGCAGCCAUAUAUGCCACUUUGUGAAGAUUGGAACAGUCAAUCACUAGGCUAUAUAUUAGUGUGGCCCAGCCACUUUAAUCAAGGACAAGUCUUCAUACUUAAAGUCAAAUUCUGCCUUUAGUCUCAUUAUAAAUUUCUGUUUAAAUAUUAAGCAAACAUUUGUUUAAUGCGAUUAAGACAGUACUAACUCAAUACCUGUUCUAUUUUUGGAUGCAAAUGCUUGAUGGUUUCAUCAUUGGAUGGGAUAAAGGUGCAUUCAUGAUUAGGAAUACUAGUAGUUAUAUUUUAAUUCUCUUUUUUCUCAAUGAGACUUGUUGGCACAAUUUUGCUGUUGAGAAACCUACCUCUCCAUGGAAAAUAAGUUGUGAUUGAUAGUACUGGAUAUAUUCAAGAAAUCUAAAUAUAGAUAGCACAAAAUAUUAUCGACAUAAAUAGCAUUAACAGCGUACGUAUGUCUCAGUGCUCAUCAGCUAUAAGCAUGGGGCAAACACUUACUAUGAGCAACUUACGUCAAAAUUCCAGAAUAGGACAUAGAAGUGACAGAUAUAGAACAUUGCAUAUGAGUCACAAGAAAGGAAAUUACGGGUGCAUAGCAGCUCUUAUUUUACAUACUACUACUCAUACUGAUCAAAGUCACUCAGUUGGGAUGGGUGGGAGUAGGAGGUUUGUGGGGUGGCUUGUGCGGAGGAGUUGGCAGCUUCUUUCCAGGACCUGGUUGCUUCUCUGCUGGAGUUGAAGGAGGCUUAAUCUUCCGAGGUGGCUUGUAUGAGUCUUCAGCAUUCUCAGCUGGAGGGUGACCAGGGUUGUGACCAUAAUGUGGUGGCUUCUCUCCCUUAGGUGGUUUGCCAACUGGGGUUGGUGGCUUGUAUGAGUCUUCAGCAUUCUCAGCAGGAGGGUGACCAGGGUUGUGACCAUAAUGUGGUGGCUUCUCUCCCUUAGGUGGUUUGCCAACUGGGGUUGGUGGCUUGUGUUCUGGGAGUGGCUUCUCCCCCUUGGGAGGUUUUUCCAAUGGGGUUGGUUUGUGUUCAGGAGGUGGCUUCUCCACUGGAGGCUUGUGUUCAGGAGGUGGCUUCUCCACCGGAGGCUUGUGUUCAGGUGGUGGCUUCUCCACCGGAGGCUUAUGCUCUGGUGGUGGCUUCUCGAAUGGGGGAUGCUUAGGAUAAUCAGCAAGUGAGGGGGCGGUGAGAACCACCAGGCCAAGCAACACCACUAGCAAAUAUGUAGGAGACAUCUUUGGGUUUGGGCUCAGAUGGUGCAAAACUAGGAGAAUUGGCUAGCCUUUUAUAGCGGAUCGUACCCAAUAAUGAAAUGACACGUGUCAUUAUGACCCAUGUGUAAUGGGGUCGAUUUGGGUCCUACAGUGUUGAAAACUUCGACAUCCACUUUUGGCCUUUUGCUUUCUCUACAGCCGCCUUGCUUUUUCCCUCUUUCCUUUUGUUUUCCUCCUGCCCCAUUCUAUCAACUAAACACAAUUAUGUAGUUGUUUAAUUCUUAAAUGAGAUAUUAUCCGUCAAUCGUAUUAUAUUUUAUCAAGAGAGAACGGAGUGCAAUGUGGCUGUAAUUUUAUCGUUUAGUUUUAUCUCUUGGACCACUGCAUUUUUGUUAAGAGGUGCAAUAAUACACGUCUUUAUCUGCCAUUCAAUAUUUACAGUAAAGAGAGGGCACAAAACUCUUCACUUCGCACCAUAAUUAUUUUGUUUUCUGGACACCCCGGGGCCCUUUGGUUGGUUUGGGGGUCAGAAAGUGAACAUCAUAGGGGGUUUUUCCCUUAUGUGCAUUUGUAUCUGAUGGCUUUAACUCGCCUUGUUACUACAAAGAAACUGUCACAGAUAGGAACUUAUUCCAGGCUGAGUAUCUCCUCAUAGACCCUAUAAAAGAAGACAAGUCAUAAUGAACAUCUAACCUUUGUUCAAUUUGAUUCAAUGCCCCCAUUGUGUCCAUCUCACAAAUCUGAAUUAUUAUAUCCAUUGAAUACAUAAAUUAAUGAAGAAAAUAUGAAACCCAAGAUACAUCUCUGCACAACCUCAACCCUGGUUGCUAUGUUUCCCUUCUAUUCACAUGAUUUGAUGCUAAUUGCCAAACUUGCAACAAGCCCUGAGUUUGACACCUAGUAUCGAUGGGCGAAUUUAAAGUCUCCUCCAAACAUAUAUUCCACAGCUUGAAGCUCACAGAAGAUGUUACAGGCAGGGAAAAACCUUCAGAGUUCGCUACCAAAGAUAAUUAUUAAGGAGAUAUCACAAAGAGAAUUCCAAGGGGUCUGAAUCAAAGACAAAUUGGUCGUUCGUGGGGGUUCUUACUUUCUUUUGGGUAUAACUCACUGAGGGCACUGUCUUUGUUAUUUGCAUUUCACAUUUAGAGUUCUGUUCUGGAAACAUAUAAAAGGAGCAUCAUUUUGUUCUUGGGUAACCCAUAGUCGUGAGUGGGUCCAUUUGCAUGCUACUUAGUUGAAAAGUUGGACCAUUUGCUCCGACGCCUACCUCCCGGAUUCCAUGCUCGGAUAAAACAAGAAUAAAAAAAAUAUUUAUAAUUUACAAAUGGGGGAAAGAAAAAAAUGUCAACAACAAACCAGGAAAAAAGAGUAGUAAAAUUCAUGUCACAUGCUAGUGAGAGAAGGGGUUGUUACACUCACUCGAAGUUCUUUCCAAAAUAUCGCAUGGUAUUUUAUUUUAUGUGUCAGCGCAGUUGUGAAUGGAACGUGCAAAAGUCCAAAUUGGCGUUUUUCCUUUUCCCGUGUAGGAUGGCGACCUUUAAUAAAUAUUUAAAACAAAAAACGAAAAAAAGGAGGGAAAAGGGAUCAGAAAAGAUAAAACAAUGUGUACAAGAGCUCAAUUAGUUUGCAAAUUACUGUUUGGAUUUUGAUAGUAUUUUAUUUGUCCAUCUAUAUUUGAUGGAAAAGAGAAUUUAAGAUAUUUCUGAAACAAAAGCAUUAGUGUAAAACUAAAUUAAGGUAUAAUUAAGUUAGUUCAAUGCAUUAAUUUAAGAAACUUGAUCUAUCCAAAGUACAAAAUUAGAUGAAAUCCAUUUCAAUGGUUAAAAUGAUCAAAAUCAAACUUUUUCUAAGUAUUUUUUAAAAGCAUCAAUAUUAAAAGACAAUUUUAUAUUUAGUCGGAGUUUGGACAAAACCAAAAAGCACACAAAAUCCAAGCGACCAUCUCUAGCUUGGAUAGUCACUUGAUCCCACCUAGAGAUGUGCAUGAGUAAAAGGAUUUGAAAAUGGAAAUUGACUAAAUAUUUAGUUGAUCAAUUAAAUUUGCAAUGUCAUAUGCAAUCCUAAUAGCUAGUCAUCUAAUCAAUUAGGUAGUCAAUCAAGUGUUUGUAAUGACUAUUUUGUACAAAAAACCACAUGUAUAGUUAAAUAUAAUGCAUUUCAUUUAUAAAUCUUCUAAUUCUUGAAUAACGAUCCUAUCAUCCUUUGAAAAUUUUUAUUACACCUUUUUUACUUUUGUUCUAAAACUUACAUAUCACCCUUAAUUGUACCAUGAGAACCUAGCUAUUUUUUUUUUUUUUGUAAUUCAUCAAAGUUAGCUUUUGUAUUCAUUGUUGUAUUAUUUUUAGUAUAACUUAGAAAGCUAGUGUUUUCAAGUGAGUAAAAUUAACUUGUAAAUAUUGUAAAGAUUCAUUGAUAUGUAUCUUAAACUAAGUGUACAAAUUAAAACAUUUGCUAGUAGAUUUUCUCAAAAUUUAGAAUAGAGCUUGAGGCUAUUGAAAUAGGUGGGGUUACACCAAACCACAUCACAUCGUUGUUUGCACCUUUUUUCACUCUCUUUUACUUAGUUUCUCUAUAUUUGUUGUCUAGUAAUAUCCUAUAGGCUUGAUGGGUUAGGGAGCAUCCCUUUGUGAAAAAAUUUCAUUCAAUUCUUAGUUGUAUUACGCAUAUAUAAAAUGCCUCAUUGUUUUAAUGGUAUUCAGUCGUGGCAUCACAGAUAUGGGCAUCUAAAUUUUAAAAGUUUGAAACUUUUGUAAAGCAUGUUGAUAAAAUCCAUGAGAGUUGUGUACUUGGGAAGCAACAUCGAGGUGACUUUAUUUUUUUUUCCUUUUAUAAUGCCACACCUAAGUCCGGUUUCUAAAUGCUAAAGUGAAAGGGUAGGUAUGGACCAUUGAAAUGUGAUCACAACUUUUGGCCUUUUCCUUUCUCUGCAGCCAUGUUGUCUCUUUUUUCUUUUGCAUGAUUUUCUUACCAAAACAGAAUCAUAGACUUGUUUAGUCUCUAAGCUACUAUAUUAUAUCUCGGUGGACUUUUAAGAGUGCAACCGACAUAGAGCACAUGCAAGUGGGCAUAUGGGACAUGAAAUUUCUUCUUACAAAGAUUGCAUGAUUUUUAUAUUAGAGUUGUUCACGUGCAAUGUAUUUAGCUUGUUUUGCAGUUAAAUUAAUUGGAUAAGUAAACAUUGGCAUUUCUAAAUCGACUGUGAAGUGCUUCAUGUACGUGUAAAGUAUUAGAAAUUUCUUUCUUGGCAACUUGUUUUUUCCUUGCCAUCUACUGGUAGGUUUGACUAAAAUUAUAUUCCCUGUCAUGCUAAUUAAUUUUCAUGUGCAUGCUCAAAAGAAGAGUAUGACCUUAGUGCACCAAAAUCACUUUGAUUAAUUUGUGAUAGGUUUUUUUGCAUCAUUUAGAUAAUGUUUAGUUCUAAGAAAAAUUUAUAUAAAAAUGGUUUAUUUAUCUUACAUAUAUAUAUAUAUAUAUAUAUUUUUUUUUUUUUCAUUUUUUUUUCUUCUAUUUUAUUUAUUUAUUUUAUUUUCCUUAUGUUUUCCUCACAUUUUCCGGAACUAAACAUAGUCUUACGAAAUCAACAAUUGCCUUCAACUGAGUAGAUUCUGUUGUUUUAGCAAUGUUAGGCUGCUAACUUGUGGUGGUACGAACCAAAUGACCCAUGUUAAUCUUGGCUUGGUUUGAUUUGGCUCUAUCUCAGAGAGCUAAAGGAUCACGUCAACUCUGGUUUCUACUAUUCAGGUCCAUUCCCAGAUGAACUGGUUCAAAUUUGAGAAAAUGGUAACAGACCUUUAGUGAUGUUGGUUUGGAGCCAGUUGCCAAACCCGCCCUGAGCUUUACCACUAAUGUCAAGGGAGAAAGCCAUUUGAACAAAAACAAUAGCUUCAAGAGACUGAAUCGUGGAUGAAAUCUGAUCCACAUUUCUUCUCAUUUUGGGAAAAAAUGAGAACUUAACUACAAAGAUUCUACUGCCUCAUUCAUAGUGCUUUUCCUGAUCCAAGGUUGGUUCGUUUCCCAAAUUGUGAGGUGCACGUGCCACUCUCACGCUCAGGAGUGUAUCCACGUGGUGGACAUCAGAUGGUGGCUUAAUAUCUGGUGUCGGUGGCUUUACUUUACUAGGAGAGUAGUGUGUCUUCAUCUCAUUCACUGCCGGAGGGUGGCGUAAGCAGUGACGCUAAGGUGGGGCACAGUCAAUAUCAUUUGCAUUUGACCAUUAUAGUUUUCUCCCGGCUUGAAAGUAACCUUAUCGUGAUAAAGGAUUACUAGCACUAGUUCAGAUGACCGUCAUGUUAAUUCGGACCAUGUUUGUGUCACAUUAUCAGCAACCAUGUGUUUAUGGUUCAUGCUAUCUGCAACUAAACUUGAUAUAUAACCAGGUGAACUUCAAUCAAAAUUCUGGAAGUACUCUUGUGAUAGAUGGUGCCUGUCUGCAGAGUCCAUCAAUUGAAAAAUGGAGUGAGUGUAUCUAUAAGAGGGAAGGCUUGGCAAAUGUUCAGUUUUCUGGGAAUUCAACAAGGAUCUAAAAUAGAUUGUUUUCUUUGCCGACUUCAAUGGUUGAAAUUUGAGAAGAUUGUGUCCACAUAUCACAACUAUUACUGGUCCUUCUGUUGCAAUUUAUCCUGUAAGGCUCUAACAUGUCUUCCAAUUCCCACUUCCCUGUUACUCCAGGAAAGCUAUUUCUGUCAUUGUGAAGAAGAAAAGAGAAUGUACAUAUCGAUGCUUUUAAGUGACUGGAGCAUUCAUAUCAGGUGGUCUGCAGCCAUAUAUGCCACUUUGUGAAGGUUGGAACAGUCAAUCACUAGGCUAUAUAUUGGUGUGGCCCAGCCACUUCAAUCAAGGACAAGUCUUCAUACUUAAAGUCAAAUUCUGCCUUUAGUCUCAUUAUAAAUUGCUGUUUAAAUAUUAAGCAAACUUUUGUUUAAUGCGAUUAAGACAGUACUAACUCAAUACUUGUUCUAUUUUUGGAUGCAAAUGCUUGAUGGUUUCAUCAUUGGAUGGGAUAAAGGUGCAUUCAUGAUUAUGAAUACUUGUAGUUAUAUUUUCAUUCUCUUUUUUCUCAAUGAGACUUGUUGGCACAAUGUUGCUGUUCAGAAACCUACCUCUCCAUGGAAAAUAAGUUGCGAUUGAUAGUACUGGAUAUGUUCAAGAAAGCUAAAUAUAGAUAGCACAAAAUAUUAUCGAUAUAAAUAGCAUUAACAGCGUACGUAUGUCUCAAUGCUCAUCAGCUAUAAGCAUGGGACAAACACUUACUAUGAGCAACUUACGUCAAAAUUCCAGAAUAGGACAUAGAAGUGACAGAUCUAUAUAUAUAGAACACUGCAUAUGAGUCACAAGAAAGGAAAUUACGGGUGCAUAGCAGCUCUUAUUUUACAUACUACUACUCAUACUGAUCAAAGUCACUCAGUUGGGAUGGGUGGGAGUAGGAGGUUUGUGGGGUGGCUUGUGCGGAGGAGUUGGCAGCUUCUUUCCAGGACCUGGUUGCUUCUCUGCUGGAGUUGAAGGAGGCUUAAUCUUCCGAGGUGGCUUGUAUGAGUCUUCAGCAUUCUCAGCUGGAGGGUGACCAGGGUUGUGACCAUAAUGUGGUGGCUUCUCUCCCUUAGGUGGUUUGCCAACUGGGGUUGGUGGCUUGUAUGAGUCUUCAGCAUUCUCAGCAGGAGGGUGACCAGGGUUGUGACCAUAAUGUGGUGGCUUCUCUCCCUUAGGUGGUUUGCCAACUGGGGUUGGUGGCUUGUGUUCUGGGAGUGGCUUCUCCCCCUUGGGAGGUUUUUCCAAUGGGGUUGGUUUGUGUUCAGGAGGUGGCUUCUCCACUGGAGGCUUGUGUUCAGGAGGUGGCUUCUCCACCGGUGGCUUGUGUUCAGGAGGUGGCUUCUCCACCGGAGGCUUAUGCUCUGGUGGUGGCUUCUCCACCGGAGGCUUAUGCUCUGGUGGUGGCUUCUUGAAUGGGGGAUGCUGAGGGUAAUCAGCAAGUGAGGGGGCGGUGAGAACCACCAGGCCAAGCAACACCACUAGCAAAUAUGUAGGAGACAUCUUUGGGUUUGGGCUCAGAUGGUGCAAAACUAGGAGAAUUGGCUAGCCUUUUAUAGCGGAUCGUACUCAAUAAUGAAAUGACACGUGUCAUUAUGACCCAUGUGUAAUGGGGUCGAUUUGGGUCCUACAGUGUUGAAAACUUCGACAUCCAGUUUUGGCCUUUUGCUUUCUCUACAGCCGCCUUGCUUUUUCCCUCUUUCCUUUUGUUUUCCUCCUGCCCCAUUCUAUCAACUAAACACAAUUAUGUAGUUGUUUAAUUCUUAAAUGAGAUAUUAUCGGUCAAUCGUAUUAUAUUUUAUCAAGAGAGAACGGAGUGCAAUGCAGCUGUAAUUUUAUCGUUUACUUUUAUCUCUUGGACCACUGCAUUUUUGUUAAGAGGUGCAAUAAUACACGUCUUUAUCUGCCAUUCAAUGUUUACAGUAAAGAGAGGGCACAAAACUCUUCACUGCUCUGCAUGUGUCCCAAAAAUGCGAUUGGACAAAUUAUGAUUUGCAUGCUAAAAAGAGGCAAAUGAGGUUAAUUCGCACCAUAAUUAUUUGGUUUUCUGGACACCAUAAAAAGAUGUUAUACAGGCAGGGAAAAACCUUCAGAGUUAGCUACCAAAGAUAAUUAUCAAGCAGAUAUCACCAAGAGAAUUCCAUAGAGUCUGAAUCAAAGACAGAUUGCUCGCUCGUGGGGGUUCUUACUUUCUUUUGGGUAUAACUCACUGAGGUCACUGUCUUUUUUAUUUGCAUUUCACAGUUAGAGUUCUGCUCUGGAAGGUUUGUUCUGGAAACAUAUAAAAGGAGCAUCAUUUUGUUCUUGGGUAACCCAUAGUCGUGAGUGGGUCCAUUUGCAUGCUACUUAGUUGAAAAGUUGGACAAUUUGCUCCGACGCCUACCUCCUGGAUUCCAUGCUCGGUAAAACAAGAAUAAAAAAAAAUAUAUAAUUUACAAAUGGGGGAAAGAAAAAAUGUCGGAAAAAAUAGUAAAAUUCAUGUCACAUGCUAGUGAGAGAAGGGGUUGUUACACUCACUCGAAGUUCUUUUCAAAAUAUCGAAUGGUAUUUUACUUUAUGUGUCAGCGCAGUUGUGAAUGGAACGUGCAAAAGUCCAAAUUGGCGUUUUUAUUUUUCCCAUGUAGGAUGGUGACCUUUAAUAAAUAUUUAAAACAAAAGACGAAAAAAAAAAGGAGGGAAAAGGGAUCACAAAAGAUAAAAUAAUGUUUACAAAAGCUCAAUUAGUUUGCAAAUUACUGUUUGGAUUUUGAUAGUAUUUUAUUUGUCGUUCUAUAUUUGAUGUAAAAGAGAAUUUAAGAUAUUUCCGAAGCAAAAGCAUUAGUUUGCUCUGUGAUGUCCCACAUCGAAUAGGGGAGAAAGUUUCUGGCGCUAUAUAUGUAGAGGCUCCUCUUAACCAAGUAGAUGCGUUUUAAAACCAUGAGGGCCCCCUUAGGUCCAAAGCGGACAAUAUCUACAUGAUUGGGUGUAAGUCAUUACAAAUGGUAUCAGAGCCGAUCCCCGACCCCGGUGUGGGGGUUUGUUUGGCCCUGUAAGGGGUGUUUGUCUGUUUGACCCCACAAUCCCAUGGGACACAACGAGGACGUUGUGUCUGCAUGGGGGGGCGUUUGUGAUGUCCCACAUCGGAUAGGGGAGAAAGUUCCUAGUGCUAUAUAUGUAGAUGUUUCUCUUAACCAAGUAGAUGCAUUUUAAAAUUGUGAGGGCCUCUUUGGGCCCAAAGCGGACAAUAUCUACAUGGUUGAGUGUAAGUCAUUACAUGCUCCAUGUCAAUUUCAGCAUUUCUCAUAUGUUUCACACAUACACAGAAGAGCAUCGUUUUUUAAAGCAUGCAUUUAUGUUGGAUUAAUUUGGAUUUUGUGGGAACUGGGGCAAGGAUCACAUGGAAGAGAGGUUGACUUUUUUCAGUACUUCAAUGGUUGAAAUAUGUGAAGGCUUGAUUGAUACUAAAGCUUGAAAUUGCGACUCUGUCAUUUGUAAAAAAAUAUGACAGCUUCCAUGCUCUCGUUUGGUUGCAUUGUCCGGUCGAGAGGUGCAAAAAGCAUUCUCUCUCUUCUAAUAGUCUUUUCGUUUAAAUCAAGGGAUUUGCCUUCCCGGUCGAGGUCCAAUAGAGGGUAACGGUCACCUACUAAACAUUAAAUGCUCCAACAACUAGUGAACUGAUCGACCCCAGCUCGACUAGUUGAGGUUACUUUUUGGUUUUCUUGUCUCCCGAGGUUAGAAACCUAUAAAUAGAGAGCUUCACUUCAUUUAUGAGUAAGAGAACACCUAAAUUUAUUUGUUUACCUACUUGUUUUUGCCAUAAAAGCUCUCAUUUCUUUUCUUGGUGUAUUAAAUCUCCAUUUGCAUAUCCUUUAGUGCACCUUUGUGAUUCAUUCUAGCCUUGAGUUGUAUUUAAGCCUUUGUUGAGCUAGGUUGAGAGUUUCAUACUUGUUUAUUGAGUGUUAAAGCCUUCAAGUGAGUUAAAACUUGAAGAGAUUGUGUAAGAGCCCAUUGGAGUCGGAAUCCAAGUGUAAAGGUGAUUAAAAGCUUGGUUGAAGCUUCAAGUUAGUGGAACUCUCACUCGGUUAUGAGCUUGAGAAGAGUGGACAUAGACAAGGCAGUGUCGAACCACUAUAAAAUCUGAGUUUGAUUUCUCUAACCUUAUCUCUUUAUAUUUGCUUCUCUUGUGCUUAAAUUUUUUGUGUUUAAAAAGAAUUUUUAAAAACUCAAUUCACCCCCUUCUUGGGAGUUUUUCUCUUUUAAGAUCAGCUUUUAUUUUCUCAAUUGGUAUCAGAACUAUGCCUCUUGUUUAAGACUUAAUCGUCUAAGAGGAAAUGGCUAAUCCAUCAAGUUCAUCUCACAUUGAAAGUUUUGCAACCAAUAGACUUCUUUUUUUUUUUUUGCGGGAACUGAUUAUCCCUAUUGGAAAACUAAAAUGACUUGGUUUUUACAAUCAAUUGAUUUAGAUGUAUGAGAUGCCAUUGAAGAUGACCUAACUUUUCCUUCAAAACUAGUUGAUGGAGUCAUGGUUCCAAAACCUAAGCAAGAAUGGGAUGAGCGUGAUUGAAGAAAUUUUCAAUUAAAUGCUAAAGUCGUUUAUACUUUGCAAUGCUCUAUGGACAGAAAUGAAUAUAAUAGAAUAUGUCAAUGCAAAUCGGUUAAAGAAAUUUGGAGAUUGCUUGAAAUAACUCAUAAAGGAACAAAUCAAGUUAAAGAGUCAAAAAUCAAUUUACUUGUUCAUAGAUAUGAAUUGUUUUUUAUGAAAGAUAAUGAAACUAUUGUUAAGAUGAUCACUAGGUUCACCAACAUUGUUAAUGGUCUUAAAGCCUUGGGAAAGACCUACAAGGAAUCCGAAAACGUGAUGAAGAUCUUGAGGUCACUUCCAUCAAAGUGGCAUACCAAGGUCACCGCAAUUUAAGAAGCAAAAGACUUGAUCAAGCUACCUUUGGAGGAGUUCAUAGGGUCAUUGAUGACAUAUGAAAUCAAUUUGGCAAAGAAGUAACAAAAAGGUGAAGACAAAAAGAAGAAGAACAUAACUCUCAAAGCUACAACUAAGGAAGAAGAAGUUGAAGAAGAAAAACAAAUUGAAGAAGAUGAAGAUUUAGCCCUCAUCACAAGAAAGUUCAACAAAUUCAUGAGGGGUGAAAGGUUUAGAAGAAGAAGGUUCACUUCUAGAAGAGACUUUUCUAAAAAGGAAUCUUCAUCUAAUGGUGACAAAAAGAGAUGGGAAGAGAAAAGAGACUUGGUGUGUUUCAAGUGCAAGAAACCGGGACACAUUAAAUAUGAUUGUCCUCUCUACAAAAGUGAAGUCAAGAGGAAAAAGAAUAAGGCAAUGAUGGCCACUUAGAGUGAAAGUGAAGAUGAAUCAUCCGAAGAAGAAAAUGAGAAAGAAGUGGCAAACAUGUGUUUCAUGGCAAUAGAUGAACUUGAUGAGGUAAAAUCUAACCUUAGUGAUUAAGAUAUACAUGAUGCAUUUGAAGAAUUGUAUGAGGAUUUUUAAAAACUUAGUUUGAAAAAUAUUUCUCUUAAAAAGAAAGUUCAACAACUUGACAAAGAACUUAGAGAAGUAAAAGAAAAAUUUUCAAAUGUUAAAGUUUCUAAAACUCAUCUUGAAAAAGAAAAUGAGAUUCUAAGAAAGAAAAAUGAAUAGUUGAACUCCUCUCUUUCAAUCUUUUCUUCUAGACAAAAAUCUUUUGAAAUGAUUCUAACUAGCUAAAAAUGUGUUUUUGACAAACAAGGGUUAAGAUUUAAAUCUUCAAAAAAUCAAAAGUAUUUUAAAAACUAUUUUGUAAAGGAAUCCACAAGUGCAAGUCCUUCCACUACUUGCAACUUUUGUGGAAGAGAAUGGCACAUUAGUAGUACGCCCUUUAAGAAAUGGUUCUCAAAAGAAUUUAAAUGCAAAAACUAAAAAAGAUUUGGAUUGAGAAAUCCAAGGUCACUAACCCUCAAGGACCCAAAAAGAUAUAGGUACCUAAAUCAACUUGAGUUUUAUGUUGUAAGGUUCAAAGAAUGAUAAGUGGUUCUUAGAUAAUGGUUGCUCAAGACACAUGACCGGAGAUGAAUCCAAGUUUGCUUUUCUUAAAAAGAAAAAUGGAGGAUAUGUUACCUUUGGAGACAAUGCAAAAGAAAGGAUGAUUGGUCAAGGCAACAUUGGUAAUGGCACAUCCUCUCUCAUUGAAAGUGUUUUAUUAGUAGAUGGUUUCAAACAUAACCUUUUAAGCAUUAGUCAAUUUUGCGACAAAGGUUUUUAAGUGAUUUUUUAAGCAUCUCAUUGCAUCAUCAAGGAUAUUCAAAAUGAUAAAACCAUUUUCAUGGGCCAUAGAUGUGAUAAUGUUUAUGCUAUAAAUAUUUCAAAAUAUGAUGGCCAUGAUAGAUGUUUUUCAAGCAUGCAUGAUCAAAGUUGGUUGUGCCAUAGGAGAUUGAGACAUGCUAACAUAGACCUCAUUUCCCAACUCAACAAAGAUGAACUUGUUAGAGGCCUUCCCAAAAUAAUUUUUUAAAAAGAUAAAGUUUGUGAAGCUUGUCAAGUGGGAAAGUAAAUCAAAAACUCUUUUAAAAACAAAAACUUCAUUUCCACAUCUAGGCCACUUGAGUUGUUGCAUAUGGAUUUAUUUGGUCCCUCUAGGACACCAAGUCUUAGAGGAAAUUCUUAUGCAUAUGCUAUUGUGGACGACUUCUCUAGAUACACAUGAGUCUUGUUUUUUAGUCAAAAGAAUAAAGUUUUUUAUGAGUUUUCAAAGUUUUGCAAUAAGAUUCAAAAUGAAAAAGGUUUUUCAAUUACUUAUAUAAGAAGUGAUCAUGGGAGAGAAUUCGAAAAUAUUGAUUUUGAAGAGUAUUGCAAUGAGCAUGGAAUUGACCACAAUUUUUUGGCUCUUAGAACUCCUCAACAAAAUGGGGUAGUUGAAAGGAAAAAUAGAACUCUUCAAAAAAUGACAAGAACCAUACUAAAUGAAAACAACUUACCAAAAUAUUUUUAGGCCAAAACGGUUAACACUUCUUGUUAUGUUUUAAAUAGAGUAUUAUUGAGGCUCAUACUUAAGAAAACUCCCUAUGAGCUUUGGAAAAACAAAAAACCCAACAUUAGUUAUUCCAAAGUCUUUGGAUGCAAUAUUUUAUAAUAAACACCAAAGACAAUCUUGGAAAAUUUGAUGCAAAAUUGGAUGUUGGAAUUUUCCUUGGUUACUCAACUUCAAGUAAAGCUUUUCGAGUUUUAACAAAAGAACCAUGGUUGUAGAGGAGUCCAUCCAUGUUAUUUUUUAUGAAUCUCCAAGAAAGAGAGAGGAUUGAUGAUGAUUUAGGUUUGAAGACCUCUAUAGGAAGAUUGCAAAUCGAAGAUAGAAGACAACAAGAAGAAAAUGGAGAGAAUCCAAAGAAAGAAGGAUCACCAUUGGCACUACCCCCUCAUCAACAAGCGCAAGGUGAAUCAAGUCAAGAGCUUCCUAAAGAAUGGAAGUUUGUCAUCAAUCACCCACAAGAUCAAAUUAUAGGCAAUCCAUCUAGUGGGGUAAGAACUAGAUCCUCUCUUAGAAAUAUUUGCAAUAAUCUAGCUUUUAUCUCUCAAAUUGAGCCUAAAAAUAUAAAUGAUGUUUUAGAUGAUGAAAAUUGGAUAAUUGCAAUGCAAGAAGAGUUAAAUCCAUUUGAAAGAAGUGGAGUAUGGGAAUUAGUACCAAGACCUUCAAAUCAAAGUGUUAUUGGAACUAGAUGGAUCUUUAGAAAUAAAAUGGAUGAAAAUAGCAUAAUUGUUAGAAAUAAAGCAAGAUUGGUAGCCCAAGGUUUUAAUCAAGAAGAAAUGAUAGAUUAUGAAGAAACCUUUGCCCCCGUAGCUAGGUUGGAAGCCAUUAGGAUGCUACUUGCCUUUGCAUGUUUUAAAGACUUUGUUUUAUAUCAAAUGGAUGUGAAAAGUGCUUUUUUAAAUGGUUUUAUAAAUGAAGAAGUAUAUGUUGAACAACCACCCGGUUUUCAAAGUUUCAACUUUCCUAACCAUGUUUUUAAACUUAAAAAGACACUUUAUGGUUUGAAACAAGCACCUAGAUCAUGGUAUGAAAAAUUGAGUAAAUUUCUUUUGAAAAAAAUGUUUUAAAAUGGGAAAAAUUGACACAACUCUUUUUAUAAAAACCAAAGAAAAUGAUAUGCUCUUAGUUCAAAUAUAUAUUGAUGAUAUCAUUUUUGGUGCUACUAAUGUCUCUCUUUAUGAAGAAUUUUCUAAGUGCAUGCAUAGUGAGUUUGAAAUGAGCAUGAUAGGAGAACUCAACUUCUUCCUUGGACUUCAAAUCAAGCAACUAAAGGAAUGAACCUUCAUCAAUCAAGCAAAGUAUAUAAGAGAUCUUCUCAAAAGGUUCAACAUGGAAGAAGCCAAAACAAUGAAGACUCUAAUGAGCUCAUCCAUUAAGCUUGAUAAGGAUGAGAAAGGUAAAUCCAUUGACUCUAUUAUGUAUAGAGGCAUGAUAGGUUCUUUGCUCUAUUUGACCACUAGUAGACCUUACAUUAUGUAUAGUGUGUGUUUGUGUACUAGAUUUCAAUCUUGUCUUAAAAAAUCUCACUUAAGUGUCGUGAAAAGAAUCCUCAAAUAUUUGAAAGGGACAAUGGACAUAGGCUUAUGGUAUCCUAAGAGUGAUAACUUUGAAUUAAUUGGUUUUUUGGAUGCUGAUUUUGUCAGUUGUAGGGUUGAAAAAUAAAACACUAGUGGCACUUUUCAUUUCUUAAGACACUUACUUGUCUCAUGGCAUAAUAAGAAGCAAAAUUUGGUAGCUUUGUCAACAGCAGAAGCUAAAUACAUAGCAACUGGUUUAUGUUGUGCACAAAUCCUUUGGAUGAAAUAAACACUUAGUGAUUUUGAUUUAUCUUUUGAGCAUAUUCCUAUUAAAUGUGAUAAUAGUAGUGCCAUAAGUAUAUCAAAAAAUCUCGUGCAACACUCUAGGACUAAGCAUAUAGAGAUUAGACAUAAUUUUCUUAGAUAUCAUACACAAAAGGAUGAUAUAACACUUGAAUUUGUAAGCAUAAAAGACCAACUUGCCGAUAUCUUUACAAAACCUCUAAGAACAUUUUGUUGAUAUUAGAGGACAAUUAGGAGUGAUUUCUUUAUGAUCUAAUGUGAUGAAUUCUUGAUGAAUAUACUUUUUGAUUGCAUGAAUUUCAUGUCAUAUAUGCAUCAUAUAGAAAUAUACUUAGAUAAUGGUCAAAUUUCGACCAAAAAUCAAAAUUCCCAUGGCAUUAGGCAUAAAAAUUUUGGAAUUUCAACUGAAAAUGGUAGGAGGAGGAUCACAAAAUGAGAAAGUAUGCAAAAAUUGAAAAAUCAAAACGUUGACCAAGCGGUCAAUCGGACUAGACCGAUCGACUAGUUUGUCGAGAUUUAGGAUUUUUAAGAGACUCCAACGCUUCAAUUUUUGCACCGUUCUCCUCUAUUUCUUCACGGUUUCUCUGAUUUUGUCUUUUAGAGACUAAUUUGAGUGCGUUUUGGAUCAAUUGAAGCAUUUUGGAUUGGAUUUUAGGAAGAUUGAAAGUUAAGGUUUCGGAUUUGGGUCGCCUUCUCUUCCUCUCGCGUGUCACAAUCAGCUUUAGCAUUGUUCUCUUUCCAUUUUCACACACCUAGGGUUUCAGUUGUGAGCAUCUCUCUCUCUUUACCAACCACUACUCCCUUGCUUCUUCCAUAUGGCUCCUAGGCGAGAGUCCGCUACUUCUAGGGCACAAGGCAAGCACCCAACUGAGUCGUCUCAGUCAAAGGCACGUCGAAAAGUGAGAUUUGACAUUGCCUUGUUCAGUUCCAUGGAGGACUACCAACUAUACAAGCAACACUUUGCUUAGAGACGAGUAGUUCCCAAGAGAAAUAUUAAUUUUCCUCAACUUCAGCAUUUCGAAUUUAAGGGUCUAUUUACUAGGAUGGUUGGUUGUCUAUUGUCACAAUUUCGGAGCCGGUUUUCCUGACCUUAGUGCGAGUUUUUUACUCGAGGGCGACUUAUGGCAUGGGUGGCAUGAUCAUUUCUACUGUUGGAGGAGUUGAGAUCUGUCUGGACCCAGAGAGCAUCUGCCAUAUUUUCGAUAUUGCUCUGGUUGGACUCAAAGUAUACAAGUCCAAAAUGUGGCCCAUUGUGCCAGGAUUUGAGCUUAGAGAGGUCAUUCAGAGGAUUUGUGAACUUCCAGACGCCCAGGAGAUGGGCAAACCAUUGCCACACAGUUUGACGGUCAUCAACAGGGUGCUACACCAUAUAUUGUGCUCUAUCUUUCUACCACGAAGUGGACAUUGAGAUGAGGUCUCUUAUUAUGAGGCAUUCCUUAUUGACUCCAUUCUAACGGAGAGACGAAUUCAUCUACUAUGUCAUCAUUCACUAAGCCUCCUCACAGUGACAUACCACCUCAUCAGGCACCUCUUGCUCCUGACCAUGCUCCAUUGAUGGAUUUAUUUACUCAUAUUAGCUCUCUAGGCACUCGCAUGAAGGAGUUUGUUGUAGUUAGUGAUACAUGGUUCUACUCCAUAGAGGAUCGCAUGGAUCAGUAUCAGACUGGCUUCACGUCACAGUUUGAGUAUCUCCAAUAGAGGAUUGAGCAUAUUGAGGAUCACUUGAGCAUGAGAAGAUGAUGGCUUUUCUAUGCUCUGUGUUUCCACCUCCACCUCGUCAACCUUGAUUUCUUAGAGACCCAUUGUUUUCAUUUUGUAAUGUUGCCAAAAGGGGGAGAUAUUUAGGAUCUAGGACUCUAUAGGAGACUUACAUGCAUAUCAUUUUCAUAUCAUUGUUUGGAUCGUACAUAUUGGAUAGUGAUACUUUUUACUUAUAUAUGAUAUGCCUAUAUGUUUCAUGUCUUACAUUGUUUCUUAUUGCAAAUUAUCUCUAACAUGUCUUGAUUAUCUUUUUUUUAACUUCAUAAAUUUUGAUUGUUAACCCAUGAUUGGUUUGAGGGGAAGAUUCUUCUUCUCCUAGAUAACCAAGGUUUGUCAUCAUAAAAAAAUUGGAGAUUGUUAGCCCAAGGGUUCUCCUAAUCAUGUUUUGAUGAUAACAAACCAUGCUUAAGUUACUAAUUGGUUUGAAUUAUAAAGAAUUUCAAGUGUUAAUUUGAAAAUUCAUCAAAGAACCUAAUGGAUGCAAGAUCAAGAUUUUUGGAAGACCUUUAAUCAUAAGAAACAUAUGUAAGAUGAAUGCAUGGGUGCACUUAAGAUUUGCAUAUCAUUUCAUGCAUAUUUGGAAAACACGGUUUAUGCUUUAAAGUUACAUUUCCAUCAAAAUUUGAGAUCCAUCAAAUGAACCUUAGGAAAAAUGUUUUAAAAUUGGCAUAUAAUUUUACCUAAAGACCUUGCCUAAGUGUUAGAAGCAAAAGGACAAAAAAAAUAUAGGUUUUCUGGUCAAAAAUGGUGAACCAGUCAAGGCAUUGUCUAAAUCAGCUCAAUCGGCCAAGGUACCGGUCGAUCGGUUUCCCUUUCCCUGUCGAGAUCUAGUCAAGAGGUACAAAAAUCACAAUCUCUGUCUCUUUCUCUCUUUGUCUAUCUUCCAGUAGUCUUUCCUUCCCGGUCGAGGGAUUUGCCUUCCCGAUUGAGGUCCGAUUGAGAGUAAUAGUCACUUGCCAAAUAUUAAAUGCUCCAACAGUUAGUGAACUGGUCGACCCCCACCUUGCCCAGUUGAGGUUACUUUUUGGUUUUCUUGGCUCCCGAUGUUAGAAACCUAUAAAUAGAGAGUUCCACUUCAUUUAUGAGCAAGAGAACACUUGCAUUUAUUUGUUUACCUACUUGUUCUUGCCUUAAAAGCUCUCAUUUCUUUUCUUGGUGCAUUAAAUCUCCAUUUUGAUAUCCUUUAGUGCACCUUUGUGAUUCAUCUUAGCCUUGAGUUGUAUUUGAGCCCUUUUUUUAGCUAGGUUGAGAGUUUCAUACUUGUUAAUUGAGUGUUAAAGCCUUCAAGUGAGUUGAAACUUGUAGAGAUUAUGUGAGAGUCGAUUGGAGCCGAAAUCCAAGUGUAAAGGUGAUUAGAAGCUUGGUUGAAGCUUCAAGUUAGUGGAAUCCUCACUCAAUUAGGAGCUUGAGGAGAGUGGACGUAGCCAAGGAAGUGUCGAACCACUAUAAAAUUUGAGUUUGAUUUCUCUAACAUUGUCUCUUUAUAUUUGUUUAUCUUGUGCUUAAAUUUAUUGUGUUUAAAAAGAAUUUUUAAAUACCCAAUUCACCCCCCUCUUGGGUGUUUUUCUCUUUUAAAAUUAGCCUUUAUUUUCUCACAAACUAUUGUAGUAUAGUGGUUUUUAGGUGUCAUCCAUUAGGAUGAAUUGUUCUCGGUAAUUAAGGCGUGAAUGAGAGGAGAAUUAAUGAUUGUGAUUAAGUAAAAUUGAUUUGAAAAUUCAUGGUGAAAAAUCAAUUUAACAAUGGUUUCUAAUUGAGAAAAACAAUGAAAUGUGAAAUAAAAUAAAAUUAAUAGGAAAUGAAAUUCUCGAAGUUAGAAUUUUCUAAAAAACAAAUUCCAUGGUGAAUGGAUGUUGAGAUCUAAUUUUCAUCAAGUUAGAUUGAAAACCGAAAUUUUCAUAUAAACUGAUUUUUUAUUUAGUUUUAGGUCUAGAUUUAAUUUCCCUUAAAAUUAGGUUAUUUAAUCCAAGAAAUCAAUUCAAAUCAUAUAUUCAAUUCAUCUUAAAUUAUCUUCCAAUUAUUCACACAAUGCAACUAUUCAAUCUCAUCAAAUCUAGCUUUUAAGAAUUUAAUGAAUCUACCUAGUUUGCAUUGUAAUAGUCAUCCAUGACAAUUUGAAGAGAAAAAUAAUUCAAUUAAUCAAUCACUUGGAUCAAAUUACCUUUGCAAUUAAAGUUCAUUUCUCUAAUUCACCACAGAUUUUGUCUCUAGAUCCUCCUUUCUCAAAGAAAAAUGAGAUUUAGCCACACAUGAUUGGAGAUUUGGUCUCAUAAGGCAUGUUUAGCUAGUGAUAAAAUGAGAGAAAAUAAAGAAAAAUAGAGAAUUCGAUUAAGAAAGAAAAUCUAAAAAAUUCUACAAUUAGAAAUGUCCAAAAAGCUUUUUCAUGAGAAAAUCAAGUUUCUAUUUAUAGGCCAAGGUCAAGUGGACACUUGACAUCAUCUAAGAGGUCUUCCGGAAGCUUCUUCAUCAAGAAAUCUGGAGUUUAAUAAUAAAAUGGUCAUUUCACAAGAGCUCAAACAAUUUCGCAUGAUUAUGUGAAAUAAAAAAUGCAACAACAGCAAUUUACAUCUUCUUGGAGCAUUUCGCAUGACUGUGUGAAAUUUUCACAUGAUCAUGUGGAAUCGACUUGACAACUCUCAUUUAGCCUACAACAUAAUUCCACCUUUUGGUCCAUUUUUCAUAGUCAUGCGAAAUGGAAAUAUUUGAUUUUUAAGUUUUCUUUUGUCAUUUCUUUCAUUUCCUUCUCUUGAUUCCACUUCAACUACCUCCGAAUCCUGGUCCAAACCAAUUGCAUUACUUCUUUCAUUAUGCAUUUGGAUCAUCAUCAACAUUAUUUGUUCUCUUCAAUUUGAUUCAUCUCUUUUGUCACCAAUUUAUCAAAAUCAUACCUUGAAAUGACUCCAAAACUUCAUAAAACUUGUUAGUAACUCUUGCAAGGGCAACAACAUAUUAAUUAAGUGUUUUAGGCAUAGUUACUACUCAAAAGAUGCGAAACUCAUGAUAAUUAUUAUAUAAAAUAUGCUCUUUUUGAGUAGUAAUCAACUUUCUUGCAUAAGCAGACCUUUUAGGGUGGAGUACUAAAGACCAAUAUGCUUGUCCUUGUUGUAAUAAAGAAACUUGCUCUUAUUGAUUGCACCAUGGGAGAAAAUUUUGCUACAUGAGUUAUCAUCAAUUUCUUCCCACCAAUCAUAGAUUUAGACGUGACAAGAGGCCUCUUAAUGGCAAGGAGGAACUGACACUCACACUUAUACAAUUAUCGGGCAUUGAUGUGUUGCAACAAUUAGAAUAACUUACACCAAUUAUGUUGGGGAAGUCACAAAAGGCAAACAUGAAAACUAAAAGGAAAAAAGAAAAAUGUUACAUAUCACCACAACUGGAAAGAAAAAAGUAUUUACUUUCAUUUGCCAUAUUGGAAAGCACUUAUUUUACAUCAUAAUAAUUUAGACAUAAUGCAUAUUGAGAAAAAUGUGUGACAAUAUAAUUGAGACAUUGUUCAGUAUUGACGAAGAAACAAGGACAACCUAAAUAGUCAUCUCGAUUUACAAGCUCUAACUAUUAGAAAUGAGAUUCACCCAAUAGAAAGCAGGACCAAAUUUAUUUUGCUUGCAACAUGCUACUCACUCACCCCAAAUGAGAUUAAGGAAUUUUGCAAGUUUUUGAAAUCAAUAAAGGUCCCCAAUGGCUAUUCUUUCAAUAUCUCUCGUUAUGUGCAACUCAAUGAAAGGAAGAUAUAUGAGCUCAAAUUGUAUGAUUGUCAUGUCCUAAUGCAACAACUUCUCUCACUUGUAGUUCGUGGAGUUCUACAUAAGAAUGUUUGUGGAGUUAUCAUAGAAUUGCGUAAUUUUUUCAAGCAAUUGUGCUCAAAGGUGUUAGAAACAAAUCACUUACACCAACUUGAGAACAAUAUUAUUGUCAUACUAUGUAAAAUGGAGCAAAUAUUUCUUCCAUCAUUCUUUGAUAUUAUGGUGCAUUUACUUGUGCAUCUAGUAAGGCAAAGGUUGCAAGACUUGUGCAAUAUUGUUGGAUGUACCUAAUUGAACGAUAUUGUUAUAAUUUCAUAUGAAUCAUUUAAUUUUAUUUUAUAUUAUGUUCAGUUCAUUAACAUGUACAUUGGUCUACAUAUGGAUGAUGAUAGGUACCUAAGCACUUUAAAGUCAUAUGUGCGUAAUAGAACUUUUCUAGAAGGUUCUAUUGUAGAAAGGUACCUUGCAAAAGAAUGUACAACAUUUUAUUCUAGGUACUUGAAUGAUGUGGAAAUAAAGUAUAAUCACAAUGAUAGAAACUUUGUUGGUUUCAACACUAGAGGAGAUGAAAGGGGUUAUCUUUAAACAUAUUGGACAUGCAUUGGGAAAGCCCAUAUUUCAUUAACUUAGUUCAAAAGAGUGGUCACAAGCACAUUUAUAUGUGUUGACAAAUUGCGAAGAUGUCAUACCAUUCAUUGAGUAAAAAAUUUAUUUGAAUUUUAAUUAAAGCUCUAGUUUAUAUCCUUAAUCAAUGUUUUUUAAAUUCACAAGGAGCACAAGCAAACCAUCAAGGCUAGACCACAUAUACGUGUUUGAGACGUAGAUUUAAUUCAUAACAAGGAAUUUAUCAAGUGGUUUGAAAGACAUGUAAGUAUAUUCCUUAUUAUAAGGGAUUUAUUUCACAUUAUGUUUAUAUUGAAUCCAAACCUAUUAUUGAAUUGUAGGUUGAACAAUUACAUAAUGAAGGUCAUAUAUCUGAACACCUUCUCACAUUAUCAUGUGUUCCAAAUUCAUUAGUUACAUGCUUCAAAUGAUAUAUUGUCAAUGGAUUUAGAUCCCACAUUAAAGAACGUGAUAAAAAAGUUUUUAAAAAAAGACUCAGAAUAAUGGAAUUGUUGUAGUUGCAAAAACGUCAAGCUUUACAAGUGCAUGUGAUAUGAGUCCAAUUAUUAGUGAUGCUCUCUACUAUGGUGUUCUAACUAAAGUUGUUGAGUUACAUUAUCUUGGUGAAAAUAAGGUUGUUUUAUUCGAGUUUGAUUGGUGGGAUGUUACAAAUAUUGGAAAAUUGAUAAAAGAUGAUGAGUACAAUUACACAUUUGUUAACUUUGCAUGAAUUCUAACCACGAACGAACGAUUUGUACUUGCAUCUCCAGCAAAGUAAGUGUUCUAUGUGAAGAAUGCGAAUGAAUCAGAUUGGCAUACUAUCAUGGAGAUGCAACCUCAAGACCUCUAUAAGAUGAACGGGAUAGGAUCCAAUGGUGAUUUUGAACCAUUUCAACAAAGUGAACUACAUGAUCACUAAUAUAUCUCAGAUUUAGUUGAUGAAGAUAUAAUCAAGUGGAACAAAAGUGAUGUUUUAGGACUAAUCAUCCUAAAAAAUAUUGUAGUUUCUUAAAAAAAAAAUGAAAAUGAAGAAGAUAAUUGAACCUUUGUCAUACUUUAAAAAGCAACUAUGCAUUGUUCAUUUUGUAUGUUUUGGUUUUCUUCAUUUAAUUUCCUGAUUUUUGUGAUUCAAUGUCAUAUUAUUGAUCUUGAAAUAUUUUUCUAAUUUUUCAUUCUACGAUGGUUUCAACAAGGAUGACAUCAAGUCAAAAAAGGAAAUGUGGUCCCACACACAAUAUUGCAUUACAGGGAUUAAGGUCAGGGAAGAAGGUAAAAGUUGCAUUUAAUGAGUACAAUCAAUUGGUUAAACAGAAAAAUGGAAAACACUUAUCGAGCUACAUAGGGACACUUGUAUCUAACCAACACAAUGUACCUCUCCAAGCUAGUGAUUGGAAAAAUGUUCCAAAUGAUGCAAAAGAGAAAGUAUGGCCUUUGUUUUGGUAUGUUGUAUUUCUCACUAUAUGAUGUCAUUUCACUGUUAUUCUAUUUUGUGACUAACGUUUGAAUCAUAUGUAAGAAAAAUUUGAAGUAGAUAAAGACUGAAAAGAUUACAUGUUGGGUAUAGCCUCAAAUAAAUAUAGAAGCUAUAAAAAUAUGAUGAAUGCAAAAUACUAUGACCCUUGGCAUAAGGAUGCAUGAGGAGAGGUUAAUACAUAAAUCACCAUUUGUCUCUGAUGUUGAUUGGAAGUGGCUUGUCUCUGAUGCAUAAACCAAAUCCCCCACUGAAUGUUUGAUAUUUGAUAGCAGGAAAAACACACCCGCAGCUAUACACCUCCAUCAUUCAGAUAAUUAUAGUGGGGGAGAUGAUUCAUGGUUGCCCUUAUACCCUUUAUUUGCACCAUCUAUUGAGAUUCUUUAUCAUGGCCAGGUUUUACUGCAGCAAUAAGAUAUGGUGGCAACAAUUUUAUCUAUAGGUGCGGUUCCAGACCGCCUCCAUAGGUGCGGUUCCUGACUGCCUCCAUAGGUGCCUCUUCUUGUAAUGUUUGUUCUGGGAAUUACACUUGAAAGCCUUAUCGUGAUAAGGGAUUACAAACACUAGUUCAGAGGACAGCCAUGUUAAACUUCCACUAUGUUUGUGUCACAUUAUCAGCAGCCUAGUGUUUAUUGGUCAUGCUAUCUGCAACUAAUAUAACCCGGUGAACUUCAAUCUAAAUUCUGAAAGUACUCAUGUGACAGAUGGUGCCUUUCAGCAGAUAUCAUCAAUUUAAAAGUAGUGUGUGUGCCUAUAGGUGGGAAGGCCUUGGCAAAUGUUCAGUAUUCCGGUAAUUCAAGAAGGAUAUAUCUAAAAUAGAUUUUCUUCUUGCCCAUUUCAAUAGUUAAAAUUUGAGAAGAUUGUGUCCACAUCACACAAAUAUUAUUGGUCCUUCUGUUGCAAUUUACCUCUGAACAUGUCUUCCAAUUCCCACGGUCCUGUUACUCCAGGAAAACUAUUUCGGUCAUAUUGAAAAAAAAAAUAUUAAAGAAGGUACACAUGCUUUUAAGUGGACUGGGGCAUUCAUAUCAGGUGGUCUGUAUCCACAUAUGCCACUUCGUGAAAGGUGGAACAGCCUAAUCACUAGGCUAUUUAGUGUGGCCCAGCCACGUUAAUCAAGCACAAGUCUUCAUACUUAAAGUCAAAUGGUGUCUUUAGUCUCAUUACACAUCGCUAUUUGAAGAUUAACUCAUCACUAGUGUAAUGCGAUUAAGACAGUCCUAACUCAAUAUUUGUUCUAGUUUUGGAUGCAAAUGCUUGCUGGUUUCAUCAUUGGAUGGGAUAAAGGUGCAAUCAGGACUAUGAAUACGUGCAGUAAUACUUCAUUCUCUUUUUUCUCAAUGAGACUUCUUGGCACAAUUUUGCUGCUCAGCAACCUACCUUUCCAUGGAAAAUCAGUUGUGACUGAUAGUAAUGGAUAUAUUCUAGAAAGCUAAACAUAGAUAGCAUUCAAUAUUAUCGAUAUAACAUUAACAGCGUAUGUCUCAAUGCUCAUCAGCUACAAGCAAUGGACAAACACUUUGAGUAACUCACAGCAGUCAAAAUUCCUAAACAGGACAGACGUGACAGAUCUAUAUAUAGAACACUGCAUAUGAGUCACAGGAAAAGAUAAUACGGGUACAUAGAAGCUCUUAUUUUACAUAUUACUCAUACUGAUCAAAGUCGCUCAGUUGGGAUGGAUGGGAGAAGGAGGUUUGAGGGGUGGCUUGUGCGGGGAAGUUGGCAGCUUCUUUCCGGGAGCUGGUUGCUUCUUUGCUGGAGUUGAAGGAGGCUUAAUCUUCCGAGGUGGCUUGUAUGAGUCUUCAGCAUUCUCAGCAGGAGGGUGACCAGGGUUGUGACCAUAAUGUGGUGGCUUCUCUCCCUUAGGUGGUUUGCCAACUGGGGUUGGUGGCUUGUUUUCUGGGAGUGGCUUCUCUCCCUUGGGUGGUUUGCCAACUGGGGUUGGUGGCUUGUGUUCUGGGAGUGGCUUCUCCCCCUUGGGAGGUUUUUCGAAUGGGGUGGGUUUGUGUCCUGGUGGUGGCUUCUCUCCCUUGGGAGGUUUACCAAUUGGGGUCGGUGGCUUGUGUUCUGGGAGGGGCUUCUCUCCCUGGGGAGGUUUAGUGGGUGGCUUGUGUUCUGGAGGUGGCUUCUCCACCGGAGGCUUAUGCUCUGGUGGUGGCUUCUCGAAGGGGGGAUGCUCAGGGUAAUCACCAAGUGAGGGGGUGGUGAGAACCACCAUGCCAAGCAACAACACUAGCAAGUAUGUAGUAGACAUCUUUGGGUUUGGACUCAGACAGUGCAAAACUACGAGAAAUCGCUAGCCCUUUAUAGCGGCUCGGACCUAAUACUGACAUAAUAUAAAAUAAAUAUUAUAUUUUAUCAAGAGAGAACAGAGUGUAAUUUUAUCAUUAAUACCGAUCGAGGCCAAAGAAAGAAGACCCAUAAUCCAUUUCCCACAAGCAUACACAAUGCAGCUGUAAUUUUAUCAUUUACUUUUAUCCCUUGGACCACUGCAUUUUUGUUGAGAGACACAAUAACACAUUUUUAUCUGUCAUUCAACAUUUACAGUAAAGAGAGGGCACAAAACGCAAUUAGAUAAAUUAUGUUUUGCCUGCUAAAAAGAGGCAAAUAACUUUAUUUGCAACAUAAUUAUUUUGGUUUCUAGUGACCCCGGGGCCUUUCGGUUGGUUUGGGAUCGGAAAAUGAACAUCAUAGGGGGGGUUGUGCCCUUAUGGGCAUAUAUAUCUGAUAGCUUCAACUGGCCUUGUUCCUAGAAAGAAAUUGCCAAAGAUAUAAACUUAUUCCAGGCUGAAAGUAGAUGAGAGUCAUAAUGAACAUCAACCUUUGUUCAGUUUGAUUCAAUGCCCCCAUAGUGUUCAUUUCACAGAUCUGAAUGAUUAUAUCCGUUGAAUACAUAAAUUAAUGAAGACAAAUAUGAAACCCAAGAUACAUCUCUGCAUAACAACCCCAACCCUGGUUGCUAUGUUUCCCUUCUUCUAUUCACAUGAGGAUACUGGUUAUAAUUGUCAAACUUGCAACAAGCCCUUUGACACCUAACGUCAAUGGACGAAUUAAAAGUCUCCUUCAAACGUCUAUUUCACAGCAUGAAGCUUAUAAAGGAUGCUGACAACCUUCAGAGUUAGCGACAAAAGAUAAUUAUCAAGGAGAGAUAGUUCCAUGAGAAUUCCAAGGAGUCUGAAUCAAAGACAAAUUGCUCACUCAAGGGUUCUUAUUUUCUUUUAGGUACAAAUCUCUUGAGUGUUGUUAAAGAAACACGUCACUGUCAUUUUGAUUUGCAUUUAACAUUUCACUUUUGUUCUGGAAGGUUUGUUCCGGAAACAUAUCAAAUGAGCAUCAUUUUCUUCUUCGGUGACACAUGGUCGCGAGUACGUGGGUCCAUUUUCAUGCCACUUAGUUGAAAAGUUGGAAAGAAAAAACAUGCCAACAAGAAGAUAGUGAGAGAAGGGGCACUUCAAGCCUUUAACAUGAACAAACAGUAAAUAAAAGAUGUUUCUCCACUCAUAAAAGUGUGUUAGAUAGCAAUAUAACGAAUCACAUCCAAAAUCUUUACUAGGCUCAAACAUAAAGAAGACUCAUUUUUAAGAAAAGAUAAAAAUGGCAUUGUCUGAUAGUAUCCAAUACACGAGAUGGCACUUAAUUUGUACAAGAUCUGUCAAUGCUGACGCACAUUUUCUGAUUAAAAAAAAACUGAUCAGUCAAAAGCAAUGAAGAGAAGUGAUGACAAUGAAUGAUGCUUCCAAUAUUUUCACCCCUUAUAGUGUUCUUCAUGAUUCAGAUAUAUAAUUGGAAAUAGAACAACCCUAUGCCAUACAUUCGUCUAAGUAUGGUGUCUAAUUUUUUGUGUCAGCGGUUGCGAAUGGAGCGUGCAAAAGUCCAAAUUGGCGUCUCUCCAUUUCCACAUAGGAAGGUGACCUUUAUUGACAAAUACCCAAUAUUUGUAGACAUUCCUUAAAUAUCAUAACUUCUUGUUGAUUUGAAAAUCAUUUUUCAACUACCAUGUUUUAAUAAAUAUUUUUUAAAAUGUAUUUUUAUCAAAGUCCACCAUGAUGGAUAAUAUUCACCAUGCAAUAAUUAAUAAAGUACAAACUAAGCGAAAUGAAAAGCAUUUUCUUUGCUUUGAGUUGAUUUUGGUUGCAUUGAGUUGAUUUUGGUUUCAUGGUUUUUUCAACUCUUAUUUUGAUUGGAAGAUGUCAAGAAAAGAAAACAUAAAGAAAAAUUAAAAGGGAAAAAAGAAGAAAAAUAAAAAAAAAUAGAUUUAAAAGUUAAUAAAUUAUUUUUUAUAUUUAUUUUAAUUCAUUUCACUUAUUUUUCUUUUACUAUAUAAAAUUUAAAUAAUUUAAAUUUUAUAAUUAAUUUAAUUACAUUUCAUUUUCUUCUAUAUUUAAAUAUUGGAAAAAUAUUUUACUUAAUAUUUUUUUCUUUAAUUUCUUUGGCAUUUUGGGAACCAAACUUAGCCUUUAAAAUAAAAAACAAAAAAAAAAUGAAAAUAAGGAGGGAAAAGUGAGAAAAGAUAAAAACAAUAUGUAAAGGAUUUGAAAAGUAUUAGUUUGUAAUUACUAUUUGGAUUUCAAUAGUAUUUUAUUUGUCUUUCUAUAUUUCAUGUAAGAGAGAAUUUAAGAUAUUCCCCAAGGCAAAGCAUUAGUUACCUGCAAUCAGUGGUGAUAAGGCUCCAAGCCAAUUUUGGGCCCCAUAUCUUAAGACAGUACAAUUUCCAUUUCAACAUUUCUGAUUUCUCAGAUGUUUCACAUACCACAGAAGAACAUUGUUUGUGAAAAUAUGCAUUUAUGUUGGAUUUUGUAUGCUGUGGGGACUGGGGCAAGGAUCAUAUGGAAGAGUGGUUGACUUUUUCUGUACUUUAACGGUUGAAAUAGGAUAAGCACGGGCAUUUGUGAGGCUUAAUUGAUUUUGAAGCCUGAAAUUGCGUUUCUGUCAUUUUGUCAAAAAAAUGGCAGAUUCCAUACUCAUAUGUUUGGCCUGUGGCCAUGUACAGAUGCCAUUUAGUGACCAGUUUGUAACUGUCAAUCGUUGCGUUUUGACUCUGCCUCAACAACAUCUGCCAUUGACGGGUUUUCAUACUUGCAAAUCAAAUAGUCUUUCGUCCCAUCAGGAAUUUCGGUUUAAAUAUUAUUAAGCAUACGUUUGGCUGACAAUCAUUAUCCAGUUCAUGAUUUGGUUUCUUACCCUUAAUCAAUGGUUUCUAAGUGAAUAUAUGUAGAAGGAAAUCCGAAGUGUAGACAGUAGUAUCGAUAACUCUCAAUAUUCUCUAUAUAAUAGAAUAAACAGCGUCAUAGUGAUCGUCGCCUACAAGCAAGGUACAAAUACCAAAACGAGUGACUCACAUAGACAUCUCCCAACAAGAUGUAGUAGUGACUGACACAUGGACACAAUUAACUCGUAGAAAAGGAUAAGACCAUUGCACAGCAGCUCUUAUUUUACAUACUACUUAUGCUAACCAAAGUCAAUUAGUUGGGAUGGGUGGGAGAUGGAGGUUUGUGCGGUGGCUUGUGGGGCGGAGUUGAUGGCUUCUUUCCAGGAGCUUCUGGCUUUUUCAUCGGAGCUGAAGGAGGCUCAAUCUUAUGAGGCGGCUUGUAUGAGUCUUCUUUACUCUCGACAGGAGGGUGGCCAGGGUUGUGAUCAUAAUGUGGUGGCUUCUCUCCCUUAGGUGGCUUGCCAACUGGGGUUGGUGGCUUGUGUUCAGGAAGUGGUUUCUCUCCCAUGGGAGGUUUAGCAAUUGGGGUUGGUGGCUUGUGUUCUGGGAGUGGCUUCUCUCCCUUGGGAGGUUUAGUAGGUGACUUGUGUUCUGGAGGUGGCUUCUCCACCGGAGGCUUGUGCUCCGGUGGUGGCUUCUUGGUUGGAGGGGGCUUGGGGUAAUCAGCAAGAGAUGGGGUGGUGAGAACCACCAGUCCAAGGAACAACACUAGCAAGUAUGUGGGAGACAUUUUUGAGUUUGGGCUGAUCAGAUGAUGCAAAACUAAAGCAUUACGUGACCUUUUAUAGCAUGUAGCUCCCAAUACCCACUAAGUAUUGUGGGGUCCAUUUGUGCCCUACGGGGUUGAAAACUUAGACAAUUGGGCAAGGACCCACCUGACUAUGGAGGACUAGUGAGGUGUGAUCAUAGCUUUAGGAUUUUUCUUCCUCUGCAGCCGUCGUGCCGUUGGCAUGAUUUUCUUAAUCUUAAAUAAAGGCAUAGUUAUAGAGUUGUUUAAUCUCUAAAUGGGAUUUUAUAUAUAUCUUCAGAUAGCCAUUAAUAUAUUUGAUGAAGAAAGAAAGACAAGUGCAUACAACAUGUAUACGACUAGCUUUCAUGGAGUUCAUUUAUGAUCAGUUUUCCUGUACAUGUAAACCAGGAUCAUAUAUAUGUUUCUGUUCCACAACUAUUUUGGAAUCUUGUUUAUCAGUUUUUAUCAUUAUAAUGUCACAUAGGCUGCCAACUUGGGCGCUAAAAGAACCAGUUGGGCUAGUUCGUUUCAGAAUUUCAAUGUGGAUUCAGGAAUUGUUUUGUAAGAUAUGCGAAAUAGUAGAGGGAUGAAUAGUGUUUCAUUAAUAAAAGUGUCCUGUAAAUUAGAAGGUGUCAUAGAAACUAUAAUCAAUAAAUAACUUUUUUUCCCCACGGGUGGUGUUUCUUGUGGGGAUCAGUGACUGGUUUAGGUUCACCCAAAAUGAGUUCAGACUAAAAUUGGUUUGAGUCAAUGCCGUGUCUCUUUUUUCCAGAAAUCAACUAUUUUAUGCAUUGAAUAAAUCAUACAAAGAAAAUAUGAACGCCCGCAAAACCUAAACCCUGGUUGCUAACUUUCUAUGUUUCAGUUCUAUUCACGCAAGAAUAUUAGUUUAAGUUUGGGAAAAAUGGCAACUUACCUAGUGAUUACUUGGUUUUGGUUUGCGACUAUUUACGCAACCAACCAUGAGUUUGACUUUAACGUCAUGGGUUGAAGCCUCCUACAGGAAGGGAGAAAGCUCCACAGCUAGCUCCAAAAGAGAAUUAUCACAUUGAUAGCUCCAGAGAUUCCCAAGGGGACUGAAUCAAAGACAAGUUCCUCACUUUUUCUUCUUUUGAGGCCAAAUAUGAACCAAGGAUCACACAACCUCAUUCAACUUCAUAAGUUUGAUUUCAUGCAGUUGAACACUGGGUGAAGGCCAUGACAAGAAUUGAUUCAAAAAUUCUAUCACUCUUUUAAGUAAUGGAAGAUUAUUAUCUCUGAUUGGCAUCACAACAGCACAUGCUCCUAGAUCUUUCUAGACACUCCAUGCAAUGAAAGCACAAUGGAUCUUGUAACGAUAGAAACUAAGCCAUGCUACAGUACUAGAUGAUGAGGUAAAACUAGUAGACACGGGUGGCAGCCUAUAUGGGAGGGACACAAGUCUAAUUGAUUUGCAUUUCAGCAUUAUAGAUAGGUAUGUUUUGGAAGAUUUGUUCUGGAAAUACCGCACCAAGUAGGAUUCUUUUUCUCUUUAGUGGGUCCACUUGCAUGCCAAUUAACGAGUUGAAAAGUAUGAGCACCUACCUCGUGCUCGUGGAACCGAAGGUCAGUGAAGUGGGGCUCCUUUUGGCCUCGUGUAAACUUGAUUCAGAAGUGAAGUUAAUAGUCUUCCAUUCAGAUGGAUACAUGGGAAUUUUUCUCUUUUAUUUAUUUAUUUAUUUUUUUUUUGUGUGUGUAUGUCAAAGGAUAAUGAAUGAAGCGCGUUAGCUUGUUUUCUGACUGGAACCGCAGAUGUCCAAAUUGGAGUUCCUUCAUUUCUUACUUAGGAUUGUUACAUGUAUAAACAAGGUAUAAGAAAUAUGCCAACGUGUCUUGAGGAGUUAUUGAUUAGAAAUAACAAGUCACCCGACUGUAGAGUUCCAAGAUUUGAAUCUUCAGACCCUAUAGCAGCCUCUGGGGUACGUGGCAUCCUAUAGCAUAUUAAUGAAGGCUUUUUCGAUUUAGACUUCACAAUACCAAUUAAUAUGUAUGCACAAAAUGGAGAUGACCCCAAAAAAAACAGAAUCGCCAUAGUUUAUGAGGUUAAGGUGAUUCUCCACUUAAUAUCUACAUUAGCUAAUUAUGUAAAUCAAAUGAACUUCUAUUUUUCCUUUUUUUUUUUGGUUUAUGUCAAAUAGUAGCCCAUAAUUAACCCAACCAUUAGCCUGUUUGAAUUGAUUUCACAUGCACAAUGUUGUAGUAGUUCAUAUUUUGAAUUUUAUUUUUACAAAGGUAGUUAAGGAAAAUGAAGUAUAAUAAUUAUAAAAGCAGACUAUAUACACUACAAUAAUUGUUAGAAUGGUAUCUCAAAUUCUAAUUUAAAAUAUUAUUUUUUGUAAAAGAAAUAUUAUAUAGAAUAUUUCCUAAUUUUAUAAAUGAUUAUAAUUAGAUCUUUAUAAAAUAAGGAAAGUUGGUAAGAAUAUCUUUAUAAAUAUUUUAGGUCAUGAGAGAAAGAAAUGGGAUAAAAAUGUGAUGAAGAGGUGAAAUAAGAGAGUUGAUUAGGAUAUAGAUGUGAAGAAGAAAGGGAUUCAAUAUAUAUAUAUCUUUCAAUUACCACAUUAAAACCCUGUGAACCUUUUAUAUGGUUUACUUUAUUUUUAUAUUCCUCCUUUAAUAUAUUUACAUUAAUGCUUCCAUUGGCACAACAAUAACGAAUUACAAAUACAAGCAACAAGUCCCAUGUUUUAUUACCAAAAGCAGGUAAAAUCCACCUAAUAUAUUACAAUAUAUUCAUCCAAUAUUUUAGACCAAUUCUUCACCAUAAAUAUCAUAAUGUGGCUUUUGUUCUUUCUUAAAUUUAAAUUGAAUUGUCUUAUAUCAAUUUGUUUGUGAUUUUUUCAUUAACUUCACUUUCAUUUGGUUAUCUUUGGUUUUUGAAAAGUAUUAAGGAAUUAAUUAACAAAAUAAUGUUAAGAAAAAUAAUUUUCUCUCUUUUGAUUUUGAUUUUGUAGUAGAAAAAUAUAAUUAAAAUUAUUUAAAAAGUAUGUAAUUUUAAAUUAUUUAAUAUUUAGAUAAAAAAAAUAAGUCUAAUGAGUUUAAAAUAACAUAUAAAAAUAAUUUAUUUAUUUUAAAUUUAUUUUUUAUUUUCCAUUAUGUUCUCUUUCUCUUUUACUUUUUCAUAUUUUUUCUUACGAAGAAUCAAACACAACCUCAUAUUAUAUGUCAAGUGUUUGUCUAUAUUUGAGCAAUGUUAGAUACGGCCAUGGAUUCAUCAAACUAAACUGAUUUUAAUAGAUACUUCACAAAUUGAUUUAUACACUAAAUCAUUGGAUAGCAAUGAUGCAUUGGAAUUAAACGUAGGAUGAAGCUCGAAGAACACUGUUUGUGUAACAACAUAUUUAUGAAAUUAUGCAAAGGAUGAGCUUCGGGGUAGUAGUACAAGGUCAUUAAUGGAGAGCCGUGUUAAACCUUGAUUGUGAUUGGAUUCCGUUAUCAGCAACAGCAACCUUGUUUGUAACCUUGAAAGUCAUUCUGUCCACAUCGAAACUCCAAUUUGACGUUUGUAAUUACCAUUCCUGGAGUGUUCCUUGAUUGAAAUUUAAAUAAUAAUUGCGGCCCACAAGGAAUAUUUUCGAUUCUGUGGGAAUUUGACAAGGUUUGUUAGAGAAGACUGGUGACAUGUUGACUUCAAUGGUUCAAAUAGGAGACGUAUGUGGAUUUGGGGGGUUUAAUUGAAACUGAGUCCCUAUGGCUUUUUAAUAUUUGCAUUGAGCAGUCUCCAUGUGACUUCCUAAUUCCCACCAACCCUCCUGUCCAUGCUGUGAAACUAAAUUGUAAUUUAUCAGCCUUUGUCAAUGGUUUCUAAAUUAAAGAUAUAGACCAUGCAUGUACUUUAAUAAAAGCAAAUCUAAAGUGUAGAUAGCAGCAAUGGUGACACCCAAUAUUCUCCAUAAAAUAGAAUUAGAAUAAGCAGUGUUACAUUGUUCAUGAUCACCUACAAGCAUACAAGAACUUCCAUGAAUAACUCAUAGCAAUUGCCAACAGGGCGUCGUAGAGACUCAUACAUAGAACACUAUCCACCCAGAGGAAAGGACAAGACCAGUGCGCUGCAGCUCUUAUUUUUCACAUGUAUACCACCACUCGUAAUAACCAAAUUCACUCAGUUGGGAUAGGUGGGAGAUGGUGGUUUGUGGGGUGGCUUGUGGGGAGGAGUUGGAGGAGGCUUUAUUUUCUGAGGCGGCUUGUAUGAGUGUGCAGGAGGAUGCCCGGGAGUGUGACCAUAAUGUGGUGGCUUCUCUCCCGUAGGUGGUUUGCCAAAUGGGCUUGGUGGCUUCUCUCCCUUAGGAGGUUUACCAAUUGGGGUUGGUGGCUUGUGUUCUGGGAGUGGUUUCUCUCCCUUGGUAGGUUUGCCAAUUGGGGUUGGCGGCUUAUGUUCUGGGAGUGGCUUCUCUCCCUUGGGAGGUUUGCUAAUUGGGGUUGGCGGCUUAUGUUCUGGGGGCGGCUUCUCUCCCUUGGGAGGUUUGCCAAUUGGAGUUGGCGGCUUAUGUUCUGGGAGUGGCUUUUCUCCCUUGGGAGGCUUGCCAAUUGGGGUUGGCGGCUUAUGUUCUGGGGGUGGCUUCUCUCCUUUAGGAGGUUUGCCAAUUGGAGUCGGCGGCUUAUGUUCUGGAAGUGGCUUUUUUCCCUUGGGAGGUUUGCCAAUUGGGGUUGGCGGCUUAUGUUCUGGGGGUGGCUUCUCUCCCUUGGGAGGUUUGCCAAUUGGAGUCGGCGGCUUAUGUUCUGGGAGUGGCUUCUCUCCCUUGGGAGGUUUUGUUGGUGGCUUGUGUUCUGGAGAUGGCUUCUCCCCUGGAGGCUUGUGCUCCGGAGGUGGCUUCUGAAAUGGCGGGGGCUUGGGGUAAUGAGCAAGAGAUGGAGUACUGGUGAGAACCACCAUUCCAAGCAACAAUACUAGCAAGCAUGUGGGAGACAUCUUUGAGUAGUUGUAGCUAAGAUGGCGCAACACUGUAGGCAUUGGGUGGCCUUUUAUAAAGGGCUGGACCCAACAGCCAUAUGACACGUGUCAUGAUGACAAAUGA